GUAACAGUAUCCAAUGAUGUACUUGGCUCAUCAUUAGAGUUCUCACAGUUAUGAACCUCCAUUGUUGUUACAAGAGGAAGUUGAUGGAAUGGCUUAGGAGGCAUCUCAAGGAGUUCAACAUUAGAUUCAAGCAUCUUCAAACUUUACUCAUUGCUGGAUCAGAAGGCAGUAAUUGUAUACAUCCAAAGGCUGUUAUUAUCAUCUUCUUCACCAUUACUUUUUCAUCGUCAAAAAUAUCUCCCAACUCCAAGUCCUCUCCUUGAUCCAAUUUGUCAUAAAUCCAAGAUGGAAAAUACAUUUGACUAGUGUGGUCAGCUAGUCCAUUCACGUUCUUUCUCCUUCCUACUAUUUCCAUUAGUAACAUUCCAAAACUAUAGACAUCAGCUUUAUAUGAGAUGCCUCCAAGAUUUUUGUAAACCAAUUCAGGAGCAAUAUAUCCUAUCGUUCCUCGUGAUGCAGUGAGAGAGAUAAUGCUAUCAUCUACUGAAUACAAUUUAGCAAGACCAAAAUUUGAAAAUUUUGGAUUAAAAUUCUCAUCAAGAAGAAUAUUGUGUAGUUUGAUAUCAAAAUGAAGAAUUUGCAUGUUACAUCCUUGAUGCAAGUAGUGAAUUCCUUGAGCCACCCCAAGCACAACAUCAAACAUUUUUUUCCAACCCAAAGUGUUCUUAUUUUCUUCUGUAAAUAUGAUUUUAUCUAAAGAUCCAUUAGACAUAUGAAGUCAUAUACUAGAGCUUGCUUUGAUCCAUUCACGCAAAAUCUAAUAAGUUUUGUCACAUUAGCAUGAUGAAUUUUCCCAAUAUAAGCAACUUCAUUUCUGAAAUCUUGCCAUUACCCUUUGAUUUGCCCAACGAUUUUACUGCUACAUGAUCCUUACUAUGAAGUUUUCCUUUAAAUACAGAACCGUAAACCCCUUGACCUAAUUUAUUUUUAAAAUUUUUAGUCAUUUUCCUAAUUUUUUUUAAAAUACCUUAUCGGCACCAGAUUAUUUUGGCUUUAAAGAAGCUCUUUAAUCGUAUCAUCCAUAGAUAAAUGUCUUCUUCUCCAUUUGUACGUAACAAGAGCAAGCAGACAAAUUAUCCGAGAAAACGACCACAAAAAGUUAACUCCUCCUUGAAAGGAUUACAAUGCAACACGUCAAUACUUUUGAAAUUAAUCAAAUAAUAUAUAUCUUACAUUCCCAAAAAAGUAUAUAAUGUUAUAGUUUUAUGCUCUUUUAUAAUUAACUACUACUUGAAAGAGGGGCAUAUUUCACUACUUUAUGGAAUUAAUUUAGAAAUAACAGUUAGUUUGUUAGAUAGCAUCAUUGAUGCCUUGCAUUUACUCUUCUAUACCAAAUGAAAAACUUUGAAAGGCCAUUGAGAACCCAAGAAAAAUAAUUUCGAAUUAUGUGUUAUGUUUAUAUACUAGUAGGUGCACCUCAACAAAUUCAAACUUAAAACUUCACACACAAAGAAGUAAAUCAAUAAAUCAUGCAAAUUGGAUACCAAUUAUUUUAACCUCACCAUGGUCCAUCAAGGAUACUCAACUUAUAUAUUCAUGUCAAAUAUACUUUGAAGAAGGACAAAGUACAAAUAUGAUAACCUUCUAUCUUCAUAAAUGAAUCACAAGUCCAGAAUCACCAAAAGAUGCAAGACAACCAAAAAAAAAAAAAGAAUUGAUCGAUUCAAGAGCUAACUUUGUUGGAUGUUUUAGCAAACUAACUUAUAACCUGUGAAAGUUCUAAACAAGAUCAUUAUGAACACAAACUUAACCAAAACUCCAACAUCUUUCUUUACUUGACAGAAAUAUUCUUUCAUAUAAUAGAAGAAGAUUGUUUUCAGCAUUCAAACUCCUUAAAGAAUGCUAUAGAUUUCUUAGUUUUGCAGUGAAAUUACAUAUAAACUUGUAUAGAAUGAUAGGCUCCUAAUUCUUUUUUUGUUCUCCCAGAAUAUAGCUAAUAUUUUUUCUCAACUAGUGCUAGAAUUUGUAUCUGUGCAAAUGUAAAUCUGCAAAUCUAAAAUUAAAUAUACAGUUAUUGCCAAACAGAGAAUAUACGUUCCUGUAAAAAAACACCACGAAUGAAAACGAAAUAUAAUUAUUUCAAGAAAGCAAUGAAACAGCACUAUCAAAGCACUUCUAAUGAAUUUUGGGAAGCAUACUUCUUGGUCGAUACAAUGAAUCGUAGACAUGGAAAGGGAAAUGUUCAAAGCUGUCCAUAUAGUUUCUGAAGGCAAUUUCCAACCCUGACAAUCUGAAUUAUAUAUUCAACAAAUCAAAGUAAAAUUAAUAAAGGGAUGUAAAGGAAAAUUCCAAAGUUGUGUAAAGAAAAUCAAUGUAAGGUAAUUUAAAACAUUAAAUUCUGUUUUGUGGUAUAUGCUAAAAAUAUUACAACAAUUCUUUACAUAUUUUUUUUUUGGUACAAAGUAUGCAAUGUCUAUUACAGUAUUAAGAAUUUUUAGGUAACGAAAGUUAUUCUAUAUAAUGAAAGGUGAGACAAAUUUUAUUUAAAUUAAUUAAUACAAAAUACAAAUUAUAGCAUUAAAAGAUUUUUUUUUUAUUAUGCUAUAAAAGAAUUUUGCGAUAAAAUUUAACUCAUCCACAAUGGUGGAAUUUUUGCGUACUACCAACUAAAUUGAGAAUUCAUGAUAUCUCUUCUUCAGAUAUAUCAAAAAUAAAAAUAAUAUACUUAAAAAAGACACACAUUAUAUGUUAAUAAGGUUUACAGAAUCUAGAAACAUCAUGGUUGUAAAAACAUAAUAAAAUUUAAUUGCCAAAAAUGUGAAUACAAUAAAAGGAGAAAAAACACAGCAGAGGCAGUUGCACAUUGAUCUGUCCAUGCCUCAGUUCGCCUAUUUCUUAUUAAUACAACCGAGAUUGGAUAUGGGUUUUUUCAUUUUAGCCCACGUUGAAUUCAAUUUAAAGGAAAAUAUUUUUUAAUUUAAAUUUAAUUGUAUAUAAUUAAUAAAAAUAUAUUUAAUUUUAUUAAUAUAUAUAGUGAAACAGGCCAUUAAUUUUUUAUUAAUAAAAACAUGCAAUUUUGAACCGUUGAAAAAGAAAAAAAAAUUCUAGUAAUUACUGUUAAAUGAAAAUGGAAAAGCCUUUUGAAUAUUAUCUUGAUUGAUAUUGUAUUAUUAUCAAUGUAAGAGAAUAUGAGUUUGAGUACGCUGAAACUCAUUACCCUCAUAUUUAUGGGUUGGAGAGGAACUAUCGAUAGUUUUAAGUAUUAUAUAAAAAAAAAACAGAUUUUAUCAAACAAAAACAUGAUGUUUAAUUUUAGGUCUUCAUAAAUUUUAGGCACAAAAACAUGAUACUUAAUUAGCAUGAUAAAAUUUAAUAGCGAAAAAAGGUAACAUAAAAUAAGAGAAAAAAAGGUAGGUCAUACAAAAAGCAAAGACAUUUUGUAACUAAAAAUUUCAGUACUCUAAUGAUAUAAUUAGUGAUCCCACCACUCAGAAUGUAAAUUAAAAUCAUUCAAAAAACUUACACAGCAUUAAAUGAAACUUUGUCUUUGUCGCAUUUGAUGUAGUAGCAUACACUCCAUCCAUCCCAAGCACCUUCUAAUAAUUUAGAAUAGAUAUCCAUCGAAAUCACCACUUUCACUAUGCAAGCUUGAUUUAUAUCAGUUGGGUAAGUAUUUCUAUUUAAAAAAUAGAAAUGGGAAGUUGGAAGGAAAGAUGAAGUAUUAAAUUUGAUGGUACAACGAGAAGCCUCAAUAUAAAGUGAUGAUUUUAUAGGUUUCGUGUAGUUCACAACAUACAUGAUGUUAGCCUUUAACUCUCUACCAUAAUAAAAAGGAAAAUGAUCUAAAACAAUAGAAAAAGAAAACAGUUUAUAAUAACUAUAAUCAUAAGAAGAAUAUGCGGAACUAAGAGAAAGGGAGUUGCAAUCAUCCACAUCCAAACUCGCAUCGACCACUCGUAUUGUAGAAUUUUCGUAAAAAAUUUGUUAGACAGAGAAUUUCCCAUUCUCUCCCAACUAAAAUGGCGUAAUUGUUGUUGUCACACUCAAAUUCCAGGUCAUACCAACCACACUGGGGAGGUUGGUUUUUUAAUCGGAAUGGAAAACUGAUAUUCAAAUUCCCACAGAAAAUAGAGCCACAAUCUUGGUUAAUAAGAUGCCUAGCAAAGCAAGCACAGGGAAUAGAAUUACAAAUGAAGCAAAAGCGGCCAUUAGGUGACCAAAGAAUGGUAGUUUUGCUUUUAAUUUUGGAAUGCUAAAAUAUUGGGUAGGAUUGAAGAACAUCAAUGGGGGCAAGGAAAUAUAUAAUAAAAUAUUUAAAAUAUUUUUAGUUGAUAGUUUUUAUAUUUUAUAACUAAAUUUAAAUUUAAAAAAAUAUUUCUUUUACUAUUUAAAUUAAAUUUAAACCGAACUAAUCUAAAUAUAAAAAUAUUUAUCCAAAUCUAACUCAAAUCAAGUUGGUGGGGUCACAUUAGCAGAGAUUGUAGAAAAUGAAGGUGUGUAAAGUUGAAGGAUUAGAUAGGGAUUUGGACUUCAUUUAUGAAAAUGAAAUUGAAGGUAGGUUUAAUUUUUAACUAAUAGAAGAUGUGAUUGAAGCCCAUUCUUUUAGGAAUUUUGGGCUCUUUGAUUUCUGUAUUCCCACUUCAUCACCCAUUCAUUUAUUUUAAUUCUUGGCAGUGUGUGGCCCACUAAAUUUAUUUUAAUUUUAUACACCCGUAUUGUUAUUAGGGAUAAUAUAAUUUUUGACCCCUAAUCUUGAUAGUUAAGUGCACUUCAGUACAUAUUUGUUUUGGUCUAUUUUGUCACUUGAAUUUGACUAUUAGGUAUAUUUUAAUUUCUAAACUUGAAAAAUACAAAAGUUUUAUGAUUCGACUUUUUGAGAUUGUGCUACAUCAUCACAUUAAAAUUAAAAAAUAUAUAUUUAUAUAAAUUUUUAGAGGAUGACGUGGUACAAUCUUUAAGUGCCACGUCCAUUAUUUUAAUAAUUGGAUUUGUGGUUGAAUCAGUCAAAACCACUAGUUCUCGAUUCAACCAGCUUGAUCAGUUUGACUAUUGGACCAACAAUAAUUAAAUAAAUCAUUAAAAAUUCAUAAAAAUCUAAAAAAAUAAAAUAAAAUUUUGUUAAACCGAAUAAUCAUGGUCAACAAUCGAGGGGUUUUCUCAAUUUUCGAUUUUUACCAAUUUCAAGCAAUUUCUUAUUAAAUUGGUUCAACUUCUUUGUUCAAAUCAUUAUAUCGAUUGAUUCUAAAUCCAGCUGGUUUGAUCAUUAUCCCAUGUGAGAUAUUUAAAUAAAAAGAUUUACCCUCUUUCAAAUCACUUACAAAAAAACUCUAAAAAUUCGAGAUAAAACACAAAAAAAAUUGAGAUCCAAAAGAAAAUAAAUGCAUUAAAAAUGUUAUUUGUACGGGUAGUAAUGUAACCAAUUAGUCUUGAUAGGUUCCAAAUCAAUUAGCUUGAUUCAGUGUAAAGCGUAAAUUAUAGUAUAUUUUAUUUGCUCGAUUAAUAAAAUUUAUUUAAAAAGAACCAAAUGAAAACCACUAUACAACUUUAUAAAGUGGACAACACAUCCAACACUCAAAAGCACGAAGAAACUAGAUAUAUAAGUCACCAAUAAAACAAUAAUCUCAACAUUCUCAAACAUGGCAACAAAAAUAUUCUAAAAAAAAGAAGGAAAUAGGACAUCCCACCUAGAGUGUUGAAAUACUUGGACUCAAUCGUUAUAACAACGAAAAAGGAGACAAGACAUCCAACAUUCUCGUCACAAUGCAUUCUCCUCUAACUCACCGGCAAUCUCUGCAAUGCGAUAACACAAUUAAAGGCUACUGUGAUAGCAACUCUUAUAAAUAUUCAAAAAUUAACUUUUAGACACAUCUUAUCUUAAUAUAAGGUAAAUGGUUGAUUCAAACAUGAAAAUUUGAACCAAUUCAUCUCACCUCAAUUCAAUUGAACAUAACUAAAUUGAGACAAAAAUCUAUUCAUAUGGUGUACAUUUAAUUUAUAUAUGAUUUCAAUUAUGGUUUAAAAUUUAAAUACUUUUAACAAAAAUUUUAAAUACUUAAUAUUGAACAAAUAAUCAAAAAAAAUUUAUUAUUAUGAAUAAUAACUUAACACAUAGGUAAAAGUUUUUUUUUUACUUAAUAAUAUUAUUAGCAAUCAGACAUUAUUAAUUGUAUAUAAAAAUAAUGAAGCUUAAAAAUUAAAAUUCAAAGGUAAUAUCAUUGUCAAAUUUACUCAAAAUUAUUUUUAACUAUGGUUAUCUAUGUACAUAUGUGACACACAUAAUAAGAUACUUUUUAUCUAUAUAUAAGACAAAAUAAUACAAAGCCAAAAGGUUGAGAUAAUGAAGUGAAAUGUUUCUAACCUUAUCCAAUAUUUGAACUUGUUAUAAUAACAGUAUUCAAUGAUGUAGUUGUCUCAUCAUUAGAGUUUUCACAGCUAUCAACCUUUAUUGUGAUGUUUUAAGGGGAAGGUGAUGGAAUGUCUUAGGAGGCAUUUCAAGGAGUUCAACAUCAUAUUCAAGCAUCCUCAAGACUUUAUUCAUUGAAGGACGAUCAAAAAGAAGUAAUUGUAUACACCAAAAGGCUGUUAUUAUCAUCUUCUUUGCUAUUUGGACAUUUAUAAUAAUUUUUAAGUCUAAACCAGAAUUGCUUAAACCUAAUUUGUUUUCAAACCUAUAGUAGUCUAUAUCUGUAUCUAUAUACACAAAAGAUAUAUAUACAUAUAUGAUUAAUAAUUACUAUUAAUUAAAACAAUGAAGGCCAAUGUAUUAUGAAAUACUUUAUGAAGGAGAAGAUAUGCAAAGUUAAAUUCCCCUAGUCCAGCUCCUCCUUUUCUUCAUCUCCCUAGGAACCAAGAAUGACACAACUUCUUCUUCCUGAAAAAUGAUAACAACUCCUUUAGUUUGAUACAUGCUAAUUCAGUUUAGUUAAUAAUAUCCUCUUUAUCAGCCUUUCCUUCCACAAGUUUAGUAAUAUUAUAUUGAUUUCAAUCGCUUAGCAAUAAUAAAAUUCUUUAAACCUCAAAACAAAAUUUAUAUAUAAAGACUUACCUUAGAAAGUGCACAAUCUAUAUGAGCAACAAAUAUUCCUGGGCAUUCUUCACAAUAGUAAACAUGAUGGUUUGGGUGUCUUUUUUCUUCACAUGCAUCACAGUAAUGCUCAUCUGAAUCAUCUUCGAUAUACGAAUCUUUAAGAGUUAAAGGAUGGAUGUGGCAUUUGGAUUUGAUAAUUUGAGGUAAGGAUAGACAUUCUAGGUGGAAAUUGAUGAAACACUCAAGACAACGAUAGAAAGAUUGCCCGCUGCAAAUUUCACCACAGUGACUACAAAAUAGUCCAGCAUAGAUAUCAAUGAAGUCACGGUACAUGGCAAAGAAUCGAUCAAAGUCCGUCCCAAAAUAAUAAAGAUGGUGCAUGUGAGAGUCAAGUUUUAGAGGGCGUGUUAGGGAAAUUGCACAUGCAAUAUGGUAGUUGACGCCACAAUCUUUACAACCAUAGUUAUAACUCUUAUGAUAGCCAGAUGGUAACAGCUUUAGUGAACAUGCAUGGCACCCUCCAUAUCUCGUGUAGCUUAGAGUCAAAGUGUGUUGGGAAUGAAAAGGUACUUGCAUUUCUUGUGGUAACCUAAGGCAAGAUUCAUGAAGAACCCAACCACAGCUCAUGCAAUGGUAUGUUGGACCAAAGAUUUGCAGUCGACAAAGAUUGCAUUGUCUUUUAACUAGAGGGUCAGUAAAAUUGCAAAACAGUAGCUUGUGCUUGUGGGUGAAAUGGAAUAGCUCAGUUUCCCUCUCCGACUCUUUCAAUGUUGUGCGCCCACUUUCAGAGGGUGCUCGAGUUGCGCAUUUCAGAUCGAGCUUGAAAUCACAGUGCUCGCAAAGAUAAAAGAAGCCGAAGUACAAAUCUUGACACUUAUCACAUAUAUUUUGGUCCAGCGACAUAGAUGUAGCGUAGAGGUUGAGAUGAUGUUGAGGAUGAAGAGGGUGUUGUAUCACAUCGGGUAAUUUAGCACAGUUUUCAUGUAGGAUAUAUAGGCAUCCUUUACAGAUGUAGCCUGGACCACUAAGUUCUAAACGACAAGCUCCGCAAACCCUUUCCCCCAAGUUUUCAGUUACCUCGCAAAAUUUCAAUGGAUGUUUAUGGAAGACUGGUCGGACCUGUACUUGUAAAUAAACAACCAACAAACCUGUUAAUUCAUCAUGUUAAAUAUAUGUAAAGAAAAUAUAUAUAAUUCCUUUGUUUCCUACUAACCAGAAUCGUUUCAGUCUGCUCCAUUUCCUUCAGCUCCGAAGCUUUAGCAUCCAUGGAUAUGGGAGGGGAGGAUGAUGAGUCCUGUUUUGUUGAUGUUUCCUCCUAAUGUACAGCAAACAUUCCAUUAUUAGAAAACGAGGAAUAAAGUAAUAUAUAAAAGUAAAGCAAACUAAGGAAAGGGUGCGACCUGAUUGAGCACACAUUCAAUAUGAGCAAUAUAUGUGCAUUUUUGGCAAUAAUAAACUUCAUGUGUUGGAUCUCGUUCUUUCUCACAAAUAUCACAGUAAUACUCUCCAAUCUCAUCUUCUCUAAUUGGUUGAUUAAGGAGGAGUGGAUGUCUAUGAUAUCUGUGUUUAGCUAAAGGUGGAACUGGAACACAUUUAAGAUGGAGAUUGAGAUCACACUGCACACAACGAUAAAAGGUGUCUAAACACAGCUCAUGGCAGGAGCUGCAUUGGAAAUGAUAUUUGAGAAUUGGAUCCCUGAAAGUGGGACCAACAUAAGUGAGACCGUGGUUGUGGCCCUCAUGUUUAAGGGUAGGUAAUAGUUUUGCACACCCAAAAUCAAGGUUGAAAUUGCAAAUUUGGCAACCAUAGGCGGCGGUGGAGAAGUCUUUACUCAUACUAAUCCAUUGUGUACAAGCAUUGCAAGUUGCGUCAACGAAAUCCAAGCGAAGAGGGUGUGAUGGAUGGAAAGGAUGGUUCAAUGUUUUGGGUAUCUUAUCACUGCAAAAUUCAUGAAGGAAGAAGCCACAACUUUUACAACCGUAGAAAAUGCCCGCCAGUGGCUUGUCACACCAACGACAAUUAUAAUCAUGUUCUCCCUCAUUGCUAUACUUGUAGAGGACCAGCGGGUGGAUGUGGCAGUAAUGCUGCAUUGCCUGUUUCCUAUCUGCAUUGGAUCUCUGCCUCUUCUUCCUAGCUACAUGAUCAUCACUGCUUGCAAAAGCGCAAACUAAAUCGAGCUCGAAGGCGCACCGACAACACGUGUAAUUGGUGCCCGAAGAAAUCUUCAAACAUAGAUCACAGGUAAAUGGUGCGAAAGGACCAGACCAAUCUAACAUAAGAUGGUGGUGUGAGUGGAGAGGAUGUGUAAUCUCUCGAGGCAGAUAUUGUAUAGCUUUGGCGCACAAUUCAUGCAACCAGAGUUCGCACCUUACGCAUGCAUAGGCUGCACCACAGAUUUUCUCCGUGCAUUUCUCACACCAUUUAUCAUCUGUCUCAUCAUCGAGACAAUGAUAGCCCAUUGAAUGCUCAUGACUGGCAAGUUUGAUCUCCAUAUCUCAAACAAAGAUAAGAUUAAAUGAUAAAAGAUAAUAUGGGAAGAAAACAUUUGAUUUCUAAUUAUAUAUAUAUAUAUAUAUAUAUGUAGGUAUUAAUAGACACUUCAGUUUCAAUCUUUAGUAUUACUUUUAUCUUUGAUAAAAUGCCAUUUAUUGAAAGAUUUAUAGCUUUCAAAUAAUUAUUUAUUAAGUUAUUGGUGAUGUAUCUUAAUAUUGUUCAUAAUAAUAUAUAAACCUGUCAGUUAAUUAAAUAUAAACUAUCAUUAUUAUUAUUUCUUUCUACUAUUGUAUUUCACUAGAAUUAGCCUUUAAAGGACGCCAAUAACUUUUUGAACUAAUGAUAAAAGUAUUAGGUUGUAUGUAUACCUUAUCCCAUACCUUAAUUAUAAAAAAAAAUAAUUAUUCACUCCCAUAUAUAUAUGAAGAAAAUAUUGAUAGUUAAAAAGUAUAAGUAGUUUUUUAAAUUUAAAUUUAAAUUUUAAGAUAAUAACUAUUCACUUUGUGUUUAGAGUACAUAAUUUUUACACAAAUGUGGUAGAGUUUUUAGUUUAAGAUAAUAUUUUAUAUAACUUUUUUUACUUUUUACUUUUUUUUUCCAACUGAAUUAAUUUUCAGUUAACUCAAUUAAAAUUAUAGAAAUGAAUAAUUUUAUGAUACUAUAACUAAUUUAUAUUUUUUAGAAUUAAAAUAUAUUAGGUUGGAUUUUAAAGUAGGCAUAUAUUUCCCAUCAUACAAGAAAAUAAUAUUAUUUUGCGAUUCAUCACGCAAAGAAGUAACAUAUAUUCUUUUUAAAGACAAAGGGCAUAUUUUUAUUUUGGGUAGGACACAACGUUAAGGAAUGUAUCUUUUUCCUUUUGCUUUUUUGGAAUGAUUCUAUUAAUUCUUUGAUAAUAUAUCUACUUGAUUAAUUAGCAUAAAACUUUUUGUUUAAUAUGGCAAGGUUCAUUGGGAUUUAACUUAAGUUUUUUUUGCUUCAUUUUGCUCCAAAUUCUCAUAUAUCAUGUCAGAGGCACUUUUGAGGGGAUUGGCAUUGGCCUCGGCCCCUCUUAAAAUAAAAAAUUAUCAUUUAGGCUCUCUAAAUUUUUUUUAAAAUUUUAAAUUAGUAAAUAUAAAAUUACACUUUGGCACCCUAAAAUUAUAAAAAUUCAAUUUAAUCCUUUAAAAAUUAUAAAGAUAUAGACUAUAAAAAAUUAAAAUUUCUUUUAGCCCCCUAAAAAAUUGUUCUGGCUUCACCCUUGUAUCAUGUUAACUUAUUAUUAGACUAUAAUACUAAAUUUUCCUCCUCUCCCAACCAAAGUGGUGCGAUUGUUGUUCUCACACUCAAAAUUCUAAGUCAUAAUAACCACACUGGGGAGGUUGGUUUUUUAAUGUGGAAAACUGAUAUUCAAAUUCCCCCAGAAAGUAGAGCCGCAGUCUUGGUUAAUAAGAUGCCUAGCAAAACAAACAGCAGGAAAUAGAAUUACAAAUAAAGCAAAAGCGGGAAACAAUGUCAGUUUUGCUUUUAAUUUUGGCCUUUGGGUAGGGAAGAUGAAUAAUAAUGGGAGCUAACAAUUAAGUUUCUAACUAAAUUAGGGAAAUAUAUAAGAAAGCUUCAGUGGGAGAAGAAGCAUUAAUGGGGACACAAGACUUUGACUACUCUUCAGUUUUAGUUGGGAUGAAUAUUUUAUUUUUAUUACAUAUUUUACACCUUUUAUUCUCUCUUAUUUUCUUUUCUGGGAAACACCUCAAUCAAAGUACAUUUAGUUCCAAGAAGAGAGCCAUGGUUAUCUCACCAGGAGGACCAAGGGGACAAGACUUUAAAAAAUAAAUAAAUUCCUUAAGUAUAAAGAAAUUAGAUUUUCAAUUUAGAAUAUAUAAAAUACAUGUAAAUAAGAUCUUACAAUUAUUUAAGUUUAUUUAUUAUCAAAUUAAUAUUUAAAUAUUAGAUAUGAUAGUCAUUUAACCUUAUUUUUUAUCAAAAUAAUAUUUGAUAUUACUUUGUAUUAGUCUAUUAAAUUAAAUUAAAAAUAUUACUAAAUAUUGUUGUUACCGAAUGAAUAUUUAGAUACUACUUAAUAUUAAUUUAUCAAAUUAAAAUUAAAAAUAUUACUAAAUUUAUCAUAAAAUUUUAUAAUUAUAUAAAGAAAUCAAACUAAAAAAAAAUUAUCAAAUUAAAUUAAAUUUAAAAUUAUUACUUGGUAUAUUGUUAGUGAAAAGGAAAAAAAUUCAGAAGCAGAGUUAAAAUAAUUACAUGUGUCCAUUUAUUUAAUUUUAGAUUUUUUAGAAUAAAAUUUCAUAAAUAAAUAAAAAAAUGAUAGAAGAGAGAGAAUCUAAGCCACACGCAUUUAAGCGCUCAACCAAAAUUUUAUUUUAAUGCACAUUAUAUAUUUUUAUUUUAAUAUAUGUAAUUUAUUAUUUUCAUCAUUGCACAUAUUAAUAUUGUUGUACGUUAAUUAAAAUAAUAUAAUGUCACAAACUAACUCGACAAUAACUCACAAUUGAAGAUUAUAUCACAAUGAACAAUUAUAGGAAGAUUGGAAGCAUGUUUUGUCAGCAGUGGAUGCAUAAACCUUUUUAUGGAGUAUGUAAGUUGAGUUCUCCCAACUACAAUGAUUGACCAAAACAAUGCGAGUUCGUCAGAGUCUUUUUUAAAGAAAAAUAAAAGUAUUAUGAGACGUUGAUAGCUAAUUAAGAGAUAAACCCACUAAGUCAAUGCAAGUCAAUUCUUCUUAAAAAAAAUAUAAAAACAAUUGAGGCUCUGGGUUUGACCCACUACGCCUCCUUUUGCAUCAAUUCAUAAGAGAUUUUGUUGCCAAGGAGCUUGAGAAUCCUAUAAAGGUAUCACUUCAAUGAUACAAAGCUACAUAAAUUUUAGUUGUCUUUGAGAUAUUUUCAUAAAAGCAUGUGCAAAAUCUUUUAGAUUUUAAACAAUAUUAUUUAUUUUUAAACAACAUCUAGCAAUGUAUUUUUUAAACAUUUAUUUGAAAAGAACCAAAUGAAAACUAUUAUAUAAUUUUAUAAAAUUGACAACAUAUCCAACAUUUAAAGCACAAAAAAACUAGAUAUGUCAACAAAAAAAUAAUAAUGCCAACAUUCUCAAAUACAGCAACAAAAUUAUUCUAAAAACAAAAUAUAAGACAUCACACCUAGAGUGUAGAAAUACUUGGAUUUUAAUCAUUAUAACAACGAAAAAGAAAACAAAACAUCCAGCUUCCUCAUCAUAAUGGAUUCUCCUCUCACUCACCAAUAGCCUUUGCAAUGCAAUAACAUAAGAAGAGGCUAUUGUGAUAGCAACUCUUAUAAAUAUUCAAAAAUUAACUUUUAGAUGCAUCAUGUCUUAAUCUAAGACAGAAUUUAUCCAAACAUAUGAAAAAUCUAAUCAACUCAACUCAAUUCAAUUCAACCCAACCUCAAUCUAUCUAUGUAGUUUACUUUUAAUUAUGAUUUAAAUUUAAAUAUUUUUUAACAAAAAUUUUAAAUACUUAAUAUUGAACAAAAAAUAGUAUUAAUGAAAAUUUACAAUUAUGAACAAUAACUUAACAUAAAAAUCUUUUGUUUUAGGAAUAAAACUUCAUAAAUAAAAAAGACAACUUUUUUCUUUUUUAAAUUUUAAAAGGGACAAAUAUCAAAACUAUACAUAAAUUAUGGUUUAAUAUGUAAUUGUAUACAUGAACUUUGAUUUUAUGUAAUUUUAUAUAUGAAAUAUUGAUUUGAUCCAAUUUUUAUAAAUUACUAACACAAUUAUUGUUAUAACAUCAUUUUAUAUUUAUAUAUUGCAUAUAUAAAUAAUUAUAUUUAUCCAAUAUAAAAAUAAAUUGAUGUAUUUAUUUCUUUAAAUGUCUAUGAUUAAAUCAAAAUGAAAGUUUCAAAUAUACAUUUGAAUUACAAUUAGAGCUUCAUGUGUAUAAUUGGACCAAAUUGAAGUUCAUGUAUACAAUUAUACAUCAAAUCAAAAUUCAUGUAUAAUUUUGAUAUUUAUCUCUUUCUAAAAUAUAUAGAAACAUUGGCAAACAAAUUUCAACUGUUAAAUCUUUUCAUUUUAUGGUCUCUCCUUGAUUUGUUUAUUUAUUUGAACUUAGGAAGGUUUGAAGUUAUUUCUCUCAACAAAUGAAUACAUCCAUACUAUGUUUAGGAGUUUAAUUGAGAUGGUGCUAUUGUCACUUAUCAAUUAAGUCUCAAUUCAGUUGUAAAAUUAAUAAAAAAGUUCAUUAUUUUUCAAAAUGAAAAAGAAUAUUUUUGAGAUAUUUUUAUCUUUUAUAUGAACUUUAUAAAAAUACAUCCAUUCAAUAAAAUUUAAACUCAAAUAUCAUAAUUUACCUUUUAUCACACUACACCAAAACAGGCUUUUAGCGGCGCUUUUCCCUCAAACGCCGCUAUAGAAUAACCUUUAGCGACGCUUUUCAAACAAACGCCGCUAAAAAUAUAUCUUUUAAAAAAUAAUUUUUUUUCAAAUAAUAUUUAUUUCUAUAAUAAAUAUUAUAUUAUGUUUUAAGGAUAAAUAAAAAAUAUUAUUUAAAUUAAAUUUUCUACAAAAAUUUUAACUUUCAAACUAAAUAUAAAUAUAAAAAUUAAUGAAUUUAAAAUUUAGAAUUUAAAAUGAUAAAUUAAUAACACAAAUAAAAUCCAAAAGUUAGAACACUUAAGUAAAAAUAAAAAUUUAGAAUCAAAACUAAAAUAAAUAAUACAUAUGCAAGGUAAUAAAAUAUACAAUGAAUUUUCUUAAUCAAGUAAAUCUUGGUUACAGAACUAACACAGUAUACAGUAAGUUUCGUCUUUCACAUUUUACAAAAAAAAUAAUAGCAUGUUUGUUUGCAUGCUACCAUGAUCAAAACACAAAAAUGAAGUUCUCCACCUGAUACAAAUUUCUCCUACGAAUGUGUAGAAUCAGAUCUCUAGAUUCUUGGAGUUCUUCAUCUGGUGUUGUCUCGAUGGUUUUGAUUAUUGUAUCAUCUAGCUGGAUUCAAAAAAAGAAUAGAAUGCAAAGCAUGUUAUACAUUUGGACUCCAAAUUUUUAGCAACUCAAAAGAAUGCUAAGCAUGUUGUCCAACCUUCCAGUACUCACAAGGAUCCUGAAUAAAAAUGAAAUCAGACCUCACCACUUCAGAUAAGAAGCCUACACAACUAAUUACACAAAAGAAAAAGAUGAGAAAAAAUAACAAUGUAAAAAAGACAUUUGAAUGAGAUAAUAUAGAACCCAGAGUUAACUCUGUGAAUACCUUCACUUUGAGUGGGUGUACACAGUUCGAUAAAGAUCAGCAAAAAUAGCAAAUCACUUGUGGAUACUAAGAUCUAGCAAGAGCACCCAUUACCAUUAUUAAGGAGGAGUAAAAAAACACUAAAAGAACUAAACAUGUAUUUUGCAAGUAAAUGAAAUAGAUGAUACUAACAGUCUUUAGCACGAUAGCAGAUCUCAUCACCCAAAACUCGCAUAGUCUUCAUGAACCUGCAGGUGGUGUAGCAUGUAUAUUAAGUUUCGCUUACUUAUCCACAUCAAUUCCAUUCUGACCAUUUGCAACAAUAUCAUAUAAGAAUUGCUUCUCCUUUGCACUCUUCAAAGUAAGCACAAAAUAGUGUAUGUGUUAGAUAAAGCAAAGAAACAAAGAAUGUCUGUACUUCAUACUGGAGCAAAAUAUAAAAAAUCCAGUGAUCAACAUGUGCCUACACUUAAAAUAUAAAAAAUCCAGUGAUCAACCGAAAUUAAACUAUUCAUCAAAAUGAUUGCAAUUAACUGAGUUAAAACAUGAUUUUUUUUUCUUUUCUAGCAAAUAUCCAAAGUCUUUUAUACCUUCCCAAAUGGUGAAACAAGCUGGUGAAGUGCUUGAAUUCUGUCUCCUAAUUUUUCUUUCCUCACCUGCCAUAUAACAUAUAUAUGUAUAUAUAUACAAGUUAGAAAAAAAGAAAAAGUAGGUGAUUAAUUUACUAUUUUACUUUCACUUAAACUAUAUUCUCUUUUUCAUACAUUAAUAGAAUAUGAUAGUUACAGCAAAAAAAAAAAAAGAAUCAUCCCUCUAGAAAUCGACAACCAAACAAGGACAACAGUUUUUACCACCCCACAUGUAUUUUGUGUAUGUGUAUAUACACAUAUAUAUGCUUGUAAGUGUGCGUGUGCGUGCAAUCUGUAUUGAGAUAAAAAAAACAUAUAUUUAAUUAUAUAAAAAUUAUGGUAAAAGUAUCAUGGAAGUCCCUGUACUAAAAGUUGGAUUACAUUUUGCCCUUUUACUCAAAUGGUUUAAUUUAAUCACUCAUUCAAUAGCUAUUACCUAAAAUGCUACCACUUUUGAGGUAUAAAAUCAGUGGAAGUCUAAAUCAACAAAGUCCUAAGCCAAUCAAAACAAAGUCACCAUGAAAUGAAAAGAACAAUCUGUUCUUAUCCUUUCGAAACAGUGACCAAAUACAAUGAAUUCAAAAGGUUGUUCUUUUCAUAUCUGCUUAUCAACCAAAUACGCAAUGAGAAAAAAAAAAUCAUGAUCCGCCAGCAGAAAAGCUUGAAAUUUGAAUGGAUCAAAUGAAACAUAAAUCUAAUGUAAAACACACCUGGAGAAAGCUUAAAAGAAGAGCUUUGAUGAGAUUUUCUGGUGUGAGCUCUGGCUGACGCUGCUGAUAUCUUCCUUCUAACUUCCCCAUUAUCGUCCCUCAAAACCCAAUAAUCUGUAAAAUGAAGACUCCCCCAAAUUACUUCAGAUGUCUCUCUUAAAUUCUAUUUAAAAAAAAUUAAAAAUCUAUAAAAAAAUAAAUUACUAUAAAAAAAAGAUAAGUAUGAAUUAAAAAUAUAAUCCCAAAUACUGAUUCAAUUGCAGACUGGGAUUUAUUUCUUACCUCAAAGGUACAGCAAUGGUUGUAACCUCUGUAACCUGUUUGUGAAACCUCUGUAACCUGUUUUACUAGUAAAGCCGAUAAUAAUCCAGAAACUGGUUGUAACCUCCUUGUAUUUGCCUGGGAAACCAGUAAAUCUUCUCAUUAUCAGCAUAUGUUGAUUUUUUUUAUAAUGUCGCAGGGAGGGAGGGAGGGACAGAAAGCAAGAGAGACGGCGUGUUUGCAAAGUUAAGAGUUUUAGGGGGGAAAAUUAGGGGUUUCACGGGGGAAAUUUGGGGAUAAAAUGGGGGAGAAUUUUUAAAAGUGAAAUUAGGGCUUUUAGGGGAAAUUUUGGAAUAAAAUGGGGCCAAGUGAAAUUAUUUUUGCGGCGUUUUUAUAAAAAAAACGCCAGUAAUGCACUUUUUGUGGCGUUUUUUUGAAAACACUACUAAAAAAUUUAAAUUCUUCUAUUGAAAUGGCAUCCUUUUGAGAAAUAUUAAUACAUAGUAACGGCGUUUUUUGCUGAAAAUGCCGCUAAAGCUCUCAUAUUUUUUAUAUUCAAUUAUUGUAUCUUUCAUAUAAAUUAUACAUAAAAUAAUUAUUAAAAUUUUAAGUAAUAUUUAAAAGAAUUAAAUAAUAUUAUAAAUUUUAGUUUUUUUAUUUCAUUUUUAUUUUUGUAUUUUUUUCUUAUAAUUUGGUCCUACCCAAAUUAAAUAAUUACCUAUAUAUCCAUAUCAAAUAUAUCAAAUGGUUUAAAUUAAAUAUUUUUAAAUAUAAAAGCAUUAAUUAAUUGUAUAAAAUUGUAUCAUUUAACAAAUCUCAAAUAAACCUUAAACCCUAAAUUAACCAUUCAAUAUACAGAAAGUCUAUCUAUUAUAUAUCUCUUAAAUAAUAUAAACUAUACCCAUAAUUUCAAUAUAUUAAAUUUAUUAUUAUCUCUUUUACAAUUAUAUAAGAAUAUAUUUAAUAUAUAAAUUAAAAAACUAAUUAAUCUAAACCCUAAACAUUAACCCGACCCUUGAAACCCUAGAUCCCUAACUCCUAACCCCUAAACCUUAAAUCCCAACCUUUAAACCAUAAUCCCUAAAUCUAUAUAUAAUCCCCAAACCUUAAAAUAGUAACUCCUAAACUGACUUUAAAUAUUAAAUUAAUCAUAUACCGUAAACCAUAAACCCUAAACUAUAAUGAUAAUUAAUUAAAUAUUUUAAAAUUAAUACUAUCUUAUAUUUUUCAAUUAUAUAUGAAAUUAUUUAAUAUAUAAAUUAAAAAACAUCUUUAAAAUAUAAAUUAAAAUGCUUUUUUGGAUGAUUUAAUGAAUAUGGUAGGAUUAACUCUAAACCCCUAACCUCUAAAUCCUAAACCCGACCCUAAACCUUAAACCCCAACCCUUAAACCGUAAACCAUAAAAAAUAAUCCCUAAACUAUAAUGAUAAUUAAUUCAAUAUUUUAAAAUUAAUACUAUCUCUUUUACGAUUAUAUAAGAUAUUUUUAAUAUAUAAAUAUCAAACACGUCACAGACACUUAAAACUUUGAGAUAGUUAUACUAUUUUUUAUUUCACUUAUAGGAACCUCAUAUACUCAAGCACUGCAAGUCUUUUGUGAAUUAACCAAUGCUUAUGAAAAUCUACUACUUCCUGUUAUCAAUGCCAACUGGAAUCACAAAUAUUAACAAGAAUCAGACAUAGAUAGCAAAAUUAAUCAAGCACUUUCAAGGGACAUCAGGGACAUCAUUCUAGCAGUUCUUUAAAGAAAUGGAUUUCAAUUCAAAAUUCAGUAGUUCUGUAACUAGCCUAGCAGACAGAUGGAAAAAUAAUAUUUAUUUUAAAGAUCAGUCUACCUCUUAACUGGAAUAACUUUUUGUAAACUUUAACCUUUUGAACUUUUUUUAUUAAUAUAUUUCUUCUAAUACUUGUUAGAGAUAAUCACAGUCAAGAGAUUCAACCAUUAAGAUUCAAUGGAUGGUUAAUAUAAGACCAAACAAAGACAAUGCAUCUAAUUUAAUAAGCUAAGCAGUGCUCAUGAACAAAGCAAAACAGUGUAUAAUAAAUUAUUUAAUAUGUAAAUUAAAAAACACUCAGUAAUGUACCCGAAAAACUUAAAAAUUAUUUUAAAUAAUGUACCCAAAAAACUUAAAAAUAUUUUUUGCGGCCCUUUUAAAAAAACGCCGCUAAAAAUAGAGCAUUAGCGGUGCUUUUUCAAAAACGCCGCUAAAGACCCGAGCAUUAGCGGUGAUUUUCAAAAAACGCCGCUAACGCCCCGAAAAAUCAAAAAAGACAUCGUUGUGCUUGGGUUUUUUGCGGCGCUUUCUGAAAAAUGCCGCUAAUGCUAAUUUUUAGCGUCGUUUUCCAAAAAACGCCGCUAAUGCUUGAUUUUUAGCGGCGUUUUUUAUCCAAACGCCACUAAAAAUGCCGCUAAAAGCCUGUUUUAGUGUAGUGUCAUUAAUCUAUACCAACUUGAGUGAGGAGGACCAAGACAAUGCAAGUCUCAAGUCUUCUUUGAAACACAAAAAUAUUUAAGUGGUUAAGAGCGACAAGCCUUAUUGGUCCUUGUUGGUUAUGUAAGUCAAUUGUAGAGAACGGUUGUUGGAUAUUUCUAAGAAGUAAGUUAAUAGUUAGAACGGUCAAGGAAGGCACAUUCCAUCCCAAUCCAAGCAUCAUGCUAGAUAAGACUACUUAAAUAUUUUUAAAUGUCCUUUUAAUAUAUUUAUAAGUGUUUUCGUCUAUUUUACAUGAAUUUAAAAUAUUGCAAAUUAAAUUUUAUUUAAUUAAAUUUAAACUAAAAACUAAAUUAUAAUUUUAAAUUUAAAUUUAAUUAUCCAAAACAAUUGACUUAAAUUAAUUCAAAAACUUGAAUUUAGAAUUACAUUAAUAGAUUUCAAAUUCGUUUCAUUUUAAAUGAAGUCAAUUUAGUAUUAAGAUGACAAUAGAUCGGGUCAAGCUGAAACAAGAUCCAAUUCUAAAAAAAAAAAUUUAAGUAUUUAGUCUUUUAUCGACCCAACCCUCAAAAGCUAGAUUUUUUUUCUUAUUAAAAAAUAAAAAAAUAUUAAAAAUAUUUUAAUUAAUAUUUCAUAAUUAAAUUUAAAUUUUAAAAAUAUUUUUUUACUAUUUAAAUUAAAUUUGAACCAAAUUGAUCUAAACACAAAAAUACUUAUCCAAGCCUAACUCAAAUCGGAUUAUACGGGAUCAUAAGUGUAGUUUAGCAGAGUUUGUUGAAAGUGUGUGUAAAGUUGAAUGAUUAGAUAGGGAUUUGGAAUUCAUUUAUGAAAAUGAAAUUGAAGGUAGGUUUAAUUUUUUAACUAAUAGAAGAUGUGAUUGAAGCCCGUUCUUUUACGAAUUUUGGGCUCUCCCGCUUCAUCACCCAUUCAUUUAUUUUAAUUCUUGGCAGUGUGCGGCCCACUAAAUUUAUUUUAAUUCUACAUACCUUCGAUAUUGUUAUUUUAGGGACAGUAUAAAUUUUGACCCCUAAUCUUGAUAGUUAAGUGCACUUCAGUACAUACUUGCUUUGGUCUAUUUUGACACUUGAAUUUGAAUAUUAGGCAUAUUUUAAUUUCUGAACUUAAAAAUUAUGAAAGUUUUAUGAUGCGACUCUAUAAGAUUAUGUUACAAUCAUCUCUUGAAAAUUAAAAAACUUUUUAUAUAAAAUUUUAGAGCAUGACGUGGUACAAUCUCUAAGUGCCAUGUCCAUUAUUUUAAUAAUCGGAUUGGUGGUUGAAUCAAUCAAACUAUUAGUUUUCGGUUCAACCAAUUUGAUCAGUUUGAUUGUCGGACCAACAAUAAUUAAAUAAAUCAUUAAACAUUCAUAAAAAAUCUAAAAAAAUAAAAGAAAAUUUUGUUAAAUCGAUUAAUCAUGGUCAACAACCGGGGGUUUUCUCAAUUUUUGAUUUUUACCAAUUUCAAGCAAUUUCUUAUUAAAUUGAUUCAACGUCUUUGUUCAAACCACUAUACCAAUUGAUUCUUGAUCCAAUCGGUUUGAUCAUUAUCCCAUGUGAGAUAUUAAAAUAAAAAUAAUUACCCUUUUUCAAAUCACUUGCAAAAAAACUCUAAAAAUUCGGGAUAAAACACAAAAAAAUUUAAGAUCCAAAAGGAAAUAAAUGCAUUAGAAACGUUAUUUGUACGGGUAGUAAUGUAGCCAAUUAGUCUAGAUAGGUUCUAAAUCAAUUGGUUUGAUUCAGUGUAAAGACUAAAUUAUAGUAAACUUUAUUUGUUUGAUUAAUAAAAUUUAUUUAAAAAGAACCAAAUGAAAGCCACUAUACAACUUUAUAAAGUCGACAACACAUCCAACAUUCAAAGCACAAAGAAACUAGAUAUGUCAACAAUAAAACAAUAAUGCCAACAUUCUCAAACAUGGCAACAAAAAUGUUCUAAAAAAAAGGAAAUAGGACAUCCCACCUAGAGUGUUGAAAUACUUGGACUCAAUCAAUAUAACAACAAAAAAGGAAACAAGACAUCCAACAUUCUCAUCACAAUGUAUUCUCCUCUAACUCACUAGCAACCCUUGCAAUGCGAUAACACAAUUAGAGGCUAUGUGAUAGCAACUCUUAUAAAUAUUCAAAAAUUUAACUUUCAGACACAUCUUGUCUUAAUAUAAGGUAAAGGAUUGAUUCAAACAUGAAUAUUUUAACCAAUACAUCUCAACUCAAUUCAAUUGAACAAAACUAAAUCGACACGAAAAUUUACUUAUGUAGUGUACUUUUAAUUUAUAUAUGAUUUCAAUUAUGGUUUAAAUUUAAAUAUUUAGUAUUGAAUAAAUAAUCAAAUUGAUGGAAUUUUAUAAUUAUGAACAAUAACUUAAAACAUAGGUAAAAGUUUUUAUUUUUUUUACUUAAUAAUAUUAUUAGCAAUCGGACAUUAUUAACAAUAAAAUACUUAUAUAUAUAUAAAAGGAAAAAUAAUUCAAAGCCAAAAGGUGAGAUAAUGAAGUAAAAUGUUUCUAACCUUAUGCAGUAUUUGAACUUGUUAUAAUAACAGUAUCCAAUGAUGUACUUGACUCAUCAUAAGAGUUUUUGCAGCUAUCAACCUUCAUUGAUGUUUCAAGAGGAAGUUGAUGGAAUGGCUUACGAGGCAUUUCAAGGAGUUCAACAUCAAAUUCAAGCAUCUUCAAGACUUGAUUCAUUGAAGGACGAUCAGAAGGAAGUAACUGUAUACACCAAAAGGCUAUUAUUAUCAUCUUCCUCACCAUUGCUUUUUCAUCGUCAGAAACAUCUCCCAACUCCAAGUCCUUUCCUUGAUCCAAUCGGUCAUAAAUCCAAGAUGGAAAAUAUAUUUGACUAGUGUGGUCAGCAAAUGCAUUCACAUUCUUUCUCCUUCCAACCAUUUCCAUCAGUAACAUUCCAAAACUAUAAACAUCAACUUUGUAUGAGAUGCCUCCAAGAUUUUUGUAAACCAAUUCAGGAGCAAUAUAUCCUAUCGUUCCCCGUGGCGCAGUGAGAGAGACAAUGCUACCAUCUACUGAAUACAAUUUAGUAAGACCAAAAUCGGAAACUUUUGGAUUAAAAUUCUCAUCAAGAAGAAUAUUGUGUGGCUUGAUGUCAAAAUGUAGGAUUUGCAUGUCACAUCCUUGAUGCAAGUAGUGAAUUCCUUGAGCCACCCCAAGCACAAUAUCAAACAUUUUUUUCCAGCCGAAAGUGUUAUUAUUUUCUUCUGUAAAUAUGAUUUUAUCUAAAGAUCCAUUAGACAUGAAGUCAUAUACCAGAGCUUGCUUUGAUCCCUCCACACAAAAUCCAAUAAGUUUUGCCACAUUAGCAUGAUGAAUUAUCCCAAUAGAAGCAACUUCAUUUAUGAAAUCUUAGCAAUUACCUUUUGACUUACCCAACAAUUUUAUUGCCACGUGAUGCCCACUACGAAGCUUUCCUUUAAACACUGAGCCAUAACCUCCUUCACCUAAUUUAUCUUUAAAAUUUUUGGUCAUUUUUUUAAUUUCUUUAAAAGAAUACCUUAUUGGCACCAGAUUAUUUUGACUUUGAAGGAACUCUUCGAUCAUAUCAUCCAUAGAUAAAUGUCUUCUUCUCCAUUAGUACGUAACAAGAGAAAGCAAACAAAUGAUCCCAGGAAACGACCUCAAAAAGAUAACUCCACCUUUAAAGAAAUACAAUGUAACACGUUGAAAUCAAACAAAUAAUAUAUAACUUACAUUCUCAGAAAAAAGUAAAUACUGUGAUAGUUUUAUGUUAACUAGUAUUUGAGACUAGUCUAUGGACUAAUCGAGAGUAGUCUGAAUUAUAUGUUAUGUUUUGGUCAUUAGCAGGUAUAUCUCAACAAAUUAAAAUUCAGAAUUUCAAACACAAAAGGAGUAAAUCAUGCAAAGUGGAUACCAAUUAUUCUAACCUCACACAUUCCAAUAGAUUUGACAGGGUCAUGACAUUCACCCAAAUUAACACCUUCGUAACCCCAUCCACUUAGCAAAUUCUAAAGAAAGAACAUGAUUCUUAACCAUGAAGGAUACUCAACUGUUGUCUCUAUUCAUGCCAAAUAAACUUGAAGAAGGACAAAUUAAAAAUAUAAUAACCUUCAAAUUUCAUAAAUGAAACAAAAUCUAGAACCACCAAAAGAUGCAAGAGAACCCCCAAAAAACAGGUUUGAUAAAUUCAAGAGCUAACUUUGUUGAAGUUUUAGCAAUAUGAAUAUCCACCAAACUUAUAACCUGUGAAAGUUCUAAACAAAAGCAUUAUGAAAACAAACUUAAGUAAAACUCUAAUAUCUUUCUUAACUUGACAAAAAAAUUUCUUUUAUAUAGAAGAAGAUUGUAUUCUGCAUUCAAACUCCUUAAAGAGUGCCAUAGGUUUCUUAGUUUUGCAGUGAAAUCAAAUAUAAACUUGUUAAUAUGAUAGGCUCCUUAUUCUUUUUUUUCCCCCAGAAUAUAGCUAAUAUUUUUUCUCAACUAGUGCUAGAAUUUGUAUCUGUGCAAAUGCAAAUGUGCAAAUCUAAAAUUAAAUAUACCUGUUAUUGCCAAACAGAGAAUAUUUCCUGUAAAAAAAACCACGAAUAAAAACGAAAUAUAAUUAUUUCAAGAGAGCAACGAAAUAGCAAAAUCAAAGCACUGCUAAUGAAUUUUGGGAAGCAUACUGCUUGGUCGAGACAUUGAAUCGUAGCCAUGGAAAAGGAAAUGUACAAAGCUGUCCAUAUAUGUUGCGCGGAAGCGUGUGAAAGAGUAAAAUUAUUGUACUGAAAAAUCACACUAAGUUCAAUUCCCAGGAAAGAGAGGUGGAUCACGAGGAUCGCUUACAUACCAGAUCUUUCCUAGCCAGAAUAUCCCUCUAUCGUAAUUUAAUAGCACAAUAAAUCACUACAAUGACACUUGCAAAAUAUGCAGAACAAAAAUAAAGAACACUAGAAUUUUAACGAGGUUCAGCAAAUUUUGCCUACGUCCUCGGGCACUACCAAAUAUAUUUCACUCCAAAAAUACAAGUGAAAGUUUACAAAUAGGGAGAGAGAACAAUUGCCUUAAGUAGAGAAUGGCAAGUGUGGGAUGAAGAAAGUAAGAAAUGGUUAGGCCUAUUUAUAGUUGAGGUUCAAGGAUCAACUUGCAAUGUCCCUAUACAAUUAGGGACCAAAAUUGCAAUUAUCCCAUGCCAACUUUUAACCCAACUUGCCAACCAAUUUUACUUUCUACUUUCGGUGCCCACCCUUUUUGACUUUUCAAACAAUGGGUGGGUUCCAAUAAUCUCCACCUUGAAGAUUUGAUUAGGAUAAUCUUAUCUUCACACAAUUCUUUCUGCCUUUGACAACAAUACUUAAUAGUGCCUUCUUCAACUGUUAAACUUGCAGGAUAUUAAUCAAGUUCAAACAAUGUUCGAACUUGGUUGCUGUUACCACCUUGGUCAUCAUAUCUGCGGGAUUAUUUGCAGUCUUGAUCUUCUGAAGACAAAUUUUCCCCUCUUCAAUAAUUUCCCGCACAAAAUGGAAUCGUACGUCGAUAUGUUUUGUACGUGCAUGAUAGACUUGAUUCUUUGCUAAAUGAAUAGCACUUUGACUAUCACAAUACACAUUAAUAUGCUCCUGAACCAACCCCAAGGUUUUAGCCAUACCUUGUAACCAAAUAGCCUCCUUUACAGCCUCUGUUACAGCCAUGUACUCGGCUUCUGUGGUUGACAAUGCAACUGUAGACUGUAGUGUAGACUUCCAACUUAUUGGUCCUCCAGCAAGUGUAAACACAUAACCGGUGGUUGAUCUUCGUUUGUCCAAAUCACCGGCAUAGUCAGAAUCAACGUACCCAAUAACACCUUUACCAAGUGUAUUAUCCUGCUUGAACAGUAAUCUAACAUCCACGGUCUUCUGAAUAUACCGUAGAAUCCAUUUCACAGCUUGCCAAUGUCCUUUUCCAGGAUUAUGCAUAUACCUGCUCACUAUACUAACUGCCUGUGAAAUGUCGGGUCUUGUACACACCAUUGCAUACAUCAAGCUACCCACUGCAUUAGAAUAUGGAACUUGCAACAUGUAUUCUCGUUCCGUAUUCGUCGAAGGAGAUAGUUGUGCAGAAAGCUUGAAAUGAGAAGCCAACGGGGUACUUACAGGUUUGGUCUGCUCGUUCAUGCCAAACUGCUGUAGUACUUUCUUCAAAUACUGCUUCUGAGACAAGCUAACUCUGCCAUGAGCUCUAUCUCUACAUAUUUCCAUGCCAAGAAUCUUCUUAGCUUCACCUAGAUCUUUCAUCUCAAACUCGAGAUUGAGUUGAGUCUUCAAUCUCUCAAUCUCAACUUUGCUCUUAGAUGCUAUCAGCAUAUCAUCAACAUAUAAGAGCAAGUAUAUGAAAGUUCCUUCUUGUAGCUUCUGAAAAUAUACGCAAUGAUCAAAUUUACUUCUUGUGUACCUUUGCCCUUUCAUGAACUGAUCAAAUCGCUUGUACCACUGCCUCGGAGAUUGUUUCAAUCCAUAAAGCGACUUUGUCAGUUUGCAAACCCAAUUUUCUUUAUCAGCAACAUUGAAUCCAUCAGGCUGAGUCAUAUAGAUUUCCUCUUCCAAAUCACCGUGUAAAAAUGCUGUCUUCACAUCAAGUUGAACUAGUUCAAGAUCGUAUUGCGCAACCAAGGCUAGCAAAAUUCGAAUAGACGAAUGCUUCACAACUGGAGAAAACACUUCAUUGUAGUCUAUUCCUUCUUUCUGAGCGUAACCCUUUGCUACCAAUCUAGCCUUGUAUCGAAUUUCAUUUUUACCAGGAAAUCCUUCCUUCUUUGCAUAUACCCAUUUGCAUCCAAUUGCCUUCUUUCCCUUGGGCAGUCUCACCAACUCCCAAGUCCUAUUUUUAUGAAGAGACUGCAUUUCUUCAUUCAUAGCUUGCUUCCACUUUACACCAUCAGAGUUACUUAUUACUUCUGUGUAAGUGGAAGGAACAUCAUCAUCUGCAAUUGGAAGUGCAUAGGCCACCAUAUCAUCAAAGCGAGCAGGCUUACGAAUCUCUCUUCUUGGCCUCCUAUAUGCAAUUGAAUCUUGUUGCUGUAGAAGUUCUUGGGUCGAAACUUCUUCAUCAUUUGUUCUUUCAAUAUUAGCUGGAUCAUCAUUAACCUUUUCAAACUCCACCUGCUGCAAAGUACUACUGGUUUGGUCAUCCUUUUGUGAAUCCUCGUUCUUCAUCAUGGUUGAUUCAUCAAAAGUUACAUCUCUACUGAAAAUAAUCUUCCUUGUAUCAGGACACCAGAGACGGUAUCCUUUUACACCACCAGUUAUACCCAUGAAUAAUGCUUUCUUUGCUCUUGGGUCUAACUUAGAUUCUUUUACAUGAUAAUAUGCAGUGGAACCAAAAACAUGUAAAGAGUCAUAAUCAGUAGUAGGUUUACCAGUCCACAUCUCCAUAGGAGUUUUUCCAUUUAUUGCAGCUGAUGGCAAUCGGUUAAUUAGAUGGCACGCAUAUGUAACUGCCUCAGCCCAAAAUUCCUUGCCCAAUCCAGCAUUGGACAACAUACAUCGAACUUUCUCCAGUAUAGUCCGAUUCAUGCGUUCUGCCACCCCAUUCUGCUGUGGUGUAUCUCGAACAGUGAAGUGUCGCACAAUGCCCUCAUCUUGACAUACUUGUAGAAAUGGAUCGUUUUUGUACUCAGUACCAUUAUCUGAUCGAAGUCGUUUGACCUUUCGACCAGUCUGAGUCUCCACCAUCUUCUUCCAUUUCAGAAAUGCAUCCAAAACUUCACUUUUUCUUUUCAUUAGAUACACCCAUACUUUUCUUGAAUAAUCAUCAACAAAAGUAACAAAAUAGUGCAUACCUCCCAAAGAAGCUACUUUGGUAGGUCCCCACACAUCACUGUGAACGUAGUCCAGAAUUCCUUUCGUAUUGUGAAUUGCUGGACCAAAUUUUACCCUCUUCUGCUUGCCCAGAACACAAUGUUCACAGAAUUCCAUUUUGCAAGAAUUUGCACCUUUCAAUAAGCCUUGCUUCACCAAUGUCUGCAAAGCUUUUUCACCAGCAUGUCCCAAUCGCAUAUGCCAUAAUCUGGUAGCCUCUGAAUCUACAUCUUUUGUAGAAACUGUUGAUGUUGAUCCAAUAACUGUACUUCCAUUUAAAAAAUACAAGUUAUUUCUUCUUGUGCCUUUCAUCACCGUCAGUUGCCCAGCUACUACUUUUAGUAAUCCAUCUCUCAAAGUGAUUGUGAGCCCUUUAGAUUCUAGGGCACCUAAUGAGAUGAGAUUUUUCUUCAGGCUAGGUACGUAGCGAACAUCUGUCAAGACUUGGAUUGAGCCGUCGUGAUUCUUCAAUUGGACUGUACCCACUCCCAUUGUCUUACAAGCACUAUCAUUGCCCAUAAGAACAAUUCCACCUUCUAGCUCUUUAAGACUAGAAAACCAGUCCUUAUUAGGACACAUAUGGUAAGUACAUCCUGAAUCCAAAAUCCACUCAUCCGUUUGACAUGCCAUUGCCAUGCCAACCAAGCUAAAGUCUGACUCCUCAUCAUGCUCCGCUACACAUGCAUUAGAAAUAGCCUUGCCCUUUUGUAGCUUAGGACAAUUCUUUUUCCAAUGCCCUUUUUCACGGCAAAAGGCACAUUCAUCUUUGGCGGGUCUCCCUUUGGACUUUCCCCUUCUACCAGAUUUGCUGCUGUGUGAACGACCUCUUACUGUUAAGACUUCUGCGGUUGUAUCUCUGUGAUCUCUUUUAUCUUUCUUUCGAGUCUCAGAUCUAUACAACGCACUACAGACUGCAUCAAAUGUGAUCGUGUCCUUCCCAUGAAGCAAUGUGGUGGUAAGAUGAUCAUAUUCAUCAGGAAGGGAAUUCAACAACAAUAAUGCCUUGUCUUCAUCUUCAAAUUUCUCAUCCAAAUUUAGCAAGUCUGCUAAAAUUUUAUUGAAUGAGUUCACAUGGUCAUUCAUCGACAUACCGGGUGCAUACGUGAAUCGAUAAAGUUUCUUUUUCAUAUAAAGCCUAUUUUCAAGACUUUUCGUUAGAAACUUUUCUUCCAAUGUAUCCCACAGCUUCUUCGCUGAUGUCUCCCUCAUGACGGAGUACUUCUGCUCUUUGGCCAAACAUAGGCGGAUUGUACCACACGCCUGUCUAUUGAUCUUGGCCCACUCCUUGUCAUCCAUCUUGUCAGGUUUUUCUUCAAGGGCUAUAUCCAGCUCUUGCUGACAUAAGACAUCCAGGAUCUCACACUGCCACAUACCAAAAUUAUUGGUACCGUCAAAUUUCUCUACUUCAAAUUUUGCAUUUGUCACAGUAGUCCUUGCUGAUGACGAUGCUGCUGCCAUUUUUCUCCUCAAUCCCAACUACUGUAUACGUGAACAGUACCGUAUACGUGAAUAGUGCCGUAUACGUAAAUAGUACUGUAUAUGUGAAUAGUGCCGUAUACGUGAAUAGUACCGUAAACGGUCGUAUUCCCCAAGUACGAACCUGGCUCUGGUACCAAUUGUUGCGCGGAAGCGUGUGAAAGAGUAAAAUUAUUGUACUGAAAAAUCACACUAAGUUCAAUUCCCAGGAAAGAGAGGUGGAUCACGAGGAUCGCUUACAUACCAGAUCUUUCCUAGCCAGAAUAUCCCUCUAUCGUAAUUUAAUAGCACAAUAAAUCACUACAAUGACACUUGCAAAAUAUGCAGAACAAAAAUAAAGAACACUAGAAUUUUAACGAGGUUCAGCAAAUUUUGCCUACGUCCUCGGGCACUACCAAAUAUAUUUCACUCCAAAAAUACAAGUGAAAGUUUACAAAUAGGGAGAGAGAACAAUUGCCUUAAGUAGAGAAUGGCAAGUGUGGGAUGAAGAAAGUAAGAAAUGGUUAGGCCUAUUUAUAGUUGAGGUUCAAGGAUCAACUUGCAAUGUCCCUAUACAAUUAGGGACCAAAAUUGCAAUUAUCCCAUGCCAACUUUUAACCCAACUUGCCAACCAAUUUUACUUUCUACUUUCGGUGCCCACCCUUUUUGACUUUUCAAACAAUGGGUGGGUUCCAAUAAUAUAGUUUCUGAAGGCAUAUGUCAAGCUUGACAUUCUGAAUUAUAUAUUCAACAAAUCAAAGUAAAAUUAAUAAAGGGGUGUAAAGGAAAAUUCCAAAUUUGUGUAAAAAAAGCAAUGGAAGGUAAUUUAAAACAUUAUAUUCUGUUUUGUGGUAUAUGCUCAAAAAAAUUAUAACAAUUCUUUACAUUUUUUUUGUUUGCAAAAAGUAUGCAACAUGUAUUACAGUAUAAGAGCUUUUAGGUAACUAAAACUAUUUAAUAUAAUGAAAGGUGAGAUAAAAUUAAUUAAUCCAAAAAGUAUAUAUUAUAGCAUUAAAAGAGUUUUUGCAAAAAAAAAAUUAAACUCAUCCACAAUGGUGGAAUAGUUACGUACUACCAACUAAGUUGAAAAUUCAUCAAAACUUAAAAAUGAAAAUAAAAAGAGAGCCAUUAUAUUUUAAGAAAGUUUGCAGAACAUUGUGGCUGUAAAAACAUAAUCAAAUAUAAUUGUCCAAAAAGAAGACAAAACAGCAGAGGUAGAUACUAAAUUAGAAAUGCUUUUAGUUCAUUUGAUUGUUAGAUGUUGAUCAAUUUUAGAUGCAAAAUCAUAAUACUUUAUUAGCAUCAUAAAAUUUAAUUGCAAAAAAAGUAACAUAAAAUAAAACAAAACAAAAAGUAGUAGUUGUAACUAAAAAUUCCAGUAUGAUGCACACUCAAAAUGCGAACUUAAAUUAUUAAAUAAACUUACAUAUCUUUCAACAAAACAUUGUUUUUAUAGUCGAAGCAACUCUGGUAAUCGCAUUUAUCCCAUUCGACCCAAAAACCCUCUAAUAGUUUUUUGUAGAUAUCCAGCGUAGACAUGCCUGUUAUAUUAUCAACCAUAAUUGGAACCUCCACUUCGAUGGUGCAAGCUUGAUUGAUAUAAGAUGGCUGGGUGUUUCCAUUUAAAAAAUAGAAAUGGGAAGUUGAAAGGGAAGAGGAGGUAUUGGAUUUGAUGGUACAACGAGAAGCCUCAAUAUAAUUAUGUGAUGAUUUUAUAGGUGUCGUGCAAUUCAUAACAUAAAUAAUGCUACCCUCUAACCUUCUAUUGUUGUAAUGACUAUAAUAAUAAUAAUUAUUAGAAGAAAGGUAAAAAUUUGAUAGCUCAUAAUCAUAAUAAUCUACAGAAGUAAGAGAAAGGGAGUUGCAAUCAUCCAUGUCCAAGCUCGCAUCGACCAUUUGUAUUGUAUAAUUUUCGUAAAAGAUUUGUUGGACAGAGAAUUUCCCUCCUCUCCCAACCAAAGUGGUGCGAUUAUUGUUCUCACACUCAAAUUCAAAGCCAUAAUGACCACAGUGGGGAGGUUGGUUUUUUAAUCGGAAUGGAAAACUUGUUGGGUAUGGGUCCCAUUAUGUGGAAAACCCAUAUUUUCUGCCACAAUGUUUUGCCUUCUUUUUUGGUUUUGUCAAAAGCCAAUUUUUUUAGCCUUUUAACGUGGGAGUUGGCAGAAAUUUUAGUAGAGCUAAAACAAAAAAAAAAAUCUCAAAUUAAAACGGAGAGAAAGAGAGAAGAAAAUUUCAGUUUUUCAAGUUUGGUGCAGCAGUGAUCAACUCUUCGAUCGAAGGUUCAUCCGUGGUUCAAUUGAGCUAAUUUUUGGACAGCAGCUAGGCGAUAAGGUGUUCUUGACUUUGUACGGUCGGAUUUUUCAUCCGAGUCUUGUAGCGUCGGAAAUACCCAUUUUUCAGCAGCUACAUUUUUGGUGAUGUUCUCUCAUUUUUCUCUCUUUUGCUAAAGAUUACAUAUUGUUAGCCUUGUCGGAGUUGAAUGCUUGUUGUAGGCUUGAUAUUGUGAUCUUGUAGUCGAACAUUUGAUGAUAGUAGAGCUCUUUAUCGGACUCUAAAGUCCCGUGGUUUUUACCCUUGAUUUAAAGGGGUUUUCCACGUAAAAAUAUCGGUGUCUCUAUUUAUUUUUGUUGUGGUUCCAUUAGUUGAUUUGUGGUUGAUUAAGGUUGCUAGAGAACAUAUCUUGGGCUAUUGUGCUUGCCAUAAUUUUUGACAGGAGUUAUAAGGAGAGAAAGAACACCGGUUGUGCUUUCGCUUUGUUUCGGUUGUUCGGUUUCUUCCCAACAAACUGGUACCAGAGCUUGGUUAUUGUGUCAGAUAAUUAUGGAAAUUAAUACGAGCAAGAUGAUUAUGUUGAAUGGCACAAAUUAUCAACUUUGGCGGAAUAAAAUGAAGGACUUGUUGUUUGUGAAGGCUUUGCAUCUUCUGGUCUUUACUACUCAAAAACCCGAUUCGAAAAGUGAUGAAGAAUGGGAAUUUGAGCAUCAACAAGUGUGUGGCUUUAUUCGGCAAUUUGUUGAAGAAAAUGUUUACAACCACAUUGAUCAGGAGACACAUGCUCGAACAUUGUGGGAGAAGCUUGAAAGCUUGUAUGCUUCGAGGUCGGGCAAUAACAAGUUAUUUUUGCUGAAGAAAAUGAUGGCGCUGAAAUGUAAAGAAGGAAUGUCUAUAGCUGACCAUGUUAGUGAAUUUCAGAGUGUGAUGAAUCAGUUGCUUGGUAUGGGUGUCAAAUUUGAUGACGAGAUUUUAGGACUUUGGUUGCUUGCUACUCUACCAGACUCUUGGGAGACCUUUCGAGUCUCACUCAUUAAUUCUGCCCCACAGGGUAUUAUUACUUUGGAUUUGGCUACGAGUGAUGUGUUGAAUGAAGAGGUUAGAAGAAGAUCUCAGGGCUCUACAUCACAGUCCGAGGUGUUGGUUAUCGAGAACAGGGGGAGAAAUAGAGACAAAGAUGGAAAUGGUAGAGAUAAAAGCCGAAGCAAGUCAAGAUCGAGAUACAAGAAUCUUGAGUGUCAUCAUUGUGGUAAGAAAGGUCAUAUCAAGAAAUAUUGUUUCAAGUGGAAGAAAGAGAACAAAGGUGGUGGUGAUAAACACGAUCGGAAUGACGAUGAAAAAUUCGAGCGUGUUGCUACUGUUACUCGUGAAGAUCUGUUAGUUAUUUGUGAUGAGGAUUUGGUCAACCUAGCAUACGACAAGACUAGUUGGGUGAUUGAUACUGGUGCAUCACUUCAUGUCACGUCGAGGAAGGAAUUCUUCACAUCUUAUACUCCUGGUGAUUUUGGGGUAUUGAAGAUGGGUAAUGAUGGUUUGGUUUCGGUUAUUGGUAUGGGAGAUGUUAGCUUGGUAAGUAACAAUGGAACAAAGUUAACUCUCAAGGAUGUCAGACAUGCACCGGAUGUCCGUUUGAAUUUGAUUUCUGCAGGAAAACUUGAUGAUGAGGGAUUCUGUAACACCUUCAGUGAAGGGAAGUGGAAGCUGACUAAAGGCUCCUUGGUUAUGGCUCGAGGAAAGAAGAGCUCAAAUUUGUACUUGAUGCAAGCUUUGACUUCUCGAGAGACGGUGAAUGUGACACUGAAUGACAACUCAACUGAGUUGUGGCAUAAACGACUCAGUCACAUGAGUGAGAAGGGGCUUAGCUAUUUAGCGAAGAAGAAUCAACUUUCGGGUUUAAAGAAUGCUACACUGAAGAAUUGUGCUCAUUGUCUAGCAGGAAAGCAGAAAAGAGUUUCAUUUAGAAGCCAUCCUCCUCAUAGGAAAUCAGAGUUGCUAGAGUUGGUCCAUUCAGAUGUUUGUGGUCCGAUAAAAGUAAGAUCACAUGGUGGUGCACUUUACUUUGUGACUUUCAUUGAUGAUUGUUCAAGAAAGCUAUGGGUUUACACUUUGAAGUCUAAAAAUCAAGUCUUUGAGGUGUUUAAACAGUUUCAAGCAUCAGUUGAAAGGGAAACUGGGAAGAAGUUGAAGUGCAUUCGUACUGAUAAUGGUGGCGAGUACACAGGGUCAUUUCAUGAGUAUUGUCUGCGACAGGGAAUCAGACAUCAGAGAACACCACCAAAGACUCCACAGUUAAAUGGGUUAGCUGAAAGAAUGAACCGAACAUUGAUUGAGAGAGUCAGAUGUUUGUUGUCAGAUGCAAAGUUACCAAGAUCGUUUUGGGCUGAAGCUUUGAAUACAGUGACACAUGUGAUAAAUCUGUCUCCUAGUGUUCCUUUGAAAGGUGAUGUGCCAGAUAGAGUUUGGUUUGGUAAAGACGUGUCAUAUGAUCACCUACAUGUGUUCGGUUGUAAAGCAUUUGUUCAUGUUCCAAAGGAUGAAAGAUCCAAGUUGGAUGCCAAGGCUUGACAAUGCAUUUUUAUUGGUUAUGGUCUAGAUGGUGAGUUUGGUUAUAGACUCUAUGAUCCAGUUCAGAAGAAACUCGUGAGAAGCAGAGAUGUUGUCUUCAUUGAGGAUCAGACCAUUGAUGACAUUGAUACGACGGAGAAAGUGGAAUCACAAGGUAGUGGUGACUUGAUCGAUGUGAAUCCAGUUCCCCUAGACUCUUCACCAGAUCCUAUCCAGGAUGAUGUGCAUGGUGAUGUUAGUGGUGACCAUCAGACUAUAGGUGACUUUGAUACUCCCAUGGAUGAUGUUGUGAAUGAUCAACAACAAGCACCUAUAGCUCCACCAGCAGUUCCACUUCGAAGGUCUUCCAGAGAUCGACGAUCUUCUGUCAGGUAUUCUCCUGAUGAAUAUGUUCUUUUGACUGACGGGGGAGAACCUGAAUGUUAUGAAGAGGCUAUGGAGAGUGAAUGCAAAGAUCAGUGGGUUGAAGCGAUGAAAGACGAACUUUAAUCCUUGCAUGAGAACCAUACUUUUGAAUUGGUGAAACUGCCUAAGGGCAAAAGAGCUUUGAAUAAUCGGUGGGUUUACAGGUUGAAGCAAGAAGAGAAGUCUUCAUCUCCACGAUACAAAGCUAGAUUGGUCGUCAAGGGUUAUACUCAGAAAAAGGGGGUUGAUUUUGAAGAAAUAUUUUCUCCGGUUGUGAAGAUGUCCUCUAUCAGAACAAGUGGAUGUGAAAACUGCUUUUCUUCAUGGUGACUUGGAAGAAGAGCUUUACAUGGAGCAGCCAGAGGGUUUUGUUGCACAAGGGAAAGAGGACUAUGUGUGCAGAUUGAAGAAGAGCUUGUAUGGUUUGAAGCAAGCUCCAAGGCAAUGGUACAAGAAGUUUGAGUCUGUUAUGGGGGAGCAAGGCUACAAGAAGACUGCUUCUGAUCAUUGCGUGUUUGUUAAGAGAUUCUCUGGUGAUGAUUUUAUUAUUCUUUUGCUCUAUGUUGAUGAUAUGCUUAUUGUUGGUCAGAAUGCUUCUAAAAUUGAGAAGUUGAAACAAGAGUUGAGUAAAUCCUUUGCAAUGAAGGAUUUGGGGCCAGCAAAGCAAAUUCUUGGCAUAAGACUGACACGUGAUAGAAAGGCCAAGAAAUUAUGGUUAUCACAAGAGAGGUACAUUGAGAAAGUACUUCAAAGGUUUAGUAUGGACAAAGCUAAAGCGGUGAAUACUCCCUUUGCUAUGCACUUUAGAUUGAGUGUUAAGCAUAGUCCUUCCACAGAAAAGGAGAAGGAAGAGAUGCAGAAAAUUCCUUACUCUUCAGCCGUGGGUAAUUUGAUGUACGCAAUGGUUUGCACGAGACCAGACUUGGCUUAUGCCGUUGGUACAGUUAGUCAGUUUCUUUCUAAUCCAGGCAGAGAGCAUUGGAAUGCAGUGAAGUGGAUUAUGAGAUAUCUUCGUGGCACUUCCAACAUGAAACUUUGUUUCGGCAAUGAGAAACCUGUUCUUGUUGGGUAUACAGAUUCAGACAUGGCCGGAGACAUUGACUCGAGGAGACCUACUUCAGGUUACUUAAUCACUUAUGCAGGGGGAGCUGUGGCAUGGCAAUCGAGACUGCAAAAGUGUGUUGCAUUGUCCACCACCGAAUCAGAGUUCAUUGCAGCAACCGAAGCGUGUAAGGAGAUGCUUUGGAUGAAGAAGUUUGUGCAUGAGCUUGGUUUUACUCAAGAGAAGUAUGUCCUGUACUGUGAUAGCCAGAGUGCUAUUCAUCUUGGUAAGAACUCAACUUUUCAUGCUAGAUCUAAGCAUAUUGAUGUGAGGUACCAUUGGAUACGAGAUGUUCUUGAAGCUAAGCUGUUAGAGCUUGAGAAGAUACACACUAAUGAUAAUGGUGCUGAUAUGUUGACGAAGGCCUUACCAAGAGGAAAGUUUGAAGCAUGUUGUUUGACCUCCGGCAUGGAGGCAUUCCCCACAUAGUUGGAGGGGGAGAUUUGUUGGGUAUGGGUCCCACUAUAUGGGAAACCCAUAUUUUCUGCCACAAUGUUUUGCCUUCUUUUUUGGUUUUUUCAAAAGCCAAUUUUUUUGGCCUUUUAACGUGGGAGUUGGCAGAAAUUUUAGUAGAGCUAAAACAAAAAAAAAUCUCAAAUUAAAACAGAGAGAAAGAGAAGAAAAUUUCAGUUUUUCAAGUUUGGUGCAGCAGUGAUCAACUCUUCGAUCGAAGGUUCAUCCGUGGUUCGAUUGAGCUAAUUUUUGGACAGCAGCUAGGCGAUAAGGUGUUCUUGACUUUGUACGGUUGGAUUUUUCAUCCGAGUCUUGUAGCGUAGAAAAUACCCAUUUUUCAGCAGCUACGUUUUUGGUGAUGUUCUCUCUUUUGCUAAAGAUUACAUAUUGUUAGCCUUGUCGGAGUUGAAUGCUUGUUGUAGGCUUGAUAUUGUGAUCUUGUAGUCGAACAUUUGAUGAUAGUAGAGCUCUUUAUCGGGCUCUAAAGUCCCGUGGUUUUUACCCUUGAUUUAAAGGGGUUUUCCACGUAAAAAUAUCGGUGUCUCUAUUUAUUUUUGUUGUGGUUGCAUUAGUUGAUUUGUGGUUGAUUAAGGUUGCUAGAGAACAUAUCUUGUGCUAUUGUGCUUGCCAUAAUUUUUUACAGGAGUUAUAAGGAGAGAAAGAACACCGGUUGUGCUUUCGCUUUGUUUCGGUUGUUCGGUUUCUUCCCAACAAAACUGAUAUUCAAAUUCCCACAGAAAGUAAAAGCCAUAAUGAACACAGUGGGGAGGUUGGUUUUUUAAUCGGAAUGGAAAACUGAUAUUCAAAUUCCCACAGAAAGUAGAGCCGCAGUCUUGGUUAAUAAGAUGCCUAGUAAAACAAACACCAGGAAAUAGAAUUACAAAAAAAGCAAAAGCGGGCAUUAGUUUUGCUUUUAAUUUUGGCAUGCUAAAAUUUUGGGUAAGGAAGAAGAACAAUAACGGGGGUUAAUGAUUAAGUUUCUAACUAAAUCAGGGAAAUAUGUAAGAAAACUUCAGUGGGAGAAGAAGCAUUAAUGGGGACACAAGACUUUGACUAGUCUUCAGCUUUAUUUGGGAUGAAUAUUUUAUUUUCGAUCAAUUUUUUACACUUAUUUUUUUAUUUUUUUUCUGGGAAACACCUCAGUCAAAGCACAUCUGAUUUCAAGAUGGUUAUGUCACCAAGUUAUUUCUCUAAUGCAUCUGUAUUGUUUAAGAGUUUAAUCUUUCCAUUUUAUGGUUGAUUUGAAUAUUUACUUAAACUUAGAAAGGAAGGUUGAAAGUUAUUUCAGUAAUGUAUUUAAGAGUUUAAUUGAAUUAAUGUCAUCUGUUUCAAUUUAAUUGUGAAAUUAUAAAAAAAAUUGUAAUUUGUACAAAAUAACAAAUGUUAUUUUGAGAGUAUUUCGGAACAAAGUUAGAAAUAUUUAUGGGACCAUGAUAUUUAUAUAAAGUAGACGUAUAAAUAAAGUGUUUUUAAAUUUGAGGUAGUUUUCAUCACCCAAAACAAAAUUUAUAAAAGUAAAAUAGGUUAAAUGCUCAAUCUAUAUUAGAUAUUGCGAUUAUUUAAGUUCAUUUUUUUAUCAAAUUAAUAUUUCAAUACAACUUCAUUUUUAGAUAUGGUAAUCAUUUAACCUUUUUUUUUACUAAAUUAAUAUUUAGAUACUACUUUGUAUUAGUUUAUCAAAUUAAACUAAGAAUGUUACCAAAUAUAUUUUACCAAAUUAAUAUUUAGAUAUACUACUUUAUAUUACUUUAUAUUAGUUUAUUAAAGGGCCUAUUACGGGGAUCAUAUCCCCUUUGGGGUGCCUUGGAAAGUUUCCAACAACAUUUGCUUGUUUUGUCGGACCCUCGUGUAAAAUGGGACAUGAGUUCGUUGGGUGGUCUGACAUGACACACAUUCCACAUAACCGUGCUGGGCUUGUUUUAUCUGUAAGUAAAUUUUGAACAACGCUAGUAAGCUUAUCACAUAAUCGUGCUGGGCUUGUUUUAUCUAUAAGCAAAUUUUGAGCAACGUUAGUAAGCUUAUCAAUUUUGUCUUCUAGAGAUAGAGUACACUUAACCUAUGAUCCCGUCUCGUGAGUUCUAUAGCCAGUCGGAAUUGUUGAGUAUUUGUAGCCAUGGUUGAAAUCAACUCACUCACUUUCUGGGGCAUCAUAUUAACAAGUGCCCCUCCACUAGCAGCAUCUAUCAUUUUCAUUUCCAUUUGGAGUAAUCCCUAAUAGAAAUAUUACAAGAGUGAAUGUUCAAUCAGUCCAUAUUGUGGGCAACUUGCACACAAAUUUUUAUAUCGCUCCCAGUAAUAAUAGAGCGAUUCAGUCUCCUUUUACCGAAUUCUUAUGAUGUCUCUCCUUAAUUCAACUACUCCAGCUGCUGGAAAGAACCUUUCAAGAUAUAAACGAGACAUGUCAAAUCAUGUAUUGACAAACCUUGGAGGUAAAUAAAAUAGUCAUUCUCUAGCAGAAUCGGCUAAAGAGAAAGGAAAAACACAAAGUUUAAUUUGAUCAUUGAUUACUCCCUGAGGUUUCAUGCUUGUGCAAACCAUACGAAAUUCCUUGAGAUGGGUAUGUGGAUUUUCAUUUGUAAUCCACAGAAGGUAAGCAAUAGAUAAAUCAAGUCUGAUUUUAACUCGAACGGUGUUCCUCCCACCGUAUAAGUUAUAGAUGGGGGAGGUUGUUCAUCUGGGGCUGCUACGAGUUGGCAUAUAGUUUGCUUUACCAUAUCGUCUGGUUCGUCAAAUGAGAGAAUGUCCUCAAUGUAAAAUCCUAUUUCAAACUGGGGUUAUGGUCGUUUAUUGCAUCGAGUGGCUUCUCUUCGCAGUUUUUGAGCCAAAUUCUUUAUUUCUGGUUCAAAUUCUAGAGACCCCGAUUCUGACACGGUCAUAAGGAAAACAAACGAAAAUUUAAAAAAAAUUUAAUCCCCGACAACGGCGCUAAAAUUUGAUGGGUGUCGAAACCACUAAAUAAAUUAAUUCCUACAAUAAAAUAACUCUAAACAGUAGUAAAGAGUAGUAAGGUCGAUUCCACAGGGAUUGGUGAUUAUGAUCAACUUUUGUGUUUUUCUUAUAAACAGAAUUUAUGUCGCGGCGAUAAUCGUGGCAAUAGACAUGUCCACGACUCUAAACGACCUACUAAAAAAAAGAAAUUAGGGGAGUUUCGAAAUGUUUAGAAAUUAAAUAAUUGAGAUAGCAUAAAUAAACAAUUAAAUAAAUUAGAAAUUAAAUUAAAUUAGAAAAUUAAAUUCGAAUUUUGUAAACAGAAAUAAUAAGCCUUAGCCUUCGAGUCGGUGAAUUUCGAUUUCUGAACUGAUCCUCGAAAAUUAGUUUUCUCCUCCAAACAAAAAGCUAGUUAUAGCAGCUAGAACGUCCUAACUCUCAAUUCUUUCUCUAGUAGUUGAUUUCGGUACUACCUACAAACCAACCCUUAUUGAUUAUCUAAUCAGAAUACACGCGUUCGCAAUUCAAGAUUCCGAUAGCCUUAUGUUCUGAAGAACCCAACUCGAAUUAACGGCCUCAACCAUGCUUGACGUUUAAAUUUAAUCACUAUCUCCCUUGAUUUGUUCGCGAAAGUCUGAAUACAGCACGGCUGACUCGUCUCUCCAAUUGUCCGCCAAAACAACUCCAACCCAACACGCUUUUUUAAUUGAAAUCAAGUUAACUUUAAGGAAUGAAUUUGUCAAUCCCGAUAUUUUGGAGAGAUGGUGAAUACCGAUUUGAAGAAUUUUUAGUGCGGAUACAUUUCUUACGAUUCCUAACUGGAAAGAAUACCGGCCUAAAGCUAAUUUAAAAUUAGUGAAGCCUGAAAUUAAUCAAACUUUGGUUGGUUAUAGAAGUGGAUUUGAAUGGAAAUGGUGGUUGGUGAAAGGGAAAGGGCCUGGGAAACAAUUAAGCUAAAACAUUGAAAUGGAAACAAACUCUUACACGCAAAGUAAGAAAGAAAAUAAAAUGAUUUUUUUUUUCUAUUCACUUGCCAAGCAAAUCAAGGUGUAUUUUUUCAAGUUCACCAUGGCACCUAUUUAUACAUAAAUAAUAUGCUAAAAUUAGGCUAGUCUCACCUACCCACUAAUUACAUGAAAUAAAUAUCAGAUUUUUUUUUCUAAUUUUUCCUUUUACAAAGUCAAAAAUCUUAUCAGUCCCUAAAUAUCUCCAAAUUUUUAAUUCGACUCCUCUUCAAUUGCUUAUCAUUCAAUUUAAUCAUUUUCUUCUUGUUUUCGAAUUAAAGCAUCCGAAUUUCAUUCUUGACAAUAUUUAAACAUAAAAUUCACUAAUUAGCAAAAAUUAUUCAAAAGCAAAUUGAUUUGAGUACGUAAAAUAUGCAAAAUAAAUAUACUAUCAUUAUAAUAAUUUUAUAUUCAAAUGGUUUAAUCUAACUAAUUAUUUUGAAUUUCAUUGUCAUGAAAAUAUACAAUUUAUUAUGAUUAAUUUUAAAAUUAUUAUUUGGAACAUUGUAAGUAAGAUUAAGAAGAUCACAUGUCCAUUUAUUUAUUUAUAAAUUUUUAAAUAUAAUUUAAAGACCACUUGUUAUUAUUUAACUUUUGCUUGUGGAAUUUUUAUUUCUAUCAAAUAAUAAUCCUUAAAAUCAUUAUCUAAAAAGGAAAAAAUAUUAAUAUUUAAAAGGAACAAAUCAAUGAAACUUCCUUCUUCUUUUUUUUUUUGAAAAAAAGUCAAUGCAAGUAUUAAGUCUUCUUUGAAACACAAAAAAAACAUUUAAGUCGCUAAGAGCGACAACAACCUUUAAUUAAACAAAUAUAAUGAUAAGAAUAUAUAUAAUAUAAUAUUUGUCUAGUUUUCUUUUGGACGUACAAUACUUGUCUACUUAAUUUACUUAUUUGAUUAUUUUAUUUAUAAAGUAAUAAAAAUGUUAAUAUUUUUAUUUCAAAUGAAACAUUAUAAUGUCAAAACAUUUUAUAAAAAUACUUUUUAUUGUUGUGUCCUGUCAUACUCGUAUCCUUAUUUUAAAAAAUUAUCAUAUCACUAUGUUCGUAUCAUGUCGUACUCGUAUUACAUGUCUUUGUCCGUGUUUCAUAAAUAGUUUUUAAAUUUUAUUUUAAAAUAAUUAUAUAUAUCUUCAUUUAUUUUGCGUGAGUUUAAAAUAAUAAAAUUUAAAUAUAGAUAUAAGUUCUAUUAAUUUGUAUAAAAAAACCAUUUAAUUAAAUUUAGAUUCAAAUCUAAAGUCUAAAUUUAAAUUUUAAUUAUCACAACAAUCAACUUAAAUUAAUUCAAAAGCUCAAUUUCAAAAUCAAAGGUCUACAAAAGUUGAAUCAUUAUAUGUGUGCUUCGGGUAAUUACUUAUUUCGCCUAAAUUGAAGCCCCCUUUUUUUAGGAAUUUCGGGUCUCUUUAGUUACUUUUUGAAUCAUUAGAUAUUGUAAUUAUUUAAAUUUUUUUUAUCAAAAGGAAAAUUCUUUUUUUUUUAGAAUAAAACUUCAUUAAUAAAAAAGAUCAUGAGAGAACCCAAGAGGAAGUUGAUGUUUACUUGACUCACUACACCAAAACAGGUUUUUAGGGGCAUUUUUAGUGGCGUUUAGACAAAAAAUGCCGUUAAAAAUCGAGCAUUAGCGGCGCUUUACAUAAAAUGCCGCUAGAGAUUGAGCAUUAGCGGCGCUUCCAGGAAAGCGCCGCUAAAAAUGAGCAUUAGCGGCAUUUCUUGGAAAAACGCCGCAAAAAACCUAAGCCCAAAGGCAUCAUAUUUUGACAUUUCGGGGCAUUAGCGGCAUUUUUGAAAAAGCGCCGCAAAAAGAUAGAAAAAUAUUUGUUAAAAAUGGAAAAAUUAAAAUACUAUUAUUUAAAAUAAUGUUAAAAUUUUAAAAGAUACGAUUGAUUCUUAACAAAUAUAAUUGUAAAAGAUACGAUAAUAUUAAUUUUAAAAUAUUUAAUUAAUUAUUAUUAUAAUUUAGGGUUUAAUAUAUAUGGUUUAGGUUAUAUGAUUAAUUUAGGAUUUAAGGCUAGUUUAGGAGUUACAGUUUUAAGGUUUAUAGAUUAUGGAAUUAGGGAUUAUGGAAUAGGGAUUCUGGUUUAAGGGUUGUGAUUUAGGUGUUAGGGGUUAGGGGUUAGGGAUUCGGGUUAGGGUUUAGAUUAAUUAGUAUUUUUUAAUUUAUAUAUUAAAUAAUAUUUAGGGGUUAGUAGUUAGGGGUUAAGGGUUUGGGGUUAGGGGUUAGAGGUUAAGAGUUAGUGAUUUAAGGUUUAGAGAUUCGGGGUCGGGUUAGGGUUUAAGGUUUAGAUUAAUUAGUAUUUUUUUAAUUUAUAUAUUAAUUAAGUUCUUAUAUAAUUGUAAAAGAGGGGUUAGGGGUUUAGGAUUUAAGGUUUAUGAUUUAGGGUUUAAGAGAUAGGGGUUAGGGUUUAAGGCUUAGAUUAAUUGGUGUUUUUUAAUUUAUAUAUUAAAUAAUUUCUUAUAUAAUUGUAAAAGAGAUAAUAUUAAUUUUAAUUUAUUAAAAGUAUGAUUAUAGUUUAAAUUAUUUAAGAGAUAAUAGAUCAAUUUUAUAUAUAUUAAAUGGUUUAGGAUUUAAGGUUUACUUUAAAUUUAUUAAAUGAUAAAAAUUUAUACAAUUAAUUAAUGUUUUUAUAUUUAAAAAUAUUUAAUCUAAAUUUAGAUUAAAUAGUUUAAACCAUUUCAUAUAUUUAAAUAUUAGAUUUAAAAAAAUUGAUAAAUAAAUAAAUUAAUGUAACAAAUUGAUAUGGAUAGGUAACUAUCUAUUUUGGAUAGGACCAAAUUAUAACAAAUAAAAAUAAAAUACAAAAACUAAAAUCAUUCCACAUCGAACAUCUAGCAAAAUAGUUAUAUUUUAGUUAAGAAGAAAUAUCUCUAAUAAAAUGAAGAUUAGAUCGGAAAAGAAUAAUAUAAAAUCAUGAUUAACGUCUCAAUCUUUAAUAGAAAUUUGAUAUGUGAGAGAUUGAUUGCUUACAUUGGAUAAUUCUAACUUAAUAAUUAAUUACAGUCAUUUAAUCAUUUGUUUUCUUAUUAAAAUAUAUAAUAUUUAUUUUGAGAGUACUUAUUUUUUUAUAAAAAUCCAAUUUAUAAAAAAUAGUAAUAAUCAAUAUUUUAUAAAAUCACUUAACUAAUAAUUUUUAGCAGACAAAAUAAAAGAUUUUUAGCAGAGCAAAACGACGCCAUUUUGUUCAAAAUAAAAUUUUUUUUGCGGCGUUUUUAAUAAAAACGCCGCAAAAGAUAAGCAAUAGCGGCCGCAAAAAUCAUUUUACUUUAAAAAAAAGGCGCGUUUUAUCCCCAAAUUUCUCCACCUGAAAUCUCCAAAAGGAGCUCCGCCACUAAAGCAGAUAAGGUUUUUGGAAUUCCUUUUGUGCUUGCUCUUUGUUAAAAAAGACUUUUGUUCUAUUCGGUAUUUGCAGGAAAAAAAAAGAUAAUGUGUUUGGUAUUUUUGUUUCCGUUAUAAAUUUUUUAAGGAAAGGGAGAUGAAGAAAAAGGGAGAAGAAAAAUGCUGCAACUAUGGGUAAUUUAUCCCUACUUUGCCCUACUUUUUAAACCAUGGUAUGAGAUAGGCUGGUCUCCUAAUAUUUCCUUAACAGCUAAAAAUAAGCAUUAGCGGCGCUCUUUAAAAAAACGCCGCUAAAGAUUAAGCAUUAACGACGCUUUUAAAAAAGUGCUGCAAAAAAACCUAAGUCCAAUAAUAUUUUUUUGAGUUUUUGGACUUUAACAGUAUUUUUAAAAAAGCGCCACGAAUGUUCUAUUUUUAGUGGCAUUUUUUAAUAAGCACACUAAUGCUAAUAUUUAAUCUAAAUAUAUAAUUUUUUGCUUAAAGAAAUUGGCGCUGAUUUUUUCCCCAAAUUUCCCCUAAAACCCAAAAACUAAAAAAUCCCAAAUUCGCGCUGAUUUGUUCACAAAAUCCCAAACGAAAAAAUUUGGAGGAGCAGAACGAGGCGCUGCGAUUCCUCCCUCUGCGAUUCGAUUGUUAGCUUCUCACUGUUCUCAGCUCGUUAAAUCUAAUGGAAAGCGAUUGUUUCUCAUCGACACUUUAGCUUUGGUAAAUUACAAUGAUUCCUUCUUUUGUUUUAGAAACUGUAUUUUUGUUUGAUAUUUGGAAUCUUGAAAAUAUCUGAAGACAUGGUGCAUUAUACUUAUAGGUUAGAGGAUUAGAGGCGGAAGGUCUGCCGUCGAAGCAAGCCGAGGCAAUAACAGCAACCAUGACUGAAGUUUUGAAUGACAGCUUAGAAAAUGUGUCUCUUUCAGUUGUUUCCAAGUUUGAGAUGCAGAAAGUAAGCUCUUUUUUUUAAUGCUUCCAUACGUUGUAUUCACUAUGGAAACUUAAUUUUUGUCUUGAUAGAGUGAAAUGACUCAAGAAUCCAAUCUGUCGAAGCUCAAAUCAGAAGUUCAAAGCUCUCAGGUAUUUACUUUUUUGUAAAUGGACUUUGCGAACUUAUCGAUUUUAGUCUCCUUUUUAUGUGUUUUCGACUUUUGGUAUUAAUGAAGUCCCUUCUAGUUGGGUUUGUUCUUAUUAAUGGAAGAAAGCUUAACAUUUGGCCCAUUGCAAAUUGCUAUAGAGACAGUGUUAACAUGUCUAGGCCCUUCUUCACGCUGUAGUAAGUUGAUUUGAGACUCCUAAUCUUAUUUUUAAACAAUAACCGUUGAUUGCUUGACUAGGGAAACAGUAUUGAAUGAUUGGCUAUGAUCCAAGAAACCAUCAAUGGACUUCGAUAUUUACUUUUAGAUUAGAUGAAAUUGCUUCAGUAGGUUGAUUGAUAGAGAGGGUUGUGCAUACAGCUGAUCAGAACUCAGGACUACUGCAUUUUAGGGAAAGAGGAAAAAUUACUAGCUCAGAUUUUGAAUAUAUAUUACUGCAUUUUAGGGAAGGAUAUAUUCUUGUUUUCUGGUAGGACAUGGCUUCAUAACUCUGUUAUGCUCUUGUUAAAUAUUAUUUUGCCUUCAUCUUGUGUUAGUACAUGGUGGGUUCACUCUCAGUCUUUAUAAUUUGUUCCUUGUCUUUAGCCUUGCAACUGAGGAUUGUACCUAUUUGAUUUUUGUACUUUUAAGGUCAUAGUGCUGGUCUAUUUAAUCUGGGAAAUACCUGCUACAUGAAUUCUACUGUACAAUGCCUCCAUUCUGUUCCAGAGUUGAAGUCUUCUUUAGUAAAGUAAGUGCCUUCUUUACCUAACAAUGUAUUAUGAGAGAAUAUGGAACUGGAUUUGUAUGUUUUUUGUAUGAUGCAGAUGUAACGUGCACUGCCUUAAUUGUGAUCAGAUAUUCACAUUCAGGAAGAAACAAUGAUGUGGAUCAGACUUCUCAUAUGUUGACAAUUGCCACACGUGAUAUAUUUGGUGAACUUGAUAAAAGUGUAUAGCCAGUUACACCUAUGCAAUUUUGGACGGUUUGUUCCCUUUUUCCUUGUCACUUUUAUUUUGAAUCCCUGUGUUCUCUUUGAUCUCUGAAGCUAUAGGAUAUCACUAGAUGGAAGAAACGCAUCUACUAGAAUUUAGGUGAAAUAUUUUUAUAUUGCACGCAACAUAUUUGUAGGUGUACCCGAUUUUAUUUUGGUAAUUUUAUUCACAUAAGGUAAAGUCCACGAAAACAGUAUUAUUGUGCCUUGUUUAACCAUUUUUGCUAAUUCUGUUGAAUUCUCUUUCCUUAUUGAUCUAAUCUUUUUACCAUUUAUUUCUAGAGCUUCAUGCAAAUAUUUUUCUAUUCUGUUGUCAACAGAAUUGUUGCGUUGUAUUUCGAAGUUCAUUAAAGGAAUUUCUCUUUUUUUCUGUUUUUUGUUGCUAUAUGGCACUUAGUUUGAAGGAAGGUAUGGAGAAACUUAUUGUUUAUGUGUAUCUUGGUUUCAGUUGUUGCGUAAAAAGUAUCCUCAAUUCGGCCAGUUGCAUGGUGUCUUCAUGCAGCAGGUUUUGUUCUUUUCUCGUUUUUUUAGUCAACUGUACCCAAUACUCUUUUGUCUUAGAUUUGUUUAUAUUCUGAUAUGUAAUUUGGGGUCUUUUACAGGAUGCUGAAGAGUGUUGGACACAACUUUUAUACACCCUUUCUCAGUCUCUUCGAUCAGCUGGUUCUAGGUAGGUUUCUUGUUCUUUGUCAUUUAGAUAUUCUGAGUUAUACUUACUGGCUAAAUUUGAGCAAGUCCAUGGUGCCCUUAACAACUGAAACUACUGAAACAGUUUGAAGCUGUUGCUUUUGGUUUAUCAAACUUUUUCUUCAAAAUUAGGGAUCUCUUAUUUGGAGCAGUGUUACCUUGCAUAGUUCUUUUGCCACUGCAAUGCUUCUCUAGCAUAUAUCUUUCUAAUUUAGCAGCAAACAUCUCUUUUAGAAAAAUAAUUCUAAUCUCUCGCUGUCUUUUUUUCUUCUUUCUACAGUGAAAAUAUAGAUACUGUAAAGGACCUUUUUGGUAUUGACCUUGCAAGCAGGUAGAUAUCUACAGAUUUGAUUGUCAUUUUUUUCUUUUUAAUAAUGAUGACAUUACCUAGUUAGACAAUUUAUAUAUGCUGAUGCCAUUUUCUAUAACUGUUGAAGAAUUGUUGCUGCUAUUCAAAUUUUCAAAUACCACUAGUGCCGUUCAUGUAAGAAAUACAUGUAAAAGUAUAUCAUCUUUAUACUGAGAGAAAAGAUAAAGAAUUUCAAAUUUCAACUAGUCUAAACAAGCAUAACCAGAACAUCCUUCCACUUAUGCUUACAUCGAUAUAGUUUGUGCAGUUUUUAAGUUCAAAUCUGUAUUCCUUUUUGUCCUAGCCACUGUUCCAUGCAGUUUUCAUUACAAAUUAAUGAUUCAUCGUUCUGUAGCUUCAUUGGCUUCCAAAUGAAGAAUACUAUUUCUAAUCGUUAACGCAUUUAUUGUUAACAUGAGUUAAUAAUAUUUCUGUAUUUUGGGUGUUUGGUUGAUGAGAAAAUAUAAGAAAAUUUGGUAAAAGAUUUUUGAUGAGAAAAAAAUUAUAAAUUUAUAAUUGUUAACUAGUAGAUUGAGCUAGGUAAUGAUGAUGGUGCUAAUUUUCCUGCAAUCAAAGAGAAGUUUGGUCAGUACAUGGUGAGUAGGUGCUCCACCUUUACAGCGCAAACAUGUUUACAACAUUGCUACAUAGUUCACUUAAGUUUUUAAUAAGAGCUUGAUCUGAAUUUCAGACCUUGCUUCAGGUGACGAUGAGUGGGAAUGGGCAAGUUCCAUUACUGGCUAUUUCAAGCUAUUUGUUGAAACCAUUAAUGUCUUCUCUACUAACAAAAGUCCUACUGCAAAUGUACAUUUUUUUCUGAAAUCUGUCAUGUUUACAUACUGUUGAUUGAAUUGUGCAAGAGCCCUAAUACUUUUCUUAGUUCAUUGGCAGGGAAGAGGAAAGCAAAGUUCUAUAAAUACUGGAGCAAUGCAAUUUAGCUUUGGCAGUAUCAUCUAUAUCUUACAUCCCCCAACCGUUGAAGCUCACUGAAUUGAUAUGCACACAAGAUUGGCUGCAGAUGCAAUCAGAUGAUAUGUAUGUGCAUUAUCUUUGAUUUUUUCACACAAUAUCAAUUUUGGUUCAUUAUAUAUCACUAAAAAGAUCUUCCUGCACAGGAGAAUGGGUGCGUAUUCUAGUAUCUGUUGCAAUACACUUUAGGGAGCAGUACUCGAAGUACUUGUUCUUCAUAAGCUUAUUUCUUAAACAAAAUAACUUAUAUUGUGUAGUAAUUGAUUGUGAGGUAGCUUUAUAGGUAUCUGAGUCUUUUUAUACUAACUAUUUAUUGCAAUUGGUUCCAAAUAUUUGGUGAAUUCAAUUAUUAAUUUGCACUGCUAGUUUCGUGGUGUCAUAUGCCUUUUGUGUUAGAAUUUGAAUUGUUCCCCCUAAACAAUUUUCUCUAUGUACAGGUUUGAUUGUGGCACGUUUAUGUUAAAAUAUAUCGAUUUCUAUAGCAAAGGCUUAAGUCUUUGUUUUGAGCAGGUAAGUCCAUGGAACAAUUUUUUAUUCUUGUAGUUCAUGUUUUAUUUUGAUUUUUCUGUGAUUAAACUCUAGUACUCAGGGCAGUAGUUGUUGGGAUGUAAAAUCUGUUGUCCAUCUGCCUAAAUAUAUGACAAAAGGCAGAAGUACAUAUUGGAGAUACUCUCACAUGCACAUUCAUUCGUUUGAAACCCAAUAUCUGGUUAUUUGUCUUUGAACUGAGUUGGAUUUUUCCAUGCUUAUGUAGGAACACAUGCCCUAUUUUCGUUUAAGGACUGCCAAGGAAAUUCUGAAACUGAAAGCUGAUUGAUCGGAUGUGUAUGCCGGCUUUCAUCAACUACUUUUGAUGGCCUUACUAGGAAUUGAAAUGGUUUGCAAAGAGAUUGCUUCUUCUGAUCUGAUUUUUCAAUAUAAAUACUGGACAAAGUAUGGAUAUUUCUAGUCAGUUGCAUUUACUGCUAUUAGUAAAAUAGGAUUCUCUUCUUAGGAUCUUAGUUUCUUCACUUGUAUUAGACUCAACAAUGGCUUGCAUUGCAUUGCAUUGGUGUUGAUUUUACAAUUUUUAAUUUUUAUUAAUUAUUUACGUUUUCUCACUUUUAGUAAUUUUUAUUAUUAUUUAAGCUUCCUUUAUUUGCCUUCUUUUAUCAUUUUCAUAGAAAAUUUAAUUUAAAUAAUAUUUUUUUAUUUAUCCUUAAAAGUAUAUUUAAAGUUCAAAUUUAAAAAAUAAAACAUAAUAUAAUAUUUAUCAUAAAAAUAAAUAUUAUUUGAUUAAAAUAAUUUUUUUAAAUGUUAUGUUUUUUGCGGCGUUUUUGCGAGAAGCGUCGCUAAAGGUUUGUUCUUUAGUGGUGUUUGUGACGAAAGCGUCGCUAAAAGUAAUAGAUUUUUAGGGCGUUAGUAAUAAAAGCGCCGCUAAAGGUCAUGGUCUUUAGCGGCACUUUUUACGACGCUUAAGACAACGCCGCUAAAAGUUUAUUUUGCUGUAGUGACUCAUCAUUAGAGUAACAAUAUUUCAACUUGUUAUAGUAACAAUAUCCAAUGAUUUACUUGACUCAUCAUUAGAGUUCUCACAACUAUGAACCUCCAUUGAUGUUUCAAGAUUGGAAGUUGAUGGAAUGACUUAGGAGGCAUCUCAAGGAGUUCAACAUCAGAUUCAAGCAUUUUCAAAACUUUACUCAUUGAAGGACGAUCAGAAGGCAGUAAUUGUAUACACCAAAAAGUUGUUAUUACCAUUUUCUUUACCAUUGCUUUUUCAUCGUCAGAAACAUCUCCCAACUCCAAGUCUUUUCCUUGAUCUAAUCGGUCAUAAAUCCAAGAUGGAAAAUAUAUUUGACUAGUGUGGUCAGCAAAUGCAUUCACAUUCUUUUUGGUCAGCAAAUGCAUUCACAUUCUUUCUCCUUCCAACCAUUUCCAUUAGUAACAUUCCAAAACUAUAAGCAUCGGUUUUGUAUGAGAUGCCUCCAAGAUUUUUGUAAACCAAUUCAGGAGCAAUAUAUCCUAUCGUUCCUCGUGCCACAGUGAGAGAGACAAUGUUAUCAUCUACUGAAUACAAUUUAGCAAUACCAAAAUCGAAAACUUUUGGAUUAAAAUUCUCAUCAAGAAGAAUAUUGUGUGGCUUAAUAUCAAAAUGUAGAAUUUGCAUGUCACAUCCUUGAUGUAAGUAGUGAAUUCCUUGAGCCACCCCAAGCACAAUAUCAAACAUUUUUUUCCAGCUCAAAGUUUUCUUAUUUUCUUCUGUAAAUAUGAUUUUAUCUAAAGAUCCAUUAAACAUGAAGUCAUAUACCAGACCUUGCUUUGAUCCCUCCACACAAAAUCUAAUAAGUUUUGCCACGUUAGCAUGAUGAAUUGUCCCAAUAGAAGCAACUUCGUUUAUGAAAUCUUGGCCACUACCCUUUGACUUGCCCAACAAUUUUAUUGCCACAUGAUGCCCACUACGAAGUUUUUCUUUAAACACUGAGCCAUAACCUCCUUCACCUAAUUUAUCUUUAAAAUUUUUAGUCAUUUUUUUAACUUCUUUAAAAGAAUACCUUAUCGGCACUAGAUUAUUUUGGCUUUGAAGGAACUCUUCGAUCGUAUCAUCCAUGAAUAAAUGUCUUCUUCUCCAUUUGUACGUAACAAGAGCAAACAAACAAAUUAUCCCAAGAAAUGACCUUAAAAAGAUAAUUCCACCUUUAAAGAAAUACAAUGUAAUACAUCAGUACUUGUGAAAUUAAUCAAAUAAUAUAUAACUUACAUUCUCGAAAAGGUAUAUAAUGUGAUAGUUUUAUGUUAGUUUUAUAAUUAACUACUACUUAAAAGAGGGGCAUAUUAAUUUCACUACUUUAUGGAAUUAAUUUAGAAAUAACAGUGAUGCCUUGUGUUUACCCUUCUAUACCAAAUGAAAAACUUUGAAUGGCCAUUGAGAACCCAAGAAAAAUAAUUCCGAAUUAUAUGUUAUGGUUUACAUUCUAGCAGGUGCACCUCAACAAAUUCAAACUUGGAACUGCACACACAAAGGAGUAAAUCAUUCAAAUUGGAUACCAAUUAUUCUAACCUCACCAUGGUCCAUCAAGGAUACUCAACUUUUAUAUUCAUGUCAAAUAUACUUGAAGAAGGACAAAGUACAUAUAUAAUAACCUUCAAUCUUUUUAAAUGAAACAAAGUCUAUAAUCACCAAAAGAUGCAAGACAACCGAAAAAAAAAAAGAAUGGAUCGAUUGAAGAGCUAAACUUUGUUGAAUGUUUUAGCAAUAUGAAUAUUCACCAAACUUACAACCUGUGAAAGUUCUAAACGAGACCAUUAUGAACACAAACUUAACCAAAACUCCAACAUCUUUCUUUACUUGACAAAAAAAUAUUCUUUCGUAUAAGUAGAAGAAGAUUGUUUUCGGCAUUCAAACUCCUUAAAGAAUGCUAUAGAUUUAUCAGUUUUGCAGUGAAAUUAAAUAUGAACUUGUAUAGUACGCGAUAGACUCCUUAUUCUUUUUUUCCCCCAAGAAUAUUGCUAAUAUCUUUUCUUAACUAGUGCUAGAAUUUGUAUCUGAAAAAAUGCAAAUCUGCAAAUCCAAAAUUAACAAUACCUGUUAUUGCCAAACAGAGAAUAUAAGUUCCUGUAAAAAAACGAAAUAUCAUUAUUUCAAGAGAGCAGCGAAAUAGUAAAAUCAAAGCACUUCUAAAUUCUAAUGAAUUUUGGGAAGCAUACUUCUUGGUAUAGAAUCGUUGACAUCGUAGUAGACAUGGGGGCCAUGGAAAUGGAAAUGUACAAAGCUGUCCAUAUAGUUUCUGAAGGCAUAUUUCAAGUUUGACAAUCUAAAUUAUAUAUGCAACAAAUCAAAGUAAAAUUAAUAAAGGGGUGUAAAGGAAAACUCUAAAUUUGUGUAAAAAAAUCAAUGGUAAUCUAAAACAUUAUAUUCUAUUUUGUGGUAUAUGCUCAAAAAAAUUACAACAAUUCUUUACAUAUUUUUGUUUGCAAAAAGUAUGCAACAUGUAUUACAGUACAAGAGUUUUUAGGUAACAAAAAUUAUUUAAUAUAAUGAAAGGUGAGACAAAAUUUAUUCAAUUAAUUAAUCCAAAUUAAAAAAUAUACAUUAUAGCAUUAAAAGACUGCGAAAAAAAUAAACUCAUCCACAACGGUGGAAUAUUUACGUACUGCCAACUAAAUUGCGAAAAAAAGUAACAUAAAAUAAAAGAAAAAAUAAAGGUAGGUCAUACAAAAAGAAAGGGAAAAAGAUAAUGGUUCAUAAUCAUAAGUAUCAUAAUAAUAAUAUACAGAGCUAAGAGGAAGAGAGUUGCAAUCAUCCGUGUCCAAGCUCGCAUCAACCAUUCGUAUUGUAUAAUUUUCGUAAAAGAUUUAUGGGACAGAGAAUUUCUCUCCUCUCUCAGCCAAAGUGGUGCGAUUAUGGUUCUCACACUCAAAUUCAAAGCCAUAAUGACCACACUGGGAAGGUUAGUUUUUAAAUCGGAAUGAAAAACUGAUAUUCAAAUUCCCACAAAAAGUUGAGCCACAAUCUUGGUUAAUAAGAUGCCGAGCAAAGCAAGCACAGGGAAUAGAAUUACAAAUGAAGCAAAAGCGGCCAUUAGGUGAACAAACAAUGGUAGUAUUGCUUUUAAUUUUGGCAUGCUAAAAUUUUGGGUAGGAUUGAAGAACAACAAUGGGAGCAAGGAAAUAUGUAAGAAAACUUUAUUGUGAGAGGAAGCAUUGUUGAGGACUGAAGACCCCAAUCAAGGCAUAUCAGAUUCCAAGAACAGAGCCAGGAUUACGUCACCAGGGAGACCAAGGGAGCAAGACUUUUCAAUAACAAAAAAAUCUUUUGUUUUAAGAAUAAAACUUCAUAAAUAAAAAAGAAAACUUUUUCUUUUGUAAUUUUUAAAAGGUACAAAUACCAAAACUUGAAUUUAAAAAUAGAUUUAGAGUUAGUUUCAUUUUAAAUGAAGCCAAUUUAGCAUUGAAUUGAUCAUAGAUCAGGUCAGGCUGAAACAAUAUUUAAUUCUAAAAAAAGUUUUAAGUCUUAGGCUUGUUUUCGACCCAACUCUCAAGAGCACAUUUUUUCUUAUUCAAAAAUAAUAAAAUAUUUAAAAUAUUUUUAAUUGAUAUUUUAUAUGUACUUUAUAAUUAAAUUUAAAUUUAAAAAAUAUUCUUUUUAUUAUUUAAAUUAAAUUUGAAUUGAGCCGAUCUAGAUACGAAAAUACUUAUCCAAGCCUAACUCAAAUUGAAUUGAGUUGUAUGGGGUCACAGCUGUAGUUUAGCAGAGUUUGUUUAAAUUGAAGGUGUGUAAAGUUGAAUGAUUAGAUAGGGAUUUAUGAAAAUGAAAUCGAAGGUAAGUUUAAUUUUUGAACUAAUAUAAGAUGUGAUUGAAGCCCAUUCUUUUACGAACUUUGGGCUCGUUGAUUUCUGUAUUCCCGAUUCAGCACCCAUUCAUUUAUUUUAAUUCUACAUACCUUCCGUAUUGUUAUUUAGGGAUAAUAUAGUUAAGUGCACUUGUACAUAUUUGUUUUGGUCUAUUUUCACACUUGAAUUUAACUAUUAGGUAUAUUUUAAUUUUUGAAAUUGAAAAAUAUGAAAGUUUUAUGAUGCGACUCUAUGAGAUUGUACUACAUCAUCACUUGAAAAUUAAAAAACUAUUUAUAUAAAUUUUUAGAGGAUGACGUGGUACAAUCUCUAAGUGCCACGUGUAUUAUUUAAUAAUCGGAUUGGUGGUUAAAUCAGUCAAACCACUAGUUCUCCAUUCAACCAGUUUGAUUAGUUUGACUGCCGGACCAACAAUAAUUAAAUAAAUCAUUAAACAUUCAUAAAAAUCUAAAAAACAAUAAAAGAAAUUUUUGUUAAACCGAUUAAUCAUGGUCAACAGUUGGGGGUUUUCUCAAUUUUCAAUUUUUACCAAUUUCAAGCAAUUUCUUAUUAAAUUGAUUCAAUUUCUUUGUUCAAACCAUCAUACCAAUCGAGUCUCAGUCCAAUCAGUCUGAUCAUUAUUCCAUGUGAGAUAUUAAAAUAAAAAAAUUUACCCUCUUUCAAAUCACUUGUAACAAAACUCUAAAAAUUUGGGAUAAAACACAAAAAAUUUAAGAUCCCAAAUAAAAUAAACGCAUUAAAAAUAUUAUUUGUACAGGUAGUAAUGCAGCCAAUUAGUCUAGAUAUGUUUCAAAUCAAUUGGUUUGAUUCAAUACAAAGCCUAAAUUAUAGUAAAUUUUAUUUGCUCGAUUAAUAGAAUUUAUUUAAAAAGAGCCAAAUGAAAACCACUAUACAACUUUAUGAAGUCGGCAACACAUCCAACACUCAAAGCACAAAGAAACUAGAUGUCAACAAUAAAACAAUAAUGCCAACAUUCUCAAACAUGUCAACAAAAAUAUUCUAAAAAAAAGGAAAUAGGACAUCCCACCUGGAGUGUUGAAAUUCUUGGACUCAGUCGUUAUAACAACAAAAAAGGAAAUAAGACAUCCAACAUUCUCAUCACAAUGCAUUUUCCUCUUACUCACCAACAACCUCUGCAGUGCGAUAACACAAUUAGAGGCUAUUGUGAUAGCAACUUUUAUAAAUAUUCAAAAAUUAACUUUUAAACACAUCUUGUCUUAAUAUAAGGUAAAGGGUUGAUUCAAACAUAAAAAUUUUAACCAAUUCAUCUCACCUCAAUUCAAUUGAUCACAUAACUAAAUUGAUACGAAAAUCUAUUCAUACAAUGUACAUUUAAUUUAUAUAUGAUUUCAAUUAUGGUUUAAAUUUAAAUAUUUUUUAACAAAAAUUUUAAAUAUUUAAUAUUGAACAAAUAGUCAAAUUUCGAAAUUAUGAACAAUAACUUAACACAUAGGUAAAAGUUUUUUUUUUACUUAAUAAUAUUAUUAGCAAUCGGACAUUAUUAAAUUGUAUAUGAAAAUAAUUAAGCUUAAAAAUUAAAAUUUAAAGGUAAUAUCAUUGUGAAAUUUACUCAAAAUUUAUAAUAUAGUUAUUUAUGUACAUAUGUGACACACAUAAUAAGAUAAUUAUAACACUCCUAACCCGUAUCUAUCACUGAAACAAGGUUACGGAGCAUUACCAGAGUUUACAAAUCAAAUAAAUAGACAUUUCAAACAUUUCAUAUCAUAUAAUAUUCAUGUCAGAAAUCAAUCGAAAACAAAUAUAUUGUUAUUUAUACGAGCCCUCGAGGCCCAAAAUAUGCGAUAGAAACAAGUUGGGAUACUCAAAGAAUUUUUUAGAAAACAUUGAAAUUUUUCAAAGUUGUAAGGGUCACACGCCCAUAUGGGCAUUCGAAAUAGGGGCAUACGGCCGUGUCCCAGCCCGUGUCUGUGCUCGUGUAACUCUCUGACUUGGGUCACACGGCCAAGCCACACACUCGUGUACUAGGCCGUGUGAGCAUACUGACUUGCAUUAUUAAGAAGAUAUAGGGGGCACACGACCGUGCCACAUAGCCGUGUGUCACAUACGGUUGAGACACACGCCCAUGUCCCUACUAUAGGUGUCCAUGGGCCGGGUGGCCCGGCCUGACCUGACGGCCCGCCCCGAAAUAUGGGAGGGUUCGGGCAAAAAUAUAGGCCCGAAAUAUGGGUUUAGGGAAAAAAAUGAGGCCAGUUUCGGGCCUCGGGCACCACUUUUUUGGCCCGGGCCCGGCCCGAAUAUAAUAAAUAUUUAUUUUUUUAUUCUUUCAAUUUUAAAAUAUUUUUAAAAUACUUUUUUUAAUUUUUAUUUUUAAAAUAAUUUUUUGGUGUUUAUUAAAAAAUGGGCCGGGCCAGACUUGGGCUUAGGAAUUUUUUCCUGGCCGGGCCUGGACAAAAUUUUAUGCCCAUAUUCCGGGCUAGACUGGGCCUAGGCCUAGGUCACGGGCAAAAAAAUUUCUGGGCCCAGCCCGGCCCAUGGACACCUCUAGUCUCUACCCGUGUGGACGAAAAUAAGCCAUUUUCCAAACCAUAUUUCUCAUCCAAUUUGAUACUAACCUAAACACAACAAUUUGCAUAUAACCAAGUCAUACUAAAUUAGAAAUGCUUUUUAGUUUUUUAGUUUUUUUUCAUUUGAUUGUUAGAUUUUCAUAAAUUUUAGAUGCAAAAUCAUGAUACUUGAUUAGUAUCAUAAAAUUUAAUUGUGAAAAAAAAAGUAACAUAAAAUAAAAGAAUAAAAAAACAAAGAUAGAUGUUGUAACUAAAAACUCGAGUCUGACACUUAAAAUGCAAACUGAAAUUAUUAAAGGAACAGACACAUCUUUAAACCAAACUUUGUAAUAGAAACACCCACCCAUCUUAUAUCUUUAAACCAAACUUCCCAUUUCUAUUUGGGAUAUCAAUGGAAACACCCACCCAUCAGUCUGAUGCACACCAAACUAGUCUUUAGCUUUAAUUGGGAUUAAUAUUUUAUUUUUGAUCAAUUUUUUACACUUUUUUUUUUUUUGGGAAACACCUCAAUCAAAGCACAUCUGAUUUUAUAAAAAUACUUUUGAUUGUUGUGUUCUGUCAUACCCGUAUCCUUAUUUUUAAAAAUUAUCAUAUCAUGCCGUACCCUCGUUACAUAUAUGUAUUUGUGCUUCAUAAGUAGGUUUUAAAUGUUAUUUUAGAAUAAUUAUAUAUGUCUUCAUUUAUUUUGCAUGAGUUUAAAAUAAUAAAAUUUAAAUAUAGGAUAUAAGUCCUAAUUAAUUUGUAUAAAAAAUUAUUUAAUUAAAUUAAAUCCAAAUCUAAAAUCUAAAUUUUAAUUUUAAUUAUCACAACAAUCAACUUAAAUUAAUUCAAAAGCUUAAAUUUGAAAAUACAUGCGUUUCAUUUUAAAUGAAGUCUAGCUUAGCACAGUUAAAUAUCAAAAGUCUAUAAAAGUUGAAUCAUUAGAUUGGAUUAUAUGUGUGCUUCGAGUAAUUACUUAUUUUGCCUGACUUGAAGCCCAUUUUUUUUGGAAUUUCGAGUCUCUUUAGUUACUUUUUGAAUAUUAAAUAUUACAAUUAUUUAAAUUUAUUUUUUUAUCAAAAAUAUUUUUUUUUAGAAUAAAACUUCAUAAAUCAAAAAGAUCCUAAGUCACAACGUAUCACUAAGUCACAAUGCAUCAGGCUUACACUAAUACACCUAGUACCGAUUCUUAGUUAUGUCUUUGAAAUAUCUUCACUAAACAAAUUCGAUUGUCUCAAUUUUAUUUAUUUAAAAUCAAAAUUAUAUAUAUAUAUAUUUAUUUAGCUCAUUUAAAUGAUAUUUAUUUAAAAUGAAUUAAAUGAGAAUCAUUAAACAAUUUUAUAAAGUUGACAACACAUCUAAUAUUUAAAGCACAAAAAAAUUCGAUAUGUCAAUUACAACAAAACAAUAAUACCAACAUUCUCAAAUACGGCAACAAAAUUGUUCUAAAAACAAAAGAUAAGGCAUCACAACUAGAAUGUACAAAUAUUUGGAUUCAAUCAUUAUAACAACAAAAAAGGAAACAAAACAUCAAACAUCCUCAUCACAAUGGAUUCUUCGGUGACUCGCCAACAACCUCUGCAAUGCAAUAAUACAAAAGGAGGUUAUUGUGAUAACAACUCUUACAAAUAUUCAAAAAUUAACUUUUAGAUGCAGCAUGUCUCAAUCUAAGGCAAAGGGUUUAUCCAAACAUGAAAAUUUUAACCAACUUAAUUCAAUUCAAUUCAACUCAAACCUCAAUCUAUCUAUGUAGUUUACUUUUAAUUUAUAUAUAAUUUCGAUUAUGGUUUAAAUUUAAAUAUUUUUUUGACAAAAAAUAUAAAUAAAACAAAUAGUGAUAUUAAUGAAAAUUUGUAAUUAUGAACAAUAACUUAACGCAUAGGUAAAAGCUUUUUUUUUUUUACUGAAUAAUAUUAUUAGCAAUAGUACAUUAUUAAUUGUAUGUGAAAAUAAUGAAGCUUAAAAAUUAAAAUUUAAAGAUAAUAUCAUUGUCAAAUUUACUCAAAAUUUAUUUUUAACUAUAGUUAUCUAUGUACAUAUGUGACACACAUAAUAAGAUACUUAUAUAUAUAUAUAUAUAUAAUAAUAAUAAUAAUAAGGCAAAAUAAUACAAAACCAAAAGGUAAGACAAUGAAGUGAAAUAUUUCUAACCUUAUGCAAUAUUUGAAAUUGUUAUAAUAACAGUAUCCAACGAAAAUUAGACAUCAACAGAAUGAUUACGUAAAAACUUAAAUCCAAUUGUUACAUAAUAUGAAAAAUAAAAUAAUUAUAUUAUGUAAAUAGAUCAUUCCUGAUUACAAUGAAUAAUAAUCCUUACAAAAAAAUUUAAUAAUUCAAAACUAUAAACAAUAAUUUAUAAACGAUAUUAAAAUAAAAAUAUUAGAAUUUUAAUAUACAAAAAUUUAUAUAGAAAUAUUUUUUGAAGUUUUACAUCAAUUUAAAAAAAAUUGAAAUUGGUAAACGUCCACACUUCAAAAAUCAUUUUUGAUUUUAUCCUUGUUAAUAAUUUUCUAUCGAUUUACAAAAAAAAAAAAAUAAUGAAAAUACAGACAAUAUCUCACAAAAACAUUUUGUAUUAAAAUAAAGAUUUAAUUCUUGUUUUCGAAAUCGUAACGGGUUUGUUUGAUCAAAAACCUGUUAAAGUAUCGGUUCAAAGAGAGGUAAAAAUUUGAUUGACUCGUGAGUCAGUAUGAACUAGUUGAAUCAAUUUAAAAAUCAAUUGAAUAGAUGAUUGAAUCAGUUGAACUAUAUUUUAUAAUUUUUAAUAAUUUUUAAUUAUUUAAUUUGAACCAGACGAAUUAAAUGGUUUGACUAGUUUGGCCAAGGUUGCUCAAAUGGAACUAAACAGAUUAGUCAUAUCAAUUAAAUUGGAAACUUAUAAUAGUGUUGAUUCAAAAAAUAAAAUAUUGAAUCAAUUAAUUUGAGAACUGAUACAAACCUAUUGAACCAAAUAAAAAAAUUAAUUAAACUUAAUUUUAGUAUUUUUAUUUUAAUAAUUUAUUUAAUCAUUAAGAUUAAUUAGAACAAUGAACCAAUGAUUUAAAUUUCGUCAUAAUCUAAUUCUAAAAAUUGUGGAUUUGAGCGCUCCCAAAUUUCCCUUCGCUUUCUCUCUCUCUCUCUGUUCUUCAACAUCGUGUUUAGAUCCGUCCCUCCCAUCCUUGAAAGAUUCCAUCUUUGACCCUUCUUCGUUGAAUCUAUCAAACAAAUUAGGGUUCCGAUCUGUUACUUGUUGUGUUCGUUUAAAAAAAAAAUUUCUUUGCCUCAAAAUUUCAUCUUCAGAAAAAGAAAAAAAAAGGAGAGAGAGAGAGAGAGAGAGAGAGUUUUCGAUUUUCCUUGAUUUUGCUUGAGAUUUAUGUUCUAAUCUGAAAUUCAUUACCUUAAUGAUUUGCUAUAUCGGUUCGAUCUCCAUUACGAUUGCUUGAUUUUGUGUCGGAUUUGGGGUUAAAUCCAAGCUUGGGCGUUUUUACAUUAAAUCAGUAACCAUCGGCCCAAACUCUACGCCUCUUUCUAUCUGGAAAAUUUUUACAUUAAAACAAACGGAGUUUGAAAGUUAAAAAUUGACAUUCCAUUGAAUUUAAGUUUGAAAGUUUGGCUCAACUCACCGAUUACACCCGCUUACAUGAAGUAGAAGCCCUUAUUACAUCGAUACAUCUGUGUGUGUGUGUGUUUUCCGCUUCCUCUUCUUUCUUUUGGCCCUUUUUUAUUUUUCUCAAAAAUCCUCACCUACAGCUUACUCCAUUCCCUGACAUUUUCUCUUAAAAUUACACUGAAAAAGCUCACAUGUUCCCCAAACUUCAUCUAUUACUCAAGUUUCGAUUCCUUGUCUCCGCAUCCAACCGCCACUGUACACAGUCAAACUCUGUUUUUCGAAUUACCGCCACCUAUUCGACGAUAUGCCCAAACCAAGUUGAAAGCCCGAAUGAAGAAGCUAUAGAGCAUCCGAGAGACUCCAUCGAGAUUUUCAAGCAAUGGGGUUGCUGUGAAAACGAUUUGUUGAAGAUCUUUUCACGCCAACCUUCUUUGCGCAACGCUCAAGCUACUUCCCUUUUAUCCAAACUCAACUUGCUGAGUAGCUUGGGACUCAGCGGUUCCGACAUUGUCAAGAUGGUCAAUUGUCGUCCUCGUUUCUUUUGUUCUCGUAUCAAUAAUUGCUUCGACGAGCGGAUUGAGUUCCUCGUUAACCUGUUCGGGUCGCGAGAAAUGCUUCGUAAAGCACUUGUUAGGAACCCUUCACUCUUGACCUAUGAUUUUCACAAUACCAUGAAACCAGUCAUUGCAUUGUACGAAGAGAUUGGCAUUAGUGGAAGUGAUUUGAUUGCUAUGCUCAUCUCACGUCCCACAUUGAUCCCAAGGACUUCUUUCAAUGAGGAGAAGAUGGAAUACAUAAAGAAAACAAGGGUUUCAAAAGGUUCCAAAAUGUACAAGUACGUAGUUUCACUCAUCGGAAUAUCGCGGAUCGAGACUACGUGAAAAGGUGACUAACUUGGAGAAAUUCGGAUGUUCAGAGGAAGAGAUUUGGAGUUUGUUGGGACGUUCUCCUCUUAUUUUGACACUCUCGGUUGAUAAGGUUCAAAGGAACAUGACAUUUGUUUUGGGAACCAUGAAGCUGUCUCCAAGAGUGGUUCUUGAGCACCCGUUUUUGUUGUUCAGCAACCUCGAAGCCGUAUUGAAACCGCGGAUAUCGUUGGCUCGGAAACUAAAGGAAAUGGAGCUUGAUCCGCAGAUUAAAGGAUCGAUCAUGUUGACAGCAUUGAGGAUGACGGAAAAUCGAUUCUUGAAUGUGUUUAUUAAAUGCCAUCCACAAGAUGUGGCAAAUGAACUGUUGGAGUUCUAUAAACAUGCCAAAGGUCUCAAGCCAUUGGCCGAAUCAUCGAAAAAAAUACUGCGUAAAGGAUUUCCAUUUUGAACAUUUUCGUUUGUUUGUUUGGUGCUGUCUUCGUUUUCUUUUUGUUCAUCCAUGUCAAGGGAUAUUUCGGUUAAAUUUUCAGAUUUAUAACUUUUAUUCUCAAAGGGAUAAUGUGAGACUCAAAAUUUUGGGAUAUAAAAAGGGAUGCCUCUUCGUGUUUCAUUGGUGUUCUCUCUCUGCCUAUAUCCCUUGUACUCCUCGUGAUGAAGAGUUGAAAUUUUUUCUAUGUAUGAUGGCUGGAGGGAAUAUAGAUUAUGAAACUCCACCAUUAUUAACUUUGUACGCUCAAUUGGCACCGGUUAAAGCGUGUUUAAAGGCGUAUUUUCUUUUUAUUUAAGAGUUUAAAAGAGAUUAUGAUUUGUGAACAAUAAUUUUUUAAGGUAAAUCUAAUUCUAUAUAUUUUGACCGAUGAUUAUUUUUAUCCUUAAGGUAAAUUUGUGUUAAUUUUGGUUUGGAUGAUGUUUAUUAUUUUUAUUAAUUACUUUUCAACACGGAUAAAAUCUUGCACCAAUUAAAAUUCAUAUAUUAUUAUUAAUAAAAGAUAAAUAAACAAAUUAAAUCUUUUUAAAUGUCUUUUAUAAAUUAGUUUCUUAUUUAUUUUUAAAGUUUAUUAAAUAAUAUUAUUUUAUUUUAUAACUAAUGUAAAGUAAUAUAUAAGGUAAAAUAAUAUAAAGCUAAAAUGAAGUGAAAUGUGUUAAGAAAUGGCUUAAAAUUGGUAGUGGAUUGUUGUUGUUGGUAGUGGGUUGUUGGUGGUAGUGGAUUAGUGGAUGGUUGUUGGUGUCCAUUUUCAACCACAAAUCUUUGCCAAAGUUUUGGACAAUUAUGUCCUUGAACUCUCUUAUAAAUAGAGAGGUUCAUUAGCCAUAUAAAUCAUCCCAAACCAAGAGAGAGCAAAGCUUGUUCUUUGAAAGCUAGGAUUUUAGCUUUCGGAUUUUCUAUAGGGGUUGAGAGUUGUGAGGUUCUCGGGUUGUGUCUUGAGUGUAAAACACUUGUAAUCUUCAUCUUGUUAUAGUGAAAUUUCUUUUCGCCUCUGCCCGUGGACGUAGGCAUUAAAGCCGAACCACGUAAAUCCUUGUGUUCACUUUAUUUUUCGUUUCGGUCAAUUUACUUGUAGUCAUAUCGGAGUUCUCGAAUCGAUCCUUUCCGCAACAAAUUGGUAUCAGAGCGUAGUUGAAGGAGUGAUAAUAUUUUCUGAAUUGCCCUGUGACUGCAGCUUUGUCUGAUCUUUCACAUCAGGAAGAAAAUAUUAUCAUUCAUUCAAAGGUUCCAAAUUAUGGCUACAAGUGUUUCAUCGACUAAGUAUGAUGUCGAGAAAUUUACCGGAAAAAAUAGUUUCAGUUUAUGGCGCAUCAAGAUGCGGGCAGUGCUGGUUCAACAAGGAUUGCUAAAAGCAUUGUCUGGUAAAGAUAAAUUACCAAGCACGCUUUCGGAAGAGCAAAAGGAUGACAUGCUAGAAAGAGCACAUAGUGCUAUUCUGCUAUGUCUAGGAGAUGAAGUGCUACGAGAAGUAGCGGAUGAGAAAACCGCGUCCGGUUUGUGGCUCCGGUUAGAGAGCAAGUACAUGACGAAGUCAUUGACGAACCGGCUCUACCUCAAGCAAAGACUCUAUGCCCUGAAGAUGGAGGAAGGUACACCUGUUUCCCAGCACCUGGAUAAAUUCAAUUCCAUUAUCAUGGAUUUGAAUAAUAUCGAUAACAAAAUCGAUGAUGAGGACCAAGCAAUAAUUGUUUUGUGUUCUUUGCCUCCCUCGUAUGAGAAUUUUGUUGAUACAAUGAUGUACGGUCGUGAUGACCUGACUCUAGAGGAGGUGAAAAAUGCCUUAAGUUCCAGUGAGUUGAGGAAGAAAAUCACUGGUAAGGUGGUCGAAAACAAUGAAGGCGAAGGCUUGGUUGCUCGAGGAAGAUCCAAGGCAAAGGGUGGAAGUUCAAGUAAAAGCCAUCCUAGAUCGCAGUCCAAGAAGAGAAUACAGUGCUACUACUGUAAGAAGUACGGGCACAUGAAGGUAGAUUGUCCGAAAAGGAAGGAGAAAUCAGAAUCACAGGAGCAACAAAAUGAUCGUGCGAAUGUAGCUGAUGCAGAUUCUUCAAGUGAUGCCGAGAUCGUUCUUGCAGUAUCCGACUCUUACGCUGGUGGGAGAUGGAUUCUUGAUACGGGAGCUACAUUUCAUAUAAGUACUUCGAAAGAUGCAUUCUCAACAUACGAGAAGCAUUCUGGUUCAGUACUAAUGGGAAAUGACCACGCAUGUCAAGUCAUGGGGAUUGGCACAGUUCGUAUAAAGAUGUUUGACGGUAUUGUUAGAACUCUAACUGAUGUUCGGCACAUUCCAGAAAUGAAGAAAAAUUUGAUCUCUUUGAGUACGUUGGACAAGAAAGGCUUUCGGUACUCUGCUGAAGGUGGAGUUCUCAAGGUAUUCUCGGGUGCUUUGACUGUGAUACGUGGUAAUUUGGAGCGGGGCCUUUACUUCCUCGAUGGUUCCUCGGUUACAGGUGUUGCGGGAGUGUCAUCAUCAGAUGAUCUAGAUUCUGACACCACGAAGUUAUGGCAUAUGCGGCUCGGGCAUAUGAGCGAGAGAGGCUUAUCGGUGCUAAGCAAACGAGGAUUAUUGUCUGGGCAGUGUACAGGAAAGUUGAAUUUCUGUGAGCACUGCGUCUUCUGUAAGCAGACUCGGGUAAAGUUCAGCACUGGGAUUCACAAGACAAAAGGCACAGUGGAUUACUUCCAUUCUGACCUUUGGGGGCCUUCUCCGACAAUUUCUAAAGGUGGUUACAGAUAUCUGCUUACCUUUAUCGAUGAUUACUCGAGAAAGGUUUGGGUGUAUUUUCUGAAGAGCAAGUAUGAGGUUCUCAUCAACUUCAAGCAAUUUAAAGCUUUGAUCGAAAAUCAAACAGGAAAGAAGAUCAAGCGAUUCCGGACGGAUAAUGGCUUGGAGUUUUGCUCAGGUGAAUUCAAUGAGUUCUGCAAAAAUGAAGGAAUAGUGAGACACCGCACUGUUCGUCGAACACCACAACAAAAUGGAGUUGCAGAACGCAUGAAUAGAACUCUCUUGGAGCGAGCUCGUUGCAUGCGAUCAAAUGCUGGGCUCGGUGAAGAAUUUUGGGCUGAAGCUGUUAAUACUGCUUGUUAUUUGGUUAACAGAUCUCCGUCAACAGCUAUUGAGCUGAAGACUCCUGAGGAAGUAUGGUCUGGUUCUCCUGCUGAUUACUCUGGUUUAAGAGUGUUUGGCUGCCCUGCGUAUGCUCAUGUAAAUGAGGGAAAACUCAAACCGAGGGCGAAGAAAUGCAUAUUUCUUGGAUACGGCCAAGGGGUGAAAGGAUACAGGUUGUGGUGUCCUGAUCCGGUUUCGUCCAAGUUCAUCAUCAGCAGAGAUGUGACUUUUGAUGAGUCAUCCAUGCUUCGAUCCACCACAAAUUCCCGGGAAAAGGAGGAGUCAGAUAGAAUGGGAGAUCACGGUGUUGAGAAGCAGGUGGAGUGUCAGGUGGACGCUCCAAUUCCUACGGAAGGUACUUCAGUCCAGGAUGAUCAAGUUGAGGUGCAAGAUUCCGAUGAAGAUGAGUCACCUCAAGAAAAACCAUAUAGCAUUGCCACUGGAAGAACGAAGAGACAAAUCAAACCAAAUCCGCGUUACGCUAAUCUGGUGUCUUUCGCGCUCAGUGUGGCGGAGUCCAUUGGUAUAGAACCUUCCAGUUAUAAUGAGGCUGUCACGUGUGAUGAGUCGGCACAGUGGGCAAUUGCUAUGAGUGAGGAGAUAGAAUCUCUUCACAAGAACCAUACUUGGGAGUUGGUUAAGCCGCCAAGUAACCAGAAGAUAGUUGGUUGCAAAUGGGUCUUCAAGAAAAAGGAAGGCAUCCUAGGGGUUGAAGCAACUAGAUUCAAGGCACGAUUGGUUGCUAAAGGCUUCACUCAGAAAGAGGGGAUUGACUACAAUGAAGUUUUCUCCCCAGUCGUAAAGCAUUCUUCCAUUCGUGUAUUACUUGCCAUGGUGGCCAAGUCUGAUCUAGAACUUGAGCAGCUUGACGUAAAAACGGCGUUCUUGCAUGGUGAGCUCGAGGAAACAAUCUACAUGCGUCAACCAGAGGGUUUUACAGUUCCUGGUAAAGAAGACCAUGUCUGUCUAUUAAAGAAGUCUUUAUAUGGAUUGAAACAAUCCCCAAGGCAGUGGUACAAGCGGUUUGAUAGCUUCAUGAUUCAGCAUGGUUACACAAGAUGUGACUAUGAUGCUUGUGUCUAUCAUCGGAAGCUCUCAGAUGGUUCGCACAUUUAUUUGUUGCUGUAUGUUGAUGACAUGUUAAUUGCUUCCAAAAACAUGUCGGAAAUCAACAAGUUAAAGUCGCAGUUGAGUGGUGAGUUCGAGAUGAAGGAUCUGGGUGCUGCCAAGAAAAUUUUGGGCAUGGAUAUUCACAGAGAUCGCAAGGCGGGCAAGCUUCGUGUGUCGCAGAAGAACUACAUUGAAAAGGUUCUUCAACGCUUCGGCAUGGAUAAAGCGAAAACUGUGAGUACUCCGUUGGCACCACAUUUCAAACUCUCUGCAGAGUUGUCACCACAAUCUGAUGAAGAAAAGCAGCAAAUGUCUCACAUUCCAUACUCGAGUGCAGUUGGAAGCGUGAUGUAUGCAAUGGUUUGCACUCGUCCAGACAUUUCACAUGCAGUUAGUGUGGUCAGCAGAUACAUGAGUUGUCCUGGCAAGGAACACUGGCAGGCCGUGAAAUGGAUUCUCAGGUACUUGAGAGGUUCUGCAGAUUUAUGCUUGGUAUAUGAUCAGAGUGACUGCACUAGCAGUGUCACGGGCUAUGUGGACUCUGAUUAUGCUGGAGAUCUGGACAAAAGAAGAUCUCUGACGGGUUAUGUUUUCACUUAUUCUGGAGGAGCCAUUAGUUGGAAAGCUGUGUUACAGUCUACCGUAGCCUUAUCUACGACUGAGGCGGAAUAUAUGGCGUUAGCAGAAGCAGUGAAAGAAGCAUUGUGGAUGAAAGGUCUAGUAAGCAGUUUGGGUUUACAACAGGAUUUCACUGUUGUAUUUUGCGAUAGCCAGAGUGCCAUACAUCUGACUAAAAAUCAGAUGUUUCAUGAACGGACCAAACACAUUGAUGUCAGAUAUCAUUUUGUUCGGGAACAUGUUACGCAAGGUGACAUUGUUAUCAGCAAGGUUGCUACCGAGAAGAAUCCUGCAGAUAUGUUAACUAAGGUGAUCCCUGCAUAUAAGUUCAAGCAUUGCUUGGACUUGAUAGGUAUUCGGGAUUGAUUAGCGCCAGAGAGGCGUUUGGAAGAGGUGAUCCAGUUCGAGGAAUUCACUAUGAUGUUCAGCUUGGUAAAUUUCAAGCCAAGGUGGAGAUUUGUUAAGAAAUGGCUUAAAAUUGGUAGUGGAUUGUUGUUGUUGGUAGUGGGUUGUUGGUGGUAGUGGAUUAGUGGAUGGUUGUUGGUGUCCAUUUUCAACCACAAAUCUUUGCCAAAGUUUUGGACAAUUAUGUCCUUGAACUCUCUUAUAAAUAGAGAGGUUCAUUAGCCAUAUAAAUCAUCCCAAACCAAGAGAGAGCAAAGCUUGUUCUUUGAAAGCUAGGAUUUUAGCUUUCGGAUUUUCUAUAGGGGUUGAGAGUUGUGAGGUUCUCGGGUUGUGUCUUGAGUGUAAAACACUUGUAAUCUUCAUCUUGUUAUAGUGAAAUUUCUUUUCGCCUCUGCCCGUGGACGUAGGCAUUAAAGCCGAACCACGUAAAUCCUUGUGUUCACUUAUUUUUCGUUUCGGUCAAUUUACUUGUAGUCAUAUCGGAGUUCUCGAAUCGAUCCUUUCCGCAACAAAAUGUUUCUAACCUCGUACAAUAUUUCAACUUGUUGUAAUACCAGUAUCCAGUGNNNNNNNNNNNNNNNNNNNNNNNNNNNNNNNNNNNNNNNNNNNNNNNNNNNNNNNNNNNNNNNNNNNNNNNNNNNNNNNNNNNNNNNNNNNNNNNNNNNNNNNNNNNNNNNNNNNNNNNNNNNNNNNNNNNNNNNNNNNNNNNNNNNNNNNNNNNNNNNNNNNNNNNNNNNNNNNNNNNNNNNNNNNNNNNNNNNNNNNNNNNNNNNNNNNNNNNNNNNNNNNNNNNNNNNNNNNNNNNNNNNNNNNNNNNNNNNNNNNNNNNNNNNNNNNNNNNNNNNNNNNNNNNNNNNNNNNNNNNNNNNNNNNNNNNNNNNNNNNNNNNNNNNNNNNNNNNNNNNNNNNNNNNNNNNNNNNNNNNNNNNNNNNNNNNNNNNNNNNNNNNNNNNNNNNNNNNNNNNNNNNNNNNNNNNNNNNNNNNNNNNNNNNNNNNNNNNNNNNNNNNNNNNNNNNNNNNNNNNNNNNNNNNNNNNNNNNNNNNNNNNNNNNNNNNNNNNNNNNNUAGUGUGGUCAACAAAUGCAUUCACAUUCUUUCUCCUUCCAACUAUUUCCAUCAAUAACAUUCCAAAACUAUAAACAUCGGCUUUGUAUGAGAUGCCUCCAAGAUUUUUGUAAACCAAUUCAGGAGCAAUAUAUCCUAUUGUUCCUCGUGCUGCAAUGAGAGAGACAAUGCUAUCAUCUACUGAAUACAAUUUAGCAAGGCCAAAAUCGAGAACUUUUGGAUUAAAAUUCUCAUCAAGAAGAAUAUUGUGUGGCUAGUUAUCAAAAUGUAGAACUUACCCAAAAGCUCGUUUUUUAUUCGAAAAUAUUAAUAAUGUUUUUAAUUGAUAUUUUACAUAUUUCUAUAAUUAAAUUUAAAUUUUAAAAUUUUUGUAUUAUUUAAAUUAAAAUAAAAAUAUUUAUCCAAGCCUAACCCAAAUCGAGUUGGGCCGGGUGGGCGAUCCGGUCAUGAUAGGAAAGGAAAAAAAAGGAAAGACGAAGCCUAAACAGGCAGUGUGCAGCCCACUAAAUUUAUUUUAAUUUUACAUACAUUCCAUAUUAUUAUUUAGGGAUAAUAUAAUUUUUGACCCCUAAUCUUGAUAGUUAGGUGGACUUUAGUACAUAUGUCUUUUUUGUUCUACUUUGACACUUGAACUUCACAAUUAAGUAUAUUUUGGUUCCUAAACUUAAAAAUUUUGAAAGUUUUAUGAUGCAACUCUCUGAGAUUGUGUUACAUCAUCACUUAAAAAUUAAAAUAUAUAUUUAUAUAUCAUCUAUUGAGCCUGCCCAAUCAUUGUCAACAAAACCAAGGAGCUUCAUGCUGUCAACCUUGAUAAACAUCAUCCCAAAGCUUAGAGUACCUUUGAUGUACCUGAUAACUCUCUUACCAGCUUGAAAAUGGCUCACAUUGCAGCAAUGCAUGACCCUGGACAGGAGGCUGACUGCAAACAUUAUGUCUGGUCUUGUGGCUGUCAAGUACAGAAGGCUACCUUCUCGAAAUCACCCUGGCUGGUCAACUUUUCUCCAAUAGCAACUGGUGUGCUAGUUGCUUUACUGUUCAACAUGGAGAACCUGUUUAGAAUUUUCAAGGCAAAAGCCUUUUGGCUUGGGAAAAUCCCUUGUUUAUUCUGAGAUACUUCCAUACCAAGGAAAUAGGUCAUUUCUCCUAAGUCUGACAUCUCAAACAUGCUCUCCAUUUUUCCUUUAAAGUCUGUCAACAUAGCAUUGUUACUUCCUGUCACUAGCAAAUCAUCCACAUCGCUUUUUCAUCGUCAGAAGGCAAUAAUUGUAUACACCAAAAGGUUGUUAUUAUCAUCUUCUUCACCAUUGCUUUUUCAUCGUCAGAAACAUCUCUUAACUCCAUGUCCCCUCCUUGAUCCAAUCUGUCAUCAAUCCAUGAUGGAAAAUAUAUCUGACUAGUGUCGUCAACAAAAGCAUUUUCAUUCUUUCUCCUUCCUAUCAUUUCCAUCAACAACAUUCUAAAACUAUAAAUACCGGCUUUGUAUGAGAUGCCUCCAAGAUUUUUGUAAACCAAUUCAAGAGCAAUAUAUUCUAUUGUUCCUCGUGCCACAGUGAGAGAGACAAUGCUAUCAUCUAUAGAAAACAAUUUAGCAAGAUCAAAAUCGAAAACUUUUAAAUUAUAAUUCUCAUCAAGAAGAAUAUUGUGUGGUUUAAUACCAAAAUCAAAAACUUUUGGAUUAUGUUGAUAAGUAUUAGUCCCAUAUGCAUGGGAGAGUAUUAAGUUGAAAUAUUAAAUUUAGAGUUUAUUAUAAUAAUUUUUUAUUCAAACGGUUUAUUCUAACAAGAGCGGAAACUUUUAUAAUUUAAUACAAUUAAUUUUAUUAUUUUAUAAUGAAAAGCAAAAGAAAAAGAAGAUUUUAAAUUGUAAAAAAAAUUUAAAUAAAUUUGGACCUUAUACUUGUAGAUAAACCUUUAUCAAUUUAAUAAAUUCCAACUAUAAUGUGGAUGACCAAGAGAAUGCACGUCUUAAGUCUUCAUUGAAACACAAAAGCAUUUAAGUCUUUGAGUUUUUAUAUCAUCGCUUUGGUCCUUUUGUGUUAUGUAAGUCGAGCUAGGCAUAUUCCACCCAACCCAUGGAUCACGCUAGACGAGAUUUCAUGUCUAAUUGUAUAGAUCUUUUAUUUUAGUCGACAACUACUCAAGUAUUUUUAAAAUAUUUUUUAAUAUAAUUACAUAGGUUGUUGAUUUUAUUUUAUAAUCUCUUUUUAUUUUGCUUAAUUUUAAUUUUAUUUUUCAAUUCUAAACUCCUUUAUUUUUAUUUUACAUGUUGAUUAAAGAAAUAAAAUUAUCGCCUUUCUUUAUGGAUAUGACCUUACUUGUUGCUAUCUACUAAUUUUAUAUUUUUUAAGUAGGUUUUUAUUGUUAUAGAUCUCCACAACUUAACAAAUAAGAAUUUGAGCCCAAAGAGAUAUUGAAUUUGGUGGUGCAAUAGAAUAUUUUCAUUGCUUUUGUGCAAUUCUAAACAUUCAUAACACUACUACGCCUAUUAGGAACAUAAAACAAAAAUAAAGAGAUCCCAUUGAAAAAUCCAAGUCCAUGGAACAGAGAGUAGAUUUCUUGGAUAUUCUCAUAUUCAAGUUCACACCUACAAUAACCACACUGGCGAGAUUGUUUUUUCAAUCGCACGGCAUAAAUGUUAAUUAAGUUCCCAAGAGCGGCAAAGCAUGAAAGAAUAAAUUUAGAAACAAAUCAAAAGCGGCCAUUAGGUGGCUAAACAAAGGGAGUUUUUUCCUAUAAUUUGGGAUGCUCGCUGCAAACUUUGAUAGGGAACAAAAAUAUAAAUCUGCCGACAUAUACAACACACAUGAUAAGAUACUACAUACGUAUAAAAGAAAAUUAAUAUAAAACUAUAAAGGUGAGAUAAUGAAAUGAGAUAUUUCCAACCUCAUUAGACAUUUGAAUUAAUUAUAGUAACAGCCGAGGAUGAUGUACUUGGCUUAUCAACAGAGCUCUCACAACCAUGGACUUCCAUCGAUGUCUCAAGAGGAAGUUGAUGGAAUGGCUUAGGAGGUAUCUCACAGAGUUCAAUAUCUCCUUCAAGCAUCUUUAGUACUUUGCUCAUUGAAGGACGAUCAAUAGGUAAUAAUUGUAUGCACCAAAAGGCUGUUAUUAUCAUCUUUCUCACCAUUACUUUUUCAUCAUCAGAAACAUCUCCCAGCUCCAUGUCCUCUCCUUGAUCCAAUCGGUCAUAAAUCCAUGAUGGAAAAUAUAUUUGACUAGUGUGGUCAGCAAAUGCAUUCACAUUCUUUCUCCUUCCAACUAUUUCCAUCAAUAACAUUCCAAAACUAUAAACAUCGGCUUUGUAUGAGAUGCCUCCAAGAUUUUUGUAAACCAAUUCAGGAGCAAUAUAUCCUAUUGUUCCUCGUGCUGCAGUGAGAGAGACAAUGCUAUCUUCUACUGAAUACAAUUUAGCAAGGCCAAAAUCGGAAACUUUUGGAUUAAAAUUCUCAUCCAGAAGAAUGUUGUGCGGCUUGAUAUCAAAAUGUAGAAUUUGCAUGUCACAUCCUUGAUGCAAGUAGUGAAUUCCUUGAGCCACACCAAGCACAAUAUCAAACAAUUUUUUCCAACCCAAAGUGUUCUUAUUUUCUUCUGUAAAUAUGAUUUUAUCUAAAGAUCCAUUAGGCAUGAAAUCAUAUACCAAAGCUUGCUUUGAUCUCCCUACGCAAAAUCCAAUAAGUUUAGCCACAUUAGCAUGAUGAAUUCUCCCGAUAGAAGCAACUUCAUUUAUAAAAUCUUGGCCGUUCCCCUUUGACUUAUCUAACAGUUUUAUAGCCACAUGAUGUCCACUACGAAGCUUUCCCUUAAACACCGAACCAUAGCCCCCUUCACCUAGUUUAUUUUUAAAAUUUUUAGUCAUUUUUUUAAUUUCUUUGAAAGAAUAUCUAAUUGGUGCUAGAUUGUGGCUUUGAAGAAACUCUUCAAUCUUAUCAUCCAUGGAUAAAUGUCUUCUUCUCCAUUUGUAGAUAACAAGGCCAGACAAACAAAGUAUCCCAGUCAAAACCCUCAAUAUGAUGACCCCAACUUCAAAAACAAGAAAGUAUUGUAGAACAUUAGUACUUUGUGAGGUCAAAAACGAAUUAUCUACAUUCUCAAAAUGUCUAUACACGUGACAAUCGCGUGCUCCCUUAAAAGAUAAAAUUAAGAUAGAUUUAAAUUUUUUAAAAAGUGGUUUGUAGUUUUUAUAACUUAAAAUCAAAUUAUUAAUAUAAAGAAUCUUUCAUUUUUUUCUCAAAUUAAAUGUGGAUAUAUAUAUAGUUUUUUUUCCCCUAUUUCUCAAUGUCUUGGAUAUAUAUAAAAUUGAGGCCAUAAGUAUACCUGUUACAACAAAACAAGUAUGAUCGGUAUCUGUGGAAACACAAAAACAAAAAGAUACAUCAAUAUUACCAGAGAGUAAAAAGUUCAAAGAUCAGUAAAAAACAAAUAAAACCUGCAAAUCACACCAUCUCAUCAGCCGACCCAAAAAAAAAAAAACCAUACCAUGAUAGUAAUAAAUUACAGCUGAAAUGCACCCAAAAUAGACACUGAUGUGAUAUGACACCGCGCACAAUCUGCAGUAUUCAGCACACCUAAAUAAGCCAAGCUAUUGUAGAUGGGACCAAUGAGUUAAACAUAAGAGUAAAUUUUAUGCAACACUGUAUUAACAUUUCUUUUUAAUGUAUUUUAUAUUAAAAUUACAAUAUAUAUAAAGUUACAAAUUUUAUUGUGAAAAAAAAAAGUAAAAGGGAUCAAAUUAGCUUAUUAUAAAAGUAGAUUAUGUUAUAUGUACCCAAAAGAAAUUUUGGCAGAUUGUCUUCUAAGAUUAUACAAAAAUUAUUAACAACUGAGUAUUAAUAACAUAUCAAAUAUUACAACAGUUAAUUUACGUAUUUUUAUAGUAAGAAGUAUGCAACAUCUAUUGCAUACAAAUUUUUUGUGUUUCGAAAAUAAAAGAUAUUAUCUAAACUAAAAAUUGUAAAAGAAAGAAAUGUUUGUUUAUAAUUUAAAAAAUUAAUUAUUUUAAGUAAUUUAAAUAAAGCUAAAUUAAGUUGGAGAAGAUAGUAAAUAUAAUUGAAUGUAUAAUAAUACUUUGUUAUUUUUAAAAUUUGUUGAUGUGACAUUAUUUUACUGGUGCAUAAAACUAUACUUUUUAGAAUUGUACUAAUAUUUAAAGAAGGUAUAAUUACCAAAUAAGUUAAUAGAAUAAAAGAAGACAAAACAGCAGAGGCAGUUGCAUUCAAUUUAAAGAAAAAUGUUUUUUUAAUAAAAAUUUAAAUUUACAAAUUUAAUAAAAUUAUAUAUUUAAUUUUUAUUAAUAUAUAUAGUGAAACAGGCCAUUAAAUUUCUAUUAAUAAAAGUUGUUGCCGUAAUUAUAGUAAUUACUACUAAAAAGCUAUGAAGGUAUUUUUUUCUAUGAUUGGGAAGUGCACAGAUUUUACGAACAAAAACAUCAUCUUUAAUUAGCUAAUAAAAUUUAAUUGCGAAAAAGAACAUAAAAGAAAUAGGUAGGUCAUACAAAAAGCAGAGGCAGAUACUAAAUUAGAAAUGCUAUUAGGUUUUUUUUUUUUUUUCAUUUGAUUGUUAUGUCUUAAUAAAUUAUAGGUAAAAAAAACAUGAGAAUUAGCAUGAUGAGAUUUAAUUGUGAAAAAAUAAUAACAUGAAAUAAAAGAAAAAUAAGUAAGUCAUACAAAAAGCAAAGGCAAAUGUUUUAACUAAAAAUAUCAGUUUGAUGAUGUAAAGAGCGAUGCACACUCAGAAUAUAAUUGAAAUCGUUGAAGAAACCUACACUUCUGUAAACCAAUUUUUGUUUUCAUUGCACUGGUAGUCAUGCCAGUAUCUAAUUGUCCAAAAAGAAGACAAAACAGCAGAGAAAGCAGAGGCAGAUACUAAAUUAGAAAUGCUUUUAGUUCAUUUGAUUGUUAGAUGUUGAUCAAUUUUAGAUGCAAAAUCAUCAUACUUAAUUACCAUCAUAAUAUUUAAUUGUGAUAAAUGUAACAUAAAAUAAAACAAAACAAAAAGUAGAUGUUGUAACUAAAAAUUCCAGUAUGAUUCACACUCAAAAUGCAAACUUAAAUUAUUAAAGAAACUUACAUAUCUUUAAACCAAACUUUGUUUUUAUUGUAGUAGCUACUCUCGCUAUCCCAUCCACUCCAUACGACCCAAAAACCCUCUGAUAGUUUUUUGUAGAUAUCCAGCGUAGACAUGCCUGUUAUACUAUUAACCAUAAUUGGAACCUCCGCUUCGAUAGUGCAAGCUUGAUUGAUAUCAGAUGGGUGGGUGUUUCCAUUUAAAAAAUAGAAAUGGGAAGUUGGAAGGGAAGAGGAGGUAUUGGAUUUGAUGGUACAACGAGAAGCCUCAAUAUAAAGUGAUGAUUUUAUAGGUUUCGUGCAAUUCAUAACAUAAAUAAUGCUACUCUCUAACCUUCCAUAAUCAUUAUGAUAAUAAUAAUGAUAAUUAUAAUAAUAAUAAUGAUAAUAAGUAUUAUAAGAAAAAUAAUCUACAGAAGUAAGAGGAAGGGAGUUGCAAUCAUCCGUGUCCAAGCUCGCAUCCACCAUUUGUAUUGUAUAAUUUUCGUAAAAGAUUUGUUGGACAGAUAAUUUCCCUCCUCUCCCAACCAAAGUGGUGCGAUUGUUAUUCUCACACUCAAGUUCAAAGCCAUAAGGACUACAGUGGAGAGGUUGGUUUUUUAAUCGGAAUGGAAAACUGAUAUUCAAAUUCCCACAGAAAGUAGAGCCGCAGUCAAGAUGCCUAGCAAAACAAACAGCAGGAAAUAGAAUUACAAAUAAAGCAAAAGCGGGCAUUAGGUGACCCAACAAUGGCAGUUUUGCUUUUAAUUUUGGCAUGCUAAAAUUUUGGGUAAGGAAGAAGAACAAUAAUGGGGGUUAAUGAUUAAGUUUCUAACUAAAUCAGGGAAAUAUAUAAGAAAACUUCAGUGGGAGAAGAAGCAUUAAUGGGGACACAAGACUUUGACUACUCUUCAGCUUUAUUUGGGAUGAAUAUUUUAUUUUCAAUAAAUUGUUUACACCUUUUAUUCUUUUAUCUUUUUUCUGGGAAACACCUCAAUCAAAUCACAUCUAAUUCCAAGAACAGUGCCAUGCAAGCAAAAGAAAAAGAAAUUUUAAUAUUAUUGAAAAAAUUUUAAAUAAAUUUGGACCAUAUGCUUGUAGAUCAACCUUUAUCACCUUAAUAAACUCCAAUUACAAUGAGGAGGACCAAGAGAACGCAAGUCUUUAGUCUUUUUUGAAGCACAAAAACAUUUAAGUGGCUGGGAACAACCUUUUGUGUUAUGUAAGACAACUAUUUGUUGCAUCUUUCUAAAAAGUAAGUUCAUAGUUAGAAGUGUCAAGCAAGGCGGCUCAAUGCCCAAUUGUAUAGAUUCUUUUUAUUUUAUUCCACGAAUACUUAACUACUUUUCAAAUAAUUACUUGAAUUUAAAAUAAAACAAAUUAAAUAUAAGAUAUAAUUUCUAUUUAUUUAAGUUUAAAUUCAAAACUAAAUUCUAUUUCUAAAUUUUAAUUAUCUAAAACAAUCGACUUAAAUUAAUUUAAAAACUUAAAUUUGAAAAUACAUGAAGAGACUUCAAAUUCCGUUUUAUUUUAAAUGAAAUCAGUUUAGCAUAGAGGUGUCUAUGGAUCAGGUCAAGUCGAACCGAAGUUCAGCUUCAAACAAUUUCUAAGUCCUAGCCUGUUUUUGAUCCAACUCACCCAAAAGCUCGAUUUUUAUUCGAAAAUAUUAAAAAUGUUUUUAAUUGAUAUUUUACAUAUUUUUAUAAUUAAAUUUAAAUUUAAAUUUAAAUUUUUUAUUAUUAUUUAAAUUAAACUAUAAAAAUAUUUAUCCAAACCUGAACUAAAUCGAGUUAGGCCGGGUGGGCGAUCCGGUCAACACAGGAAAGGAAAAAAAGGAAAGACGAAUCCUAAACAGGCAGUGUGCAGCCCACUAAAUUUAUUUUAAUUCUACAUGCAUUCCAUAUUAUUAUUUAGGAAUAAUAUAAUUUUUGACCCCUAAUCUUAAUAGUUAGGUGCACUUUAGUACAUAUAUCCUUUUUGCUCUACUUUGACACUUGAACUUCACAACUAAAUAUAUUUUGGUUCCUAAACUUAAAAAAUAUGAAAGUUUUAUGAUGCAACUCUCGGAGAUUGUGUUACAUCAUCACUUAAAAAUUAAAAAUAUAUAUUUUUAGAGAAUGGCGUGGUACAAUCUCUAAGUGUCACAUUCAUUAUUUUAAUAAUCAAAUUGAUAAUUGAACCAGUCAGACCACUACUACUCGAUUCAACUAGUUUGAUCAGUUCGACUGUCGGACCAAUAAUAAUUAAAUAAAUCAUUAAACAUUCAUAAAGUUCGAAAAAAAUAGAAAACAAGAUUUAUUAAACAGAUUAAACAUCGUCAACAGCUGGGGUUUUUCUUAGUUUUUUUUUACCAAUUUCAAGUUUUUUUUUAUUUAAUUGAUUCAACCUCUUUGUUCAAACCAUUAUACUGAUCGACUCUCAAUCCCAUCAGUCUAACCAUCCAAUCCACUCCUAUACUAGUAACACUGAUCACAUUAUCAAAUCUUAAUAGAAUUCAAGUUUAAGAGACCAUAAUAGACUUGGUUGCCAAGUCUAGAUGCCACAGUGGACCAAAAGAUUUACAAGUACCAAAGUAAACCUAAUUGUCAAGUUCAGGGCCAAAAUUUAUAUUAUCCUUUAUUUUUAUUAGUUUCACUACAAAAAUUAUAAGAGUUUUACAAAUUGCACAAAAAGAAAACCUGAAAAACAGAAUAGGUGCUUGAGGUAGAGUUUAUAUAUAAUUGGUAAAAAUACCAAGGAAGCUCCUGUACCUAGUGGUAAAUUGUAUUUCGGUUCAUCUACUGAAAAAUGGAAAAUUUAGUUUUUAUACAUUUUGAAAUGUGAAAAUUCUAUUAAAUGAUGACUUGGACAAGUGGAAAAUUAUUAUUUACUAGUAAACUAUAAAAAUGGUCACUCAACUAUUAAUUUUUUCGAUUUAGUCGCUAAACUUUUCAAAAUUAAAUAUUUUAAUUACCUUGAGCUUAUGUGGUUUUUUUUAUUAGUCUAGUAACAAAAUUAUCCCACUAAUAUUUACAUAUUUUAUCAAUUUGGUCUUAAACAUAAAAAAAUUAAUAAAUUUGGCCCUCCAUAUUUACAAAAUUGACCAAUUUAAUCCUAACUAUAAGAUUUUCUUAAAUAUUUCUUAAAAAAAAUAUUUUUAGCCAUUUAUAACACAUCCCAUGUGAGAUAUUAAAAUAAGAAAAAAAAUUAUCCUCUUUUAAAUCACUUGUAAAAAAAUUCGAAAAAUUCAGGAUAAAACACCAAAAAAUUUAAGAUCCAAAAGAAAACAAAUGCAUUAAAAACGUUAUUUGUACAGGUAGUACUAUAGCCAUUUAGUCUAAAUAGGUUCAAAAUCAAUUGGUUUGGUCCAAUGUGAAGUAUAAAUUAUAGUAAAAGAAAUUGUUACAAGUGACAUGAAAGAGGAUGCUAUUUUUCUUAUUUUAAUAUCUGACAUGGAUUAUCCCGGUGAAUUAUAAAAGACUAAUAAUGAUUUUUUAAAAUAUAUACAUUUAAUUUUUAAAUAUAUAUAAUAAAUUUUCUAACUGCAAAUAUAUAUAUAAAAAGUCAACAACAUUAAAAAUACCAAAUUAAGGGAAAACUUUGCAAUUUUAUGAAGGUUGAGGUGUAGCAUGCUAUGUUCCUAGCAUUUAAAACAAGUACUUGAACUUCAUACCAUGGUAUGUUCCUUAUGAUAUUGCAAACACCGUCUUAAUUAUAUUUAUGGCAUUUGUGGUAUAAUAUGAUACCAGGGAAGAAAGUUAGGUAAGAAAUUAAAAUUUUAUAUAAAAAUUAAAUAAUACUUUAAUUGAAAUGGUAAUAUUAAAAUUUUGAUAUGUAUAUGUUUCCGGUUCAAAUUUUAUCAUAGUAUUAUUUUAUUAAAAAGAUAUGAAAAAAUAAGAACACUCUCAUAUUUAAUAUUUCUUACUUUGUAUAUGAAAUGAUAUUUUAGUAAUAUCUCAAUUGAUUUCAUGACUAAUUGACUCAUGAUACGAACUCAACCAAAAAUUUAAUUUAAGUAUAGAUUUAACAAGUACUUAAUAGUAAUAUCCCUAACUAUGUAACUUGAAACCCAAUAAAUCAAACCUAGACCUACCCAUGGGUCGGGGCCACUAAGCCUAGUCGAAGCCCUACCUGAAAAAUGGGUUUGGGAAAAAAUAAUGCAUGUUUAGAAAACAAGUCGAGCCUUAAGUAAGACUUUUUUGUUUAGGCUCAGCCCAAAUUUGUAAAAAAAAAUUGUUGUUUUCUCACUGCCUUACUGUCAUUUCACUAUUAUGUUGCUACUAUUUUAUUAUUAUUGUUUGGAUAUUAUAUAAUUCUUAUUUUAUUGUUAAUUUUGCUACUAUUUUAGAGUCAUUUUCUUGUCAAGUUGCACAUAUUUUAGUGUUUUUUAAGUACAAAUAUUUUUAAUUUAUUUUCAAUUUGUUGAAAAACAUUUGUUUUAAUGUUUUUAGUGUUCUUGAUUAAUUAUAUAUUUUUAAAUGAUAUAAAAAAAUUUAAUACGGGUGAGCCGGUCUUGACUUGGGUUUUAUCAUUUUUAUUUAGGUUAGCUUGAACAAAAUUUUAGGCUCAUUUUUUAGGUCAAGCCGAACCCGAACCUAUCAAAUAGGUCUAAAAUUUUGUCAAAACCCAACUUGACUCAUGGACAGAUCUAAUCAAACAUACGUAAUUUCCAUUUCUUUAAAAAAAUCUUUCAUUAAAAAUUUUAAUUUUACUAAAUUCAAUUUAAAAAAAACAAGUUUAAUUUAAUCUCAUUCAUCAUUUCCUUUAUAGAAUAAUACUUAAUAUACUAUUAGAAUAUGAGUCUCAGACACUAUAAAUGAAUAGUAAUAAUAAAAUAGAUUAUUAUUGGGUAAAAAUAAUAAUGAAAAAUUUAUAAAUAAAUAUUAAAAAUCUUGUUAAUAUUAAAUAAGAAAAAUAAUAUAACAAUUAUACUACAUUUGAUUGGAGUAUUAUUUUCUUUCACAUGUUUUAGUCAUCUGUUAGAUAUAAAUUAAUCACAAUUGGUAAUUUUUAAGGGUAAUUAUACCAACAGUCAUUCAAAUUUGAUACAGCUGACAAAACAGUAACUUAGGUUUUAAUUCAGUCACUCAACUUUCAAAAAAUGACAAAACUGUCCUUUUAACCAUUUUUAUUAUAGACAUAACAGAAAAGUGACAUGGCAGUUGACGGCUUCCUUGUUGUCAUUAACCAACCAGUUGGACACUAAGCAACAAUUUAAACAACCCCUUUUAGCAUCACUUUAGGGUUUAGGCAAUAGAAGAAGAAGAAGAAGAAGAGGAAGAAAAAAUAGAAAGUUGCACCAAUUUGGGGACCUAAGUAAUACCAGAAAUCCAUUAGAAUUUCUGGAUUUGGCAUCAUGAUGACUGAAGCUCCUCAAAGUUGCAAAGUUCCUUUGCCUUCCUUGACUAGGAAAGUCCCUUUCCAGUAGCCGCUUUAUUUCAAGCUUGGAUUUUGCUUCGCCUAUAUCAAUAGAUGCAAACUUGAGCAGAGUGGAGAUAAAAAUUUGGGUUUGUGGGCAUUGUAUUAAGACCUUGGUUGACUCCAACUCAGUUUAAAUAGGAAAGACACCACGGUAGGGAUCGAGAAUUCGACAGCUUAAGGUUGUAGUCAAUGCAACAAGCAUUUGAAUGCUUAUCAAGGGUCUAAGUAACCUCUUCAUGAGAACAGUCACAUUGGAGGGAUGAUAAAUAAAGUUUGCUAAGUAUGGCCAAAAUAAGAAAAAAAAGUACAGAUCUUGGAUAAAUUUGUAUCAGAUUUAGACCUAUCUUCAGGUUUAGUAGACCUAUAUUCAGAUUUAGACCUAUCUUCAGGAUUAGGACCUUGGUUGACUCCAACUCAGUUGAAAUAGUAAAGACAUCGUGGUGGGGAUCGACAAUCCGACAGCUUAAGGUUACAGUCAAUGCAACAAGCAUUAAGAAGGAAAAAAGUACAGAUCUUGAAUAAAUUUGUAUCAGAUUUAGACCUAUCUUCAGGUUUAGUAGAUUUUGACAUCCCAAAUAGAGAAAGGCGUUUAAUCACAAAAAAGAUGUUAUCUCAGUAUUGGAUUUUACAGGAAAUGAAGAAAAAAUAUCAGAUCUUCCUCAUGAAAUGAGAAAUAAUUUCUUAUUUUUGAAUAAAACCUAGAAAGAUGAAAAGAUGAAAUCUUGAAGUGAGAAAUCUCGCAACAAAGUGAAAUGAAAAUUGCAGAUGAAAAAUACCAAUCAAUUUCUAACCCUUAACCCUGUUAAUCGAUUUUUAAUUUGAUUUUUUAAUCCUUAACCAACCUUGAACCCUGAAAUUGAUUUCUAACCCAACACUCUGGUUUGUUAACUAUUGUUUCUAAUCCACAAUAGCAACAACUAAAGGAAGAAGAAAAAGUAUAUCGGGGAAAAAAACGUUAACGGUUUUACAGUCUCUUCUUCUUCUUCUUCUUCUUCUUCUUCUUCUUCUGUUAUUAGGGUUUUUUUCUAUUUCUUCUUAAAUUGGGAAGGUUUCCACGUGGACAUAUCCAACGUGGGUAGUUCGUUGGCCAUGUUAGCUAGUUAACUGGUCACAUCACUUGUCUCCUUAGGUCUGUAACGGAAAAUAUUAGUAGGUGACUGAUUUGUCACUUUUUGGUAACGUUAGUGACCAGUUUGUCAAUUUUUAAAGUUGAGUGACUGAAUUUAAACCUAAGUGACUGUUUUGUCAACUGCAUCGAAGUUGGAUGAUUGUUGGUGUAAUUUACCCAAUUUUUAACCACUCUAUGACUUGUUUAUGAUAAAAAAGAGCAAAAUUUUUUGCUUAUUUUGAAGGGAUCUUAUUUUUUAAGUUUUUACUCUCUUUUUUAAUUCCUAUAUAAUUUGUACUAAUUAUUUUAAAACAUGUGUUAAAUAAUUUUUUUGUGAAAAUAGAAUGUUGGUAAUGACAAUAAAUCACAAAGAAAAGAGAAAUAAAAAUAAAGAACACAUAGAUUUUUACGUAGAAACCCUUUCGGGAAAAAACCACGAGCAGAGGAGAAGAAAGUUUAUUAUGUCGAAUUUGAAUGAUUUACAAGAGGAGUUUCGACUACAUCUAUUUAUAGGUUGAAAAAAAACUAAUUCUAAUCAAAGUCAAAUAUAUUAUGCUAAUAAAUGCUAAAUAUAUUAUGCUAAUAAAUGCUAAAUAUAUUAUACUCAUAAAUACUAAAUUUUCUAAAAAGAAGAUAUAUUUUGUUUAACUCGACUUGCAAGCAAUCUCUUAGAAUUUGGGUCACACAACUCUAGUAAUCUCCACCUUGACACGAAUUCUCAAUGAACAAUUUCUUCAUCGAGAACUCUCAACAAACAAGUUUUUCACCUCUUCUAUAAAACCCCUUAAAGGUUUAACUUCAACAAAGAACACUAAUCAAGUCUAAGCAAUGCUCAAACUUGGUUAUAGGAAGUGACUUAGUCAUCAUAUCUACAGGAUUUUCAUGAGUACUAAUUUUGCUCACAACAAUAUCAUCACGAGCAAUAAUAUCACGAACAAAAUGAUACCGAACAUCCAUGUGUUUUGUUCUCUCAUGGAGCAUUUGAUCUUUUGUAAGGAAGAUGGCACUCUGACUGUCACAAAAUACUAUAUUGAUUUGAAGGUCUUCAUUGAGAUCACUAAAGAGUCUCUUCAGUGGUUGAUAAAGUAACUGUAGUUUGCAAAGUGGCUUUCCAAUUGAUUGCACAACCUCCAAUUAUAAAGACAUAACCUAUGAGAGAUAUUCUUCUAUCAAGGUCUCCAGCAAAAUCAGCAUCAACAUACCCAAUGACUCCAUCUCUAGUUCUUCCAAACUGUUAGGAAACAUCAGCAAUACCUCGUAAGUAUCUUAAAAUCUACUAAACUGUUUUCCAAUAUUUUUUACCGAGAUUCACCAUGUAUCUGCUAACUGCACUAACUGCAUAUGAUAAAUAUGGACAUGAACAAACCAUAACAUACAUAAGAGAUCCUACUGUACUAGAGUAUGGAACAUGUGACAUGUACUCAAUCUCAUCAUCUGAUUGUGAAGACAAAGCUGAUGAAAGUCUGAAAUGGGCUGUUAAAAGAGUACUAGCAGGCUUAGCAUUCUGCAUAUUGAAUCUGGUAAGAACUUUCUCAAUCUACCCCUUUUGACUUAGGUACAAUUUACUUGCUUUUCUAUCUCUGAGAAUCUCCAUAUCAAGUAUCUUCUUUGUUGGUCCCAAAUUUUUCAUUUUAAACUCUUCACUUAGUUAGGCUUUGACCUUUCUUAUCUCUCCUUUAUCUUUUGUUGCUAUCAACAUGUCAUCAACAUAAAUGAGUAGAUACACAAAAGAACCAUCACUGUUUUUCUUAAAGUAAACACAACUGUCAAAGCUACUUUUUUUAAAAUCAUGAGAAGUUAUAAAGGAACCAAACCUUUUGUAACACUGUUUUGCUAACUGUUUCAAACUGUAAAGGGAUUUUUUUAGCAAGCAAACAUAGUCCUCUUUUUCUGAGACUGUAAAACCCUCUGGUUGUUACAUGUAAAUAUCCUCCUCAAGUUCUCCAUGCAAAAAUACAGUUUUUACAUCUAACUAUUCAAGCUCUAAAUCAUGUAUAGCCACAAUGCCAAGCAAAGCUCGAAUCGAACUAUGUUUCACAAUUGGGGAGAACACAUCUGUGAAGUCCACUCCUAAAAUUUGACUGUAACCCUUUGCAACAAGUUUUGUUUUGUAUCUAGGUUCUUCAACUCCUGGAGUCCCUUCUUUCUCUUUAAACACCCAUUUACAAUGAACAACUUUUUUACCGUUAGGAAGUUUCACAAGAUCGUAUGUUUUGUUUUUGUGGAGUGAUUUCAUCUCCUCUUGCAUAGCAAACAUCCACUUUUUUUAGUCUUCAUAGCUAAACGCAUCAGAAUAAUUAGAUGGCUCUUGAUUUGCAUCUAUAUCUUCAGCCACAUUUAAAGCAUAAGCAACUAGAUCAGUCUUAGCAUACUUCUUUGGAGGUUUAAUUUCUCUUCUAGUUCUGUUUUUAGCGAUAGAGUAUUAUGGUGAAGAAGCAGCUCUAUUUUAAAUUUUUUUGUACUGGCUUGAGGAGUAGACUCUGUUGUAGAUUCUAGAUUAAUCUAAUGCUCUACCUGCUUUUGAUUUUCUUUAUUUGAAGAGUCUUUAAGAGAUAAGUUAGGUCACAUGUAACAACCCGGUUUGACUCUAAUCGGAAUAGUAGUUUUGGGACCACAAAUCUGAGUCCUAAAAAUAUUUCAAUAUUAUUUUGUGUGUUUACUUUGUGUGCAUUUGAUUGUGUGAAAUUUUCGUGUUUUAGUUUUGUUGUUUGAGUGUCCGAUUAAAAAAAAGGAUUAAAUCGCGAAAAAUAAAAAUUUAGGGGUUAAUUAUAAAAGCACCUAAUUGUUGUUGUCUUUUUAAAUGGAAGGAUUUAUGAUGCAAUAAGACCAUAAAGUAGUGAGUGGGUGAUAAUGGUCAAAAAUGACCUUAUAUUAUAAGGUUUAUAUAAUUUGUAUUAAAGGUUAAUAUAGUAAACUAAUAAUUAAAUAAACAUAUGAUAUAAUAAAUCAAUUGAAGCCAUUAUUUUCAUUCUUCCUUUGCUGAAAGUUAGAAAAACAAAUAGGGUUUAAAAGCUUUGAGGUAUCCGGUCAUUAACAAGCUUAAUUCAAGGUAUGUUUUACUUCGGUUUUUGAUAAUUUUUACGUUUUUGAGAUCGUUGCUUCGUGUUCUUCAAAACCCAUAUCUUAAUUUUGUGAAUUGUGGAUGAUUUUGAAAUGUGCCAUUGAUGAAUGCUUGAGUUUUAUGAUGUUAGUAGGUGAAAUAUGAAAUAUAUUUGUUAGAUUAAUAUAUUUUGUAUUGGAAUUUUUAGUGAAAUUGAGUAAAUAGGGCUAAAUUGUGAAAUUAAAUUUUUGGGGAACUAAAGUGUGAAAUAAAUGCAAUGUGUGGACUUGUAUGAGAACCAUGAAUAUUCGGCCCUUGUGUGGUAUGGGCAAAUUUUGUAUAAAUUGUGUUUUAUGCAAUAGGGACUAAAUUGCAAAAAGUGUAAAUAUUAGGGGCAAAAUAGUAAUUUUCCAAAUUAUUUGUUUUUGGAUUAAAUUGAAUGUGUUAAUAAAUAAAUUAUCUUAUUUUGAAUAUAUUUAGAUCGAGAACCAAAGAAAUCGGAGUUAGAUCGGCGAAAAGCCAAAUUAGUCGAAUAAUCGUCCGACUUCGAUUUUCCAUCGUCCGAGGUAAGUCUAUUAGCUAUUUAAUGUUAUUAAAUCAAUAUAUAUAUGUAUGAAUAUCUAUUAUGUUGUUGUUGAGCUAUAAUUAAAAGUAAUUUAAUUGAAUAAAUUCAAAUUAUAAAUGGUAUAAAUAUGUAUAUACAAUGUUCAAAUAUAUAGGUAUAUGCUUAUAUAAAUUUUUGAACUAAGUUAAAGUAUGAAUGGUAUAAAGUUAUAUAUAUAUAAAUUCAAAUAAUUAUAUAUGUAUCUAUAUGUAUACAUAUACUUGAAUUUGGUUGGUUGUAUGAGAGUUAUAUAUAUGUGCACUUAAGAUUCAAAUAUAUGUAAGUAAAAACAUGUAAUUCUUGCUUAAAUUAAAGAUAUGUAUAAUACAUAUGUAUACAUAAGUUUCGAACAUAUAGAUGUAUGUAAAAACAUUUGGGUUUGAUUAAAAGUAUGUAUGUUGUAAUUGUACAGAUAAUUUCGAAUAAGUAAGUAUAUGGAGUUGGAACAUCUAUAUAUAUAUGAAUAAGUCUUGAUUAUAUUUUAAGGUAUAAAUGUUAAAAACGUACGUGGGAGUUCGAAUAUAUCUAAAUGUAUAUUUGUGUACAGAUUCUUGAAUUGAAUCGAAUGUAUGAUUCGCAAACUCUUUUGUGAUUGAAUAUGGACUACAAUGAAUGUGUGUUUGCUGUUAAUAAGUAUUUGAGGAAAUUAUUCUGUAUAUGGGAAAAAUUGAGAUUUUCAAGCAUAGCGCUUAGCAGGCUUAUUGCCGGUGAAACACUUCAGACUAUAUGUCUAGCAGGCUUAAUGCCGGUGAAAUAUUUCAGACUAUAUGUCUAGCGGGCUAAGUGCCGGUGUACUGAAUCAGGCUUAAAGCCUAGCAGGCUAAAUGCCGGUGAAUCUGUUUUAAGUAUGUGAUUAGGUGUACAAUUAUAUGAUUUUGGAUAUAUUUAAUUGAUAAGUAUAUUUAUAUAUAUACAUUUGGCUAAGUGCGUUUGAUGAUUAUAUAUAUAUCCGGCUUAUACAAUUGAGAAAUAUAUAUAUGCUCUGGGAUUAUGCAUUUGAUAAAUAUAUACUUUUAAAUAUUCGGUACACAUAUUUGAUUAGUAACUAUAUAUGCAUUCGAGAUAUAUAUAUACCUUGGUUUAUAAGUAUUUGAUGAAAAUGAAUGCAUUCGUUCAUAUGUAUUAGAUUUGUAUUGGUUUAAAGUUUAAAAUGAGUAUUCAUACACAUUCGGUUAUGAUAUGUGUAUAAUAUAUAUAUGCUCGGUUGUAUACAUUCGUUGUAAUGUUGUUUGGUAUAAAAAUAUAUAUUCAAUUGAUCGCUUUCGACAGGUAUGCAUAUCUGUCUAUAAAUGAAAUGGUCUGAGUACAAUAAUAUAUAAAUAUUAGUUAUUCGUGUUAAUUGAAAUCUCAGUGAAAUAGAUUAAAAAGUAACUUUAUUUAUAUAUUUAUAUACAUUUAGUUAUGCUGUAGACUUACUAAGCUAUAAAAGCUUACUUUGUUUGUUUUCGUCCAUUUGCUUUUAUAGAUUUUGGAGACGCGUUACGAGCUCGGGGAUCAUCAACAUAGUCCAUCACACUAUCGACUUCUUUUGGUAUUUUGUUAAAUAUUUGAACUCAAUCUUAUGGCAUGUAUAGGUUUGAGUAUGAUGUUAAUUACAUUUUGAUUGUAAAUUAUAAUAGUUAUGCGAAAGUAAUUAAAUUUUUACGUUGUGAUCAGUUUGGUUUUAACAUUGUUGAAUUUGUUCGGUAAUGCCUUGUAACCCUAAUUCGGCGACGGAUACGGGUUAGGGGUGUUACAUCACAUAACAGUUUCAUAAAAAACAACAUCUCUACUAAUCACAACAUUUCUAUUUUUAGGACACCAUAACUUAUACCCUUUUACACCAGCUUUAUAACCAAGAAAAACAUAUUUAAUGGAUCUCAAUUCCAAUUUUCCAUUAUCAACAUGAGCAUACGCAGGACACCCAAAGAUCUUUAAAUCAGAAUAGUCAGCAGGAUUACCAAACCAUACCUCUUGUGGAGUCUUUUUCUCAAUGGCAACGGAUGGAGAUUGGUUGAUCAAAAAACAUGCAGUAGAGGCUACUUCGGCCCAAAAUGACUUUGGUAAGUUGGCAUUUGACAACAUACAUCAAACCUUCUCCAUGAUCAUUUUGUUCAUUCGUUCUGCAACGCUAUUUUGCUGUGGAGUAUAACGAACUGUCAGGUGUCUCACAAUCCUUUCUAACUUGCACAAUUUAUUAAACUCAUCAGAGUAGAACUCUAAGCCACUGUUUGUGUGGAGGUAUUUUAUUUGUUUUCCAGUCUAUUUUUCAACCAUAGUUUUCCAAGACUUAAAUGCAAAAAAGACAUCGCUUUUCUGCUUUAAGAAGAACUCCCAAACUUUUCUGGAAAAACCAUAAAUAAAAGUUAGCAUAUUAAUUAGCUCCAUCUCUCGAAGGCACUCUGGAUGGCCCUCACAGAUCAAAAUGAAUAUACUCUAAUGUUUCUUUCGUGUUAUGGAUUCCUCUAGUGAAUUGAAUUCUCUUUUGCUUCCCAAAAACGUAAUUCUCACAGAACUUCAGUUUGUAAAAUCCUUGCCCAAGAAGAAGUCCUCUUUUUCCCAAUUAUGCCAUGUCAUUCUCACUCAUAUGCCCUAGGUAUAUAUGCCAAAGUUUAGUAAUAUCAUCAUCUGACAAGGAAGAGGAUGCGACAACUGUAUCACCAGUAACAAUAAAACUUUGCAAAACAUAUAACUUUGCAGUUUUUCUCUGCCAUUUCAUUACAACGAGGGAACCUUUGGAAAUCUUUAAAAACUCCACUUUCAGUUGUGUAUUUGUACCCUUUUGAAUCAAAUGCACUCAACGAAAUUAACUUUCUCUUCAAUUUUGGAACAUGUCGUACGUCACUAAGUGUCUGACAAGUCCAUCAAACAUCUUAACUUUAAUUGCUCCAACACCUGCAAUUCUACAUGAAGCAUUAUUUCCCAUCAAAACAACACCUUCAAACACUGUUUCGUAAGUUGUAAACCAAUCCUGAUUGGGACUCAUGUAGAAGGUGUAGCCCGAAUCAAAGACUCACUCCUCGCUCACUUUAGAAUUGUAGAUAGAAACGACUAAAAGUUCACCAUCGCUAUAGUCUUCUACAACAUCAAUUUUACCAAAAUUUUCUGGUUGUUUUCCAUUUUGAUUCGCAACCUCCCUUUUGAUAUUGUUUUGUAGCUUAUAGCACUCAGAUUUAAUGUGCCCUUUCUUCUUGCAGAAGUUACAAGAUUUACCUCUGUUUGAAGACUUUGAUCUACCUUUAGAUUUACCGUGAGGAUUCCAUUCUUGUGUCGUUCCAUGAUCAUUAUCAACAUUCCGAUCUUAUCUUCUAUGAACAAUGUAACCCUCUCACUGAGAGUUAGUUUUAACUACAAGAUGCUUCAUCUUAUCAUAUAAGGUUAAAGAAUCAUAAACCUCAUCAAUUGUGAGAGACUCAAGGCUAUAUAAAAUGGCAUCUCUAAAGGUUGAAUAAAACGGGGACAACAAACAAAGUAGAAUCAACUCUAGAUCUUCCUUAUCAUACUGAACCUCCAUGGCUUCCAAGUUUGAGAGAAUUUCUUUAAACAUUGUUAAGUGUUCGUGCACAGACGCACCUUCCUCCAAACGAUGAGCAUAAAAACGCUGCUUCAUAUGCAGCUUGCUAGUUAGAGUUUUUGACAUAAAUAUUUGUUCCGGCCUCUUUCAUAAUCUAGCGGUGGUAUUCUCCUUUAUCACAUCCUGUAAAAUUUCAUUAGACAAGUGCAGAUGUAACUGUGUUAACACGUUUCGAUCCUUGCGGUUCUUCUCUUCCACCGUCAAUGUUGAAGGCAUCUUAUCUAUCCCUAGCAGGGUUUCCUCUAAGUCUAUCUGUGCAAGAACUACCUGCAUCUUUAUCUACCACAACGCGAAUCUGGUUUUGCGAUCCAACAGCGAAAUUUCAUACUUCAAAUACGCCAUUACCGUGAUUGAGAUGAACAAAUCGAAAGCUCUGAUACCAAUUUGUGAAAAUAGAAUGUCGGUAAUGAUAAUAUAUCACAAAGAAAAGAGAAAUAAAAAUAAAGAACACACAGAUUUUUACGUGGAAACCCUUUCGAAAAAAACCACGGGCAGGUGAGAAGAAAAUUCACUAUGUAGAAUUCGAAUGAUUUACAAGAGGAGUUUCGACUAUAUCUAUUUAUAGGUUGAAAAAACCCUAAUUCUAAUCAAAGUCAAAUAUAUUAUGCUAAUAAAUGGUAAAUAUAUUAUACUCAUAAAUAUUAAAUCUUCUAGAAAGAAGAUAUAUUUUGUUUAACUUGACUUGCAAGCAAUCUCUUAGAAUUUGGGUCACAAAAAUAACAUUUUUAACCAUACUGAAAACCAUUUUUUAAUUAAAUAUAAGUACUUAAUAUUUAAUUAAAUUAAAAAGAAAAGAGAUCAAUUCUAAAAUUAUGUAUGGACUUUGAUUUAAUUUGCAAUUGUAUAUAUAAAUUUUAAUUUGGUGUAAUUAUACACGUGUAACUCUAAUUGUGGUUCAAAUAUAUACUUGAAACUUUAAUUUUAAUUUAACCAUAAACAUUUAAAGAAAUAAAAACAUCAAUUUAUUUUUAUAUUGAAUAAAUAUAAUUAUUUAAGUGUGCAAUAUAUAAAUAUAAAAUGAUGUUAUAUCAAUAAUUGUGUUAAUAAUUUAUAAGAAUUGGAUCAUAUCAAAAUUUCAUAUAUAAAAUUAUUAAAAUUUAUAUAUAGAAUUGUACAUUAAACCCAGAGUGCAUGUAUACAUAAUUAAUAGAUUGUACAUAGGAAGUAAGUUUUGCUUAGUGUAAUAUAACUGUCAUUCAAGAUUACGCAUUCAUUUCAGACAAAGCACACACCCUUUGAAAUUCAAGUUUUGAUUCAGAUUCUUUCUUCUUCUUUUUUUAAUAAAAUCUCUAUGAAAGGUUUUUUUUUUUUUUAAUUCCUUAACGGUAGUGAUUUUGGGUUAUGGAGAAAAAAGGAGUGAAAAGUUGUGAUUUUUGUGGAAGUAGGGAUUUUUCUGUUUUAAUAGUUUUAGAAAUGGGUUUGAUGGAGAUUUCAAUAAUGCUUCAUGUUGGAUUAGUUUUGUUGCUACUUUGGAUGCUUUCUCAAUUCAAUCUUUGCCAUCCACUCCCUUAUUUCCUGUCUCUCAUCUACCUCUAUUUGGUUAUUCAUUCAUCUUCUGCUGAGAAUAAAAAAUGAAUCUUUUUUUUCUUUAUUUUUGAACUUGGAUUGAACUUUUUUUUUUAUUGUUUUUGUUACAAAAAUUCCUUUUAUUUCUUUGUUCAUCAAAGGUUCAUGAAAUGUAUGUGACGAGAUUGAGGAAGAAAUUGGAGUUGGAGGAAAUAAUGCACAAAGAAACUAGACAUGUCAACAACAAAACAAUAAUGCCAACACUCUCAAACGCAACAACAAAAAUGUUUUCGAAAAGGAAAUAGGCAUCACACUUAGAGUAUAGAAAUACUUGGAUUGUAACCAUGAAAAACGAAAUAAGAUAUCUGUUGCGGAAAGGAUCGAUUCGAGAACUCCGAUAUGACUACAAGUAAAUUGACCGAAACGAAAAAUAAAGUGAACACAAGGAUUUACGUGGUUCGGCUUUAAUGCCUACGUCCACGGGCAGAGGCGAAAAGAAAUUUCACUAUAACAAGAUGAAGAUUACAAGUGUUUUACACUCAAGACACAACCCGAGAACCUCACAACUCUCAACCCCUAUAGAAAACCCGAAAGCUAAAAUCCUAGCUUUCAAAGAACAAGCUUUGCUCUCUCUUGGUUUGGGAUGAUAAAUAUGGCUAAUGAACCUCUCUAUUUAUAAGAGAGUUCAAGGACAUAAUUGUCCAAAACUUUGGCAAAGAUUUGUGGUUGAAAAUGGACACCAACAACCAUCCACUAAUCCACUACCACCAACAACCCACUACCAACAACAACAAUCCACUACCAAUUUUAAGCCAUUUCUUAACAAAUCUCCACCUUGGCUUGAAAUUUACCAAGCUGAACAUCAUAGUGAAUUCCUCGAACUGGAUCACCUCUUCCAAACGCCUCUCUGGCGCUAAUCAAUCCCGAAUACCUAUCAAGUCCAAGCAAUGCUUGAACUUAUAUGCAGGGAUCACCUUAGUUAACAUAUCUGCAGGAUUCUUCUCGGUAGCAACCUUGCUGAUAACAAUGUCACCUUGCGUAACAUGUUCCCGAACAAAAUGAUAUCUGACAUCAAUGUGUUUGGUCCGUUCAUGAAACAUCUGAUUUUUAGUCAGAUGUAUGGCACUCUGGCUAUCGCAAAAUACAACAGUGAAAUCCUGUUGUAAACCCAAACUGCUUACUAGACCUUUCAUCCACAAUGCUUCUUUCACUGCUUCUGCUAACGCCAUAUAUUCCGCCUCAGUCGUAGAUAAGGCUACGGUAGACUGUAACACAGCUUUCCAACUAAUGGCUCCUCCAGAAUAAGUGAAAACAUAACCCGUCAGAGAUCUUCUUUUGUCCAGAUCUCCAGCAUAAUCAGAGUCCACAUAGCCCGUGACACUGCUAGUGCAGUCACUCUGAUCAUAUACCAAGCAUAAAUCUGCAGAACCUCUCAAGUACCUGAGAAUCCAUUUCACGGCCUGCCAGUGUUCCUUGCCAGGACAACUCAUGUAUCUGCUGACCACACUAACUGCAUGUGAAAUGUCUGGACGAGUGCAAACCAUUGCAUACAUCACGCUUCCAACUGCACUCGAGUAUGGAAUGUGAGACAUUUGCUGCUUUUCUUCAUCAGAUUGUGGUGACAACUCUGCAGAGAGUUUGAAAUGUGGUGCCAACGGAGUACUCACAGUUUUCGCUUUAUCCAUGCCGAAGCGUUGAAGAAUCUUUUCAAUGUAGUUCUUCUGCGACACACGAAGCUUGCCCGCCUUGCGAUCUCUGUGAAUAUCCAUGCCCAAAAUUUUCUUGGCAGCACCCAGAUCCUUCAUCUCGAACUCACCACUCAACUGCGACUUUAACUUGUUGAUUUCCGACAUGUUUUUGGAAGCAAUUAACAUGUCAUCAACAUACAGCAACAAAUAAAUGUGCGAACCAUCUGAGAGCUUCCGAUGAUAGACACAAGCAUCAUAGUCACAUCUUGUGUAACCAUGCUGAAUCAUGAAGCUAUCAAACCGCUUGUACCACUGCCUUGGGGAUUGUUUCAAUCCAUAUAAAGACUUCUUUAAUAGACAGACAUGGUCUUCUUUACCAGGAACUGUAAAACCCUCUGGUUGACGCAUGUAGAUUGUUUCCUCGAGCUCACCAUGCAAGAACGCCGUUUUUACGUCAAGCUGCUCAAGUUCUAGAUCAGACUUGGCCACCAUGGCAAGUAAUACACGAAUGGAAGAAUGCUUUACAACUGGGGAGAAAACUUCAUUGUAGUCAAUCCCCUCUUUCUGAGUGAAGCCUUUAGCAACCAAUCGUGCCUUGAAUCUAGUUGCUUCAACCCCUAGGAUGCCUUCCUUUUUCUUGAAGACCCAUUUGCAACCAACUAUCUUCUGGUUACUUGGCGGCUUAACCAACUCCCAAGUAUGGUUCUUGUGAAGAGAUUCUAUCUCCUCACUCAUAGCAAUUGCCCACUGUGCCGACUCAUCACACGUGACAGCCUCAUUAUAACUGGAAGGUUCUAUACCAAUGGACUCCGCCACACUGAGCGCGAAAGACACCAGAUUAGCGUAACGCGGAUUUGGUUUGAUUUGUCUCUUCGUUCUUCCAGUGGCAAUGCUAUAUGGUUUUUCUUGAGGUGACUCAUCUUCAUCGGAAUCUUGCACCUCAACUUGAUCAUCCUGGACUGAAGUACCUUCCGUAGGAAUUGGAGCGUCCACCUGACACUCCACCUGCUUCUCAACACCGUGAUCUCCCAUUCUAUCUGACUCCUCCUUUUCCCGGGAAUUUGUGGUGGAUCGAAGCAUGGAUGACUCAUCAAAAGUCACAUCUCUGCUGAUGAUGAACUUGGACGAAACCGGAUCAGGACACCACAACCUGUAUCCUUUCACCCCUUGGCCGUAUCCAAGAAAUAUGCAUUUCUUCGCCCUCGGUUUGAGUUUUCCCUCAUUUACAUGAGCAUACGCAGGGCAGCCAAACACUCUUAAACCAGAGUAAUCAGCAGGAGAACCAGACCAUACUUCCUCAGGAGUCUUCAGCUCAAUAGCUGUUGACGGAGAUCUGUUAACCAAAUAACAAGCAGUAUUAACAGCUUCAGCCCAAAAUUCUUCACCGAGCCCAGCAUUUGAUCGCAUGCAACGAGCUCGCUCCAAGAGAGUUCUAUUCAUGCGUUCUGCAACUCCAUUUUGUUGUGGUGUUCGACGAACAGUGCGGUGUCUCACUAUUCCUUCAUUUUUGCAGAACUCAUUGAAUUCACCUGAGCAAAACUCCAAGCCAUUAUCCGUCCGGAAUCGCUUGAUCUUCUUUCCUGUUUGAUUUUCGAUCAAAGCUUUAAAUUGCUUGAAGUUGAUGAGAACCUCAUACUUGCUCUUCAGAAAAUACACCCAAACCUUUCUCGAGUAAUCAUCGAUAAAGGUAAGCAGAUAUCUGUAACCACCUUUAGAAAUUGUCGGAGAAGGCCCCCAAAGGUCAGAAUGGAAGUAAUCCACUGUGCCUUUUGUCUUGUGAAUCCCAGUGCUGAACUUUACCCGAGUCUGCUUACCGAAGACGCAGUGCUCACAGAAAUUCAACUUUCCUGUACACUGCCCAGACAAUAAUCCUCGUUUGCUUAGCACCGAUAAGCCUCUCUCGCUCAUAUGCCCGAGCCGCAUAUGCCAUAACUUCGUGGUGUCAGAAUCUAGAUCAUCUGAUGAUGACACUCCCGCAACACCUGUAACCGAGGAACCAUCGAGGAAGUAAAGGCCCCGCUCCAAAUUACCACGUAUCACAGUCAAAGCACCCGAGAAUACCUUGAGAACUCCACCUUCAGCAGAGUACCGAAAGCCUUUCUUGUCCAACGUACUCAAAGAGAUCAAAUUUUUCUUCAUUUCUGGAAUGUGCCGAACAUCAGUUAGAGUUCUAACAAUACCGUCAAACAUCUUUAUACGAACUGUGCCAAUCCCCAUGACUUGACAUGCGUGGUCAUUUCCCAUUAGUACUGAACCAGAAUGCUUCUCGUAUGUUGAGAAUGCAUCUUUCGAAGUACUUAUAUGAAAUGUAGCUCCCGUAUCAAGAAUCCAUCUCCCACCAGCGUAAGAGUCGGAUACUGCAAGAACGAUCUCGGCAUCACUUGAAGAAUCUGCAUCAGCUACAUUCGCACGAUCAUUUUGUUGCUCCUGUGAUUCUGAUUUCUCCUUCCUUUUCGGACAAUCUACCUUCAUGUGCCCGUACUUCUUACAGUAGUAGCACUGUAUUCUCUUCUUGGACUGCGAUCUAGGAUGGCUUUUACUUGAACUUCCACCCUUUGCCUUGGAUCUUCCUCGAGCAACCAAGCCUUCGCCUUCAUUGUUUUCGACCACCUUACCAGUGAUUUUCUUCCUCAACUCACUGGAACUUAAGGCAUUUUUCACCUCCUCUAGAGUCAGGUCAUCACGACCGUACAUCAUUGUAUCAACAAAAUUCUCAUACGAGGGAGGCAAAGAACACAAAACAAUUAUUGCUUGGUCCUCAUCAUCGAUUUUGUUAUCGAUAUUAUUCAAAUCCAUGAUAAUGGAAUUGAAUUUAUCCAGGUGCUGGGAAACAGGUGUACCUUCCUCCAUCUUCAGGGCAUAGAGUCUUUGCUUGAGGUAGAGCCGGUUCGUCAAUGACUUCGUCAUGUACUUGCUCUCUAACCGGAGCCACAAACCGGACGCGGUUUUCUCAUCCGCUACUUCUCGUAGCACUUCAUCUCCUAGACAUAGCAGAAUAGCACUAUGUGCUCUUUCUAGCAUGUCAUCCUUUUGCUCUUCCGAAAGCGUGCUUGGUAAUUUAUCUUUACCAGACAAUGCUUUUAGCAAUCCUUGUUGAACCAGCACUGCCCGCAUCUUGAUGCGCCAUAAACUGAAACUAUUUUUCCCGGUAAAUUUCUCGACAUCAUACUUUGUCGAUGAAACACUUGUAGCCAUAAUUUGGAACCUUUGAAUGAAUGAUAAUAUUUUCUUCCUGAUGUGAAAGAUCAGACAAAGCUGCAGUCACAGGGCAAUUCAGAAAAUAUUAUCACUCCUUCAACUACGCUCUGAUACCAAUUUGUUGCGGAAAGGAUCGAUUCGAGAACUCCGAUAUGACUACAAGUAAAUUGACCGAAACGAAAAAUAAAGUGAACACAAGGAUUUACGUGGUUCGGCUUUAAUGCCUACGUCCACGGGCAGAGGCGAAAAGAAAUUUCACUAUAACAAGAUGAAGAUUACAAGUGUUUUACACUCAAGACACAACCCGAGAACCUCACAACUCUCAACCCCUAUAGAAAACCCGAAAGCUAAAAUCCUAGCUUUCAAAGAACAAGCUUUGCUCUCUCUUGGUUUGGGAUGAUAAAUAUGGCUAAUGAACCUCUCUAUUUAUAAGAGAGUUCAAGGACAUAAUUGUCCAAAACUUUGGCAAAGAUUUGUGGUUGAAAAUGGACACCAACAACCAUCCACUAAUCCACUACCACCAACAACCCACUACCAACAACAACAAUCCACUACCAAUUUUAAGCCAUUUCUUAACAAUAUCCAACAUCCUCAUCACAAUGGAUUCUCCUCUGAUUCAUUAGUAGCCUCAACAAUGUAAUAACACGAUUAAAAGUUAUCGUAGCAGUAACUCUUAUAAAUAUUAAAAAAUUAAUUUGUAAAUACAUCGAUCAUGUCUAAAUCUAAUCUAAGUCACGGUUGAUCUAAACAUGAAAAUUCUAACCAAUUCAUCUCAAUUCAAUCCAACUAAACCUAAACUAAAUUGACACAAAAAUCUAUUUAUAUAAUUUACUUUUAAUUUAUAUAUAAUUUUAGUUAUGAUUUAAAUUUAUACAUUUAAUAUUGAACAAAUAGUCAAACUAAAGAACAUUGGCAAUUAUGAUCAAUAACUUAACACAUAGGUAAUUAAAGAAAAUACUAAUAUAUAUUUAUAUUUAUAUUUAAGCCAAAAUAAUAUAAAGCUAAAAAGUGAGAUAAUGAAGUAAAAUAUUACUAACCUUAUGCAAUAUUUGAACUCGCUAUAGUAACACUAUCCAAUGGUGUACUUGGCUCAUUAUUAAAGUUCUCACAAUUAUGAACCUCCAGUGAUGUUUCAAGAGGAAGUUGAUGGAAUGGCUUAGGAGGCAUCUCAAAGAGUUCAACAUUAGAUUCAAGUAUCUUCAAGAUUUUACUCAUUGAAGGGCGAUCAGAAGGUAGUAAUUGUAUACACCAAAAAGCAAUUAUUAUCAUCUUCUUCACCAUUACUUUUUCAUCGUUAGAAAUAUCUCCGAACUCCAAGUCUUCUCCUUGAUCCAAUCGGUCAUAAAUCCAAGAUGGAAAAUAUAUUUGACUAGUGUGGUCAGCAAAUGCAUUCACAUUCUUUCCCCUUCUAACUAUUUCCAUCAAUAACAUUCCAAAACUAUAAACAUCGGCUUUGUAUGAGAUGCCUCAAUAUAAAGUGAUGAUUUUAUAAGUUUCGUACAAUUCAUAACAUAAAUAAUGCUAACCUCUAACCUUCCAUCAUAAUAAUUACCAUGAGGAUAAAUAUAAGAAUAAGAAUAAGAAUCUACAGAAGUAAUUAAGAGGAAGAGAGUUGCAAUCAUCCGUGUCCAACAAUCAACCCCUCCCAGAGUAGGCUGUCGAGGAGCCUCCUGCACAUCAUAAAUAGCACGAGUUGUACGCCCCAAAGCAUUUGCCAAGGACCAUCAAGAUGAAGGUCAAUAACAUUUGUGUAAAUUUGGAGUGCUACCUUACAGCCAAGACUAACAGAAUAGUGACUGUUUGGAUUGAAAUGCCAAAUGAGUCAGUUCGGAGUCGGAUACAAGCAAAGUAGCAUUCGAAGCAUCCGUUGCGCAUCAUAGGAGAUAGAAGACCUUGAGUUACAUGAUUUCAUUUUGAGUAUUGAAAAUUGAAAAUAGGAUAAGUACCAACCACUAAUAUAUUAUCAGCAAAAUCUCCCAAUUGAAAGAACAAAAGAUGCAUCUAUACUAUGUUUAAAAGUUUAAUAGAGUUUAUGGUUAUCUAUCAAUGAGGUAUCAACUCAAUUGUAAAAUCAUUAAAAUCUUAUUAUUUUGUUAAAAUAAAAAUAUUAUAUUGAGAGUAUUUUAUUUUUUAUUAAACUUUAUAAAAUUCAUCCAUUUAAUAGAAUUUGAACCCAAAACAUCAUAAUCCUUAUUACCUAAAUUUUACCAUAUUAAACAAAGCCACAUUUAGCUUUUAUAUCAUUUUUUAAAUAAGCUUGUUAUAUCAUUUUUUUUCACCCAUGUGAGGGUGCCAUAAUCUAAUAUAUCUUUAUUUAAUAAGUAAUAAUCCCAUAUGCAUUAGAGAGUAUUAAGUUGAGUUAUUAAAUUUAGGGUUUGUUAUAUUCUAACGACUAAUUUUCAAUUCCAUUGAAAUGAUUUAUAGGUGAUAAAUUUUACAAUUUAAUACGAUUAAUUUUAUUAUAUUACAAUGAAAAACAAAAGAAAAAGAAGAAUUUAAUAUGGUUCAAAGUUUUUAAAUAAAUCUGGACCAUAUACUUGUAGACAAACCUUUACCAUUAAUCUAUUCCAACUUCAAUGAGAACGACCAAGACAAUGCAAGUCUCAAUAGUCCUGUUUGAAACGCAAAAGCAUUCAAGUGGUUGAGAGCAGCAAGCCUGAUCCCUUUUGUCCUUUUGUGUUAUGUAAGUCAAUUGUAGAGAACGAUUGUUGGAUAUUUCUAAAACGUAAGUUAAUAGUUAGAACCCUUGAGCAACGCACAUUCCACCCCAACCCAUGCAUAACGUUAGACAAGACUCAAUGACUAAUUGUAUAUAUUUUUAAUUUUAUUCAACAACUACAUAAGUAUAUUUUUAAAUGAUUGUUAAUAUAAUUACAUGUAUUUUCAUCUAUUUUAUAUGAAUUUAAAAUAUUACAAAUUAAAUAUAAUAUAAGAUAUAAGUUCUAUUCAAUUAAAUUUAAAUUUAAAUUCAAAUUUUAAAUUAUCCAACAAUAUAAAUAGUAGACAUAAAUUCAAAGAAAAAAAUUUGGGGUUUAGCUGGAAAAUUACCUCUCAAAUUCCACUAAAAUAAAUAAAUAGAGUUUAACUCGAAGAUUACCUCUCAAAUUUAACUGAAAUAUGAAACAUACUCAAUAAUAAAGGUAUCAAUUCAAAGGUAUAAAGCUACAUAAAUUCUUAGUUAUGUCUUUGAAAUAUUUUCAUAAAGGCACGUGCAAAAACUUUUUGAUUCUAAACAAAUUCAUUGUCUCAACAUUACUUGUCGAAACCGUUUUUUGAAAACAAAGAUCUAGUUGUCGACUUUAAAAAUAAAACAGCAGUCGCCACCGAUCCUUUAUUAAGGUGUGAUCGGCUCACCUUUAAAAAUUAUUUUGGUCUACGAAUUUUGAGAAAACGAGUUCGGGAGUCAGUUACGCACGAGGAAGGGUUAGCACCCUCGUAACGCCCAAAAUCGGUACCAAAUUGGUUAUUUGAUGUCUUAGUGUCGAAGGUUAAAAAGAUUUUUAAAAUAAACUCAAUUGAUGGAAUUUGAAAAAGGAUAAUCAAUUGUUCAAGUCAUGUAAAGAAAUCGAGUCCCAAUACGUUAGGGUACAAUUCCUCAUAAUCCCCGAACUUUGAAUAUCACUUUAUUUUAUGUGAAAAUCUUCCUUUUGAGAAAGUAACAUGCCACACCAAAUACGUUAGGACACGACAUGUUAAGUUCCAAAAAAUGAUUUUUAUACUCAUGCAUUUUGAAUAAAGAAUAUUCUCGGUUAUUUUAGAUUGACAAAGAAAAUCGGAACCCAAUACGUUAGGGCUCAAUUCCCUCGAAAAUCCCAAACUUCGAAUAUUGCUUUUAUUCAAAAAAAAACUUUGAAUCAAGAGAAUAAUUUCAAUGUUUUGUCAAAAACCAAAAUAUAUCUUCUUGUUCAAAAGGAAAUGACAUAAUGUUAAUAGACAACAUGGAAUACAUACAUUAAUUUAAAUUAUACAUGUACAUGUAUUAUGAAAUGUCAAUGCAUAUAUAUACAUGUAUGCAAAAAGUUAUGGAAAUAAAAUAAUAAAAUAUAUAAAAUAUGGACAUGUAUUUACCAAAUAUGUAUAUAUAUACACACAUAUAUUUAUGAAAAAUAAAAACGUAUUUAGAGUCAUACAGAUAUAUAUAAAUCAUUAAAUAUAUGGAAAAAAAUGAAAAUAUGUAUAUAAAAGAUGUAUGUAUAUAGGUAUAUAUUUACAAAAUAAAAAAAAUGUAUAAGUAUACACGUAUUGGUAAAUCAUGAAAAUACAUAUAUGUAUAUUAAAAUACUUAUAUAUAUGUACAAUAUAUGUAUAAAUAAUGGAGUAUAUAUAGAAUAAUAAAAUAUUUAUAAUAACUCAAAAAUACAAAAAAAAUGUAUAUAUAUAAUAUAAAAAAUGUGUAUUUUGAAUUGUAAAAUAUGAGAAACAUGUGUGGAUUUUAAAAUGUAUAUGUAUACAUACAUAUAUAUAUGUUUGUAAAAAAAAUAAAAAUUAUGAAGAAUAAUAUAAAAACAUACAUAUACACGUAUUUACAAAAGUAAAAAAAAAUUUGAAGCUGAAAUAUAAAAGUAUAUAUAUAACUGUCAUUGAAGGGCGAUCAGAAGGUAGUAAUUGUAUACACCAAAAAGCAAUUAUUAUCAUCUUCUUUACCAUUACUUUUUCAUCGUCAGAAAUACCUCCGAACUCCAAGUCCUCUCCUUGAUCCAAUUGGUCAUAAAUCCAAGAUGGAAAAUAUAUUUGACUAGUGUGGUCAGCAAAUGCAUUCACAUUCUUUCUCCUUCCAACAAUUUCCAUCAAUACAUUCCAAAACUAUAAACAUCAGCUUUGUAUGAGAUGCCUCAAUGUAAAGCGAUGAUUUUAUAGGUUUCGUGCAAUUCAUAACAUAAAUAAUGCUAACCUCUAACCUUCUAUCAUAAUAAUUACCAUAAGGAUAAAUAUAAGAAUAAGAAAAGAAUCUACAAAAGUAACUAAGAGGAAGGGAGUUGCAAUCAUCCGUGUCCAACAAUCAACCCCUCCCAGAGUAGGCUGUCGAGGAGCCUCCUGCACAUCAUAAAUAGCACGAGUUGUACGCCCCAAAGCAUUUGCCAAGGACCAUCAAGAUGAAGGUCAAUAACAUUUGUGUAAAUUUGGAGUGCUACCUUACAGCCAAAACUAACAGAAUAGUGACUGUUUGGAUUGAAAUGCCAAUUAUGAGUCAGUUCGGAGUCGGAUACAAGCAAAGUAGCAUUCGAAGCAUCCGUUGCGCAUCUUAGGAGAUAGAAGACCUUGAGUUACAUGAUUUCAUUUUGAGUAUUGAAAAUUGAAAAUAGGAUAAGUACCAACCACUAAUAUAUUAUCAGCAAAAUCUCCCAAUUGAAAGAACAAAAGAUGCAUCUAUACUAUGUUUAAAAGUUUAAUAGAGUUUAUGGUUAUCUAUCAAUGAGGUAUCAACUCAAUUGUAAAAUCAUUAAAAUCUUAUUAUUUUUAAAAACAAAAAAAAUUAUAUUGAGAGUAUUUUUAUUUUUUAUUAAACUUUAUAAAAUACAUCAAUUUAAUAGAAUUUGAACCCAAAACAUCAUAAUCCUUGUACAGACCCAAUUUCUGCCCGGCCCACUAACAAAAAGAACCCAAUACCCACAAACCCAAUAACCCACCUAAACACUAACCCAUACCAGCAGACCCAAUUACCAGGCCCAGUGGCCCAAAAUUUUAAAAUCAUUUCAGAAACCCUAAUCCCCUUAACCCUAGCCGCCUCUUCUGAUCUUUCUGCUACUACUGCCGCCAUCACCUACCCUCUGCCACCGCCACUGUUUCGCCCACUUGCACCACCUGCUCCACCUGCAAAACAAAGGAGAACACGCAAACAAAGAAGGACAAAACAGUAGAAACAAUAAUAAAAUAAAUUGUGUAAAAAUGGCUAUAUAAAGGCCAUUCAAACGAAUUGUAAGGGGUUCGGCCCCUCUUUCACUAUUUCAAGAAAUAAAAAGGGCAAAGAAAACGGAUUCAAGAAAUUUUUCUUUUGGUAUAAACUCUAUUUUCUUUUAUUUAUAUUUUUCUCUUUAUUUUUCUUCCAUCCGAAACUGUUUGAUCCUUUAUUCUUAUUUUUAUUUUUCUUUUAUUUUUAAAAACAUAUAUAUAUAAAUAUAAUAUAUAGAUUUUAAAAUAAAAAAUAAUACCUUUUUUGAAUUUUUUGGCCACCAUACACGGUGGCCGGCGCGACGACGGAGCGGCGGCGACGUGGUGGCCAAGUUCGUCGGAUUCUGGGCAGUGCUGGAGAGGGGGAGAGAAUAUUUUUGAGAAGAAGAGUUUUUUUUUUUUAAGGAAAGCUGAAAAUGAUUUUUUUGGGGGGAAACCUUGACUUUUAUAGGCCCCCCAAAACGACGUCGUUUUGGGCAAGCCUCUUAGGUACCAAAACGGCGCCGUUUUAAGGCCGGCCUGAAAACCGACCCGACCCGCCUGAAGGAUCCGCGUGUUUUCGACGGAAGGGAUAAUUGCGUUUUCAGGCCUUCCGCUUUUAAAUAAUUUUGCAAUCAAGUUCUUUCCUUUUUUUAAAAUUCGCCCUAUAUUUUAUUUUCAUUCACAAUCUGGUCCACUUUGAAAUGCAGUGUUUUGGAGGGUGGGGAUUAUUUCCAUUUUGGUCCCCCUCUUUCCGAGCGUGUCACAAUUUAGUCUUUUCAGUCUUUUUUAUUUGAAAUUCGCUCAGUAUUUUUAUUUUUACUUCGAUUUAGUCCCUUUUUUAGUAGUAUUAUUAUUAUUAUUAUUAAUUAUUGCUAGUUUUAUUUUCCUUAAACCUAUUCGUCACUGCUUUGAUUAGUAUGUUAACUUGUUUCAUUAUUAUUAUAGCUUUCUUUUUUAUAAUAUAUGUACAUAUACCUAUGAAUAUUUUAUAUAUAUAUAUGCAUACAUAAUUAUAUACAUAUAUAUACCUUAUAAUAUUAAUGCGUACAUAGUUUUAUUUAUUAAAUAUUUUUAUACUCUAUAUUUUUAUACACUUGUAUAUAUACAAACAUCUAUGUUUCAAUUCAUAUAAAUAUAUGUACGUAUACAUAGUUAUGUGCUUUAUGUACCUAUUAUAAUUUGUUUACAUGUUUAUAUAUAUCUAUACAUAUAUUUUUAUAUUUCGUGAUAGUUAUAUGUACACAUAUACAUGUAAAUACUUAUAUUUUAUGCCUCAUAAUAUAUAUAUUUUCAUAUUUUCAUAUUUUAUGAUUUUCAUCUAUUUUCCUUUAUUGUUAUUGUAAUUUUCAUGUGUAUUUGUUUAUUUAUUUAUAUGUCUAUUUUUUUAUGUUUUAGUUUUUUUUAUUUGUUAUGAUAUAUGCACAAUUAAUUUAGUUUAUUAUUUGUUUUGUUUUUUUUUAUUCACACAAUCAUGUUCAAUAUUUCAUUAUGCAUAUAAAUAUCAUAUUUCAAAAGGAAAAAUAUUUCUAAAUGAGGCAAUGUUUUGCGUUUGGAAGUUCGAGAAAACAUGCCCUAAGGUGCUGGGUGUCGAUUUUUCUUGUUCAACCAAAUAGCUUAAUAUCCUUUUAAAUUUUUAAAAUAAGGCAAUGUUUUGCGUUUGGAAAUUCGAGAAAACAUGCCCUAAGGUGCUGGGUGUUGAUUUUUCUCGUUCAACCAAAUGGCUUAAUAUCCUUUUAAAAUUUUUAAAAUAAGGCAAUGUUUUACGUUUGGAAAUUCGAAAAAACAUGCCCUAAGGUGCUGGGUGUCGAUUUUUCUCGUUCAACCAAAUAGCUAAACAUCCUCUUGAAUUUAAAUUCAUGCCAUUCGAGUUUUUAGGAUCGUAUUUUAAAUUUCUUUGAAGUUUUCAGUUUUUCGACACUAAGACAUUAAGUAAUCAACUAGGUACCAAUUUUGGGCGUAUCGAGGUUGCUAAUCCUUCCUCGUGCGUAAUCGACUCCCGAACCCGUUUUUCUGAAUUUCGUGGACCAAACUUGUUGUUUUAAUAAAAUCAAAUUGUUUAUUAAAAACAACCACUUUUUGAGGUGAUCCGAUCACACCUCAACAAAAAGGAUCGGUGGCGACUCCCGUUUUCGUUCUCAUUUUUCAAAACCCAAGUCGACCCCAUUUUCCAUCCAAAAAAAUGGUGUCAACAGCUUGGCGACUCCACUGGGGACUUUAAAUAAGAGAGUCAAGCCACGAGUUGAUUAUUUCUUGUCUUUUUUGUCGAAAGUUGAAAAUUUGAUUUAAAUAUACGAUCCUCUCAUUGCAUUCCAUUUGUUUUGAGUUAUAGUUUUCAUUAUGUUUUGUAUUUUAAAUUUUUAUAUCUUUCUGCACAUUGCAUUGCAUGACCGUUAGUCACACCUUUUAAGUGGGAGUGAGAAGCUACUCCUUCGUGAGGUUUUCACCUCCGUACAGGAUAGUGGAUCGCUUUCGGGAUACAUCCGUACCUGUGUCUUCGUGAGAUUUUCAUCUCCGUGCAGCCAUAGGGAAAUGUAUUCCCCUGAAUUGAACUCGGUCUGUAUGAGCCUAUAAUGGGUGAAGAUCGAGGAAUAUGCUGGUUCGGGUACCUUAUCUUUAGAACCAACCCACAUAUAGUGGACUUAGGAACUUAACCUAGGUAGAGCCACUCCAAAUCCCUAGUAUUUACCUGAUUAGGUUUUUUUUUUGUUUUCCGUGCUUGCUUAUGUUUUGUUCUAACCCUUCUUGUUGUGUUUUGAUUAUGAUUGCAUUACAUUGCAUUUGCAUCUUAGGAAAGAGAUAUUGAUUCAAGUUCGAUUACUAAAUUAGAAAGCUUGUCAUGGAAUACGGAUUCCUUGAUAAAGUGGAAAACAAUACGACUGCCCGAAUAUAUUCUGAGAAACACAAGAAUGGCGAUGUAAGAGUUUGUGAUCCUACUUCGUGGCCUAAGGAUUCAAGGAAAUUGUCUAAGAGCCUUCAACAUUCCACUCACUUAAAGAAGCUGACGAGCCUUAUGAAGAUGGGCAGAUGAUGGAUCACGACCAAGAUCAAGAAAAUGAGCUAGCAGUGACAUUUAUUGAAAAUUGGCGAGAUUACCUUAAACAUGCGGAUAAAGAAAAAAGGACCGAUGUUUCUUGGAAUAUGACGGUGAGGCCGUACAUAUAUCCGUUUUAUGUAAGGGAAUUUGUUUUCUAGAAAAGUUUCCUAAAUGUAAUUGAAUCAGAAUCAACGUCUCUUUAGGCAUUCAUUUCAUGCAUUUGCAUUACAUUGCAUUACAUGCAUUGAAAGAGUCUAAACGAGUAAAUUUAUUUCAGCUAACCUGGAAAACCAACCAACCAAACAAAGACUAGAGAAAUGGAACGAAGGUUGGAAAAAUUAGAGCGAAUGCAGAUUCAGAUGCAGGAGCAAUUAACUGAAUUUCAACAGGAGACGAGAGAUCAGAUGCUAGAAUUACGGAGAACUAUGAUAAACCAGUUUAACCGAUUGCUAGCUGGAAAGUCAAAAGAAGUGAAAGACCCGGUGGUUUACUUUGGGGUUGAUAAUGAGGAUCUUGUCUAUUCCUUAGAUUGUACUCCGACAAGUGUCCAGGUUCAGCUAGAUGGGCGUCCACAAUGAGCACUUUUUACUGUCGGAUCCCAAUAUUAUCAGACUGGUACAUCGACACCAGUGAAUUGCCUGACAGGCUUAGAAUCCAAUUUGAGGAAUGAUUUAGCUAGUCCUGUUGCUAAUCUAGCCGAAAUAAAGAAGAUGAGGAUAGAAUACCCAGAUACUAAAAAGGCACUAGGGAAGAAGGCGAAUAAAGAGGAUAAUGCAGGCAGAUAUAACAAGGGCCACUCAAAACCAAUCACUACAGGCCGGCCAAAGACAGAAACCACCAGACAUCGGAAUCCUUUAAAGCAAGAAUCUGGAGCGAAACCAGGUACUGAGAAGCUCCAGUUCAUACCAAUUCUGAUGUCAUAUAGUGAGUUAUACCGAAGCUUAUUUGAUGCACGUGUGGUGUCCCCCUUCUACUUAAAACCCAUACAGCCUCCGUAUCCCAAAUGGUAUGACACGAACGUAUAAUGCGACUACCAUGCGAGAAUUACGGGGCAUUCAAUAGAGAACUGCAUUGCCUUUAAGAAACUGGUUGAAAAGCUCAUUAAUAUGGGGGUUGUCAGAUUUGAUGACUCGUCUAGCGCAGAAAAUCUACUACCUAGCCAUAUUGAUAAUGGGGUAGACAUGAAGGUAGGAAGGGGAUCAGUUAUUUCUGAUUCAGGAGGAAAUAAGGGAAAGACACGGAACCAUUGCGAUUUCCAUCAUGAGAGAGGGUUCGAGACCCAAGAGAGUGUGGAAUUCAAGGCCUUGGUUCAGGACAUGAUGGACGAUAAGGGGAUGAAGCUUCGUGAGGAAAUUAAAGAGGAGGAAAACAUACGUUCAAUGUUGGCAAGCGUUCACACCAAUGACAUAUUUGAAGACACGAAUGAAAAGGAACCUUGUUAGAUAUCUGCCCUUAUAAAUCUGGAGUGUUCUAAGCAACUGGGCUGCGAAAAAAAUCCCUUUAGUUUUUAGGGCUUAUCUAGAGUAAUGUUCAGAACAUUUUGUUGUUUUAGCCUAAAGCGAUAUAAAUUCCUUUGUGAAAUAGGUUAAUGUAUGAACGUUAUUAUUCUAAUAAAAUACAUCUUUGCAUUCCUUUUUGAGCUAAUAUUCUUUCAUUUAUUUUGAAUAAUUAUUUCUGAUUCUUUCAUUCUUUUGAAUUUUCUUCCAAACCAUCAUUCAUUCAUUCAUUCAUAAUUAUAUGAUACAAAUAAUUAUUCAUGAAUCUAUACAUUCUUUUGUAUAUUCUUUGGUACUUGCUAUGGGUCCCCGGAUAUCAAUUACGUGAAUGACUGCUACAGACCCAGAUUUUCCUUUUGAGUGAGGCAUGUGUUCAGAGGGAUCUCAAUGCUUUGAAAAUGAUAAAGAUUGUAGUUUAUCUCCUAACUUGUUAAGGAUGGUUGAACAAGAGGAUAGACAGAUCCUACCUCACAAGGAAUCAUCAGAAAUUGUGAGCUUAGCGAGGAUUAGAAUUGACCUGAUCGCAGAGACGAAGCAACACCUUGUUGAGGCACCUCUAGAUUUCGAAGAGAUCUUUGUAGGAUCAUACCAGGAUAUGCCUGGGUUAAAUGCCGAUAAUGAAAUCUGCACAACAGCACGAUGUCAGAAAUUUACAGUAUGAAUGAUGUAAUUCUUUACCGGGGCAAUGUCUUUCUCGUGGAGUCAGCAUAGUUUUGCCCAUUUGAAGUUGAAUUUCCGUCUCUUCAAGUUGUUGUUGGGUCCAUCCUGAUUAAAGAGGAAGAUCCAAAGUUUUUUGUCGAAGUUGCAUCCCAAAAGGCUCAGAUCAAAAAAGUGAAGAAAAAGAAAAAUCAAAAUCAAAGUCAAAAUGAAAAUGAAAAUGAAAAUGAAAAUGAAAAUGAAAAUGAAAAAAUCAAAAAUCAAAAUAAAAAAAACAAAAAGAAGAAAGAAGAAAAAAAUCAAAAUCAAGAUCAAAAUAAAAAUGAGAAAAAGAAAGAAGAAUGAAAAAGGAGAAAUCUAGAUGAAAAAAUCAGAAUGAAAAAGAAAAGAAAAAAGAAAAGGAGAGGCUAAAGCGAAAACUCGCAAAGGGCGCUUUGUGACCAAAUGAGGUUUUGAAUUGAAAACCCGAAAAGGGCGACUCAAAUUUCGAGCACAAUGAGGCAUGAACAUCACCAUUAUCAGAGACUUCUAAUGGGCAUUGCUUCAUUUUGAGAGGCUACUUCAUGAGCCAAAGUCAUCGUAUACCGAUACAGAAUUUCAGAGAAGAGGUUAUUGGAGAAUGCAUUGAGCUUAAACAAUAGCACGAUCGCUGAGGUCUCAAAUUAACUCAGAAGUGGACACCACGAUUCGUCACUGAAUUGCCUAGAAUUGAACAUCGAAAAUUGAAGGAAAAUGACUGAGACUUAGGGUCUGUUUGAUUGCCAGUAAAAUGUUUUCCGUAAAAUGAUUUCUGGAAAAUGGUUUACUUUUCUGUAAAAUGAUUUACUGGAAAAUAUUUUCUGGUGUUUGACUGAAUCUGUGUAAAAUAUUUUUUGCUGUUUGGCAGAUUUUCUGAAAAUAUUUUCGAAAAAGUUGUUUUUACAUAUAUUAAUAUAUAUUAAUAAUUUUUUAUAUUUUAAAUUAUUUUUACAUAUAUUGCAAUGAUUUAUUUAUAAUAAUACUCAAUUAUUAAGCUACAAUAUUAGUCGUUAUAAAUUGAAAAAAACUAAUAUCAAAUAAAUUAUUUGUAAUUGUGUUAAAAAAACAAGUAUUGAAUAAUUAAAAAAACAAGUUAUUGGAAAAUCGAUAAACAGAAGCAGUUUUCUACCGGAAAUGAAGGAAGGAAUGAAGGAAGCGAUAAAGAGGAGAGCACGGAAAAUGUCUUACGGAAAUUGAAAGGGUAAGACAUUUUCCCUAAAAUGUAACCCAUUUUCCCUUGUUUUGGAGUUCAUUUUCCAAAUGGAAAAUGUUUUCCGCCAAUCAAACGCUGAAAAAGUUGAAAAUGAUUUUCCGGAAAAUCAAUUCCGUCAAUCAAACAGACCCUUACAAGGAUUGGCAUGAGAAAUUACUAUUUGCCUUCCUUGCUUGUCGAACAUCUGUACCGGGGCAAUACCUUUCUCUUUGGUUUGCGGGGUUUAGGUAGUUUUACCUAUUGAAAUCCUUUCUCUCCAGGUAUUAUUUGAGCUAGAAUUGGAUGAAGCAGAAUGGAUCCAAUCGCGAUGAGAUCAGUUGAACCUAGAAAAAAGGUUAAAAGCUAUUCUUCAGGGUCGGAUGUACCGGAAACAAGUGAUACGAGCCCAUAAUGAACAGUGUCAUAUCAGAGAAUUCCACGAGAGGGUUGGAUGUCGAAAAAGAUCAUUCCUCUCUAAAAAUGAUUCCAGAGGGAAAUAAAUGCCAAACCGGGAAUGUCCCUACGUUGUAAAGAAGACAUUCUUCAGAAGAGCACUGAUCUUGAGUAAGAUUGCUAGUCCUAUAAACUCGGAUCCAGUCAAGAAAUACUUCGUUUAAAGAAUGAGGAAGGACCAAGGUGAAAACCCGCAAAGGGCACUCUAAGUCAAAAAAAAUGAAAUGAAAAAUGAGAAUGAAAAAUAAAAAAUAAAAAAUAGAGAGGCUAAGGGGAAAACCCGGAAAGGGCGCCUUAGGCCAAAGGGGAUUUGAGUUGAAAACCUGAAAAUGGCGGCUCAAAUAUUUGUUCAGAAUGGGGCAUGAGGCGAUCAGAGCGAUUCGAAUUUUGAUCAUAUUGGGGCAUGUGGUGAUCUUGCUAUGCCUGAAUCAACAGGAAAGGAUAGACGACAUCUUGGGGCAUCGACAGAGCACUGUAGAUCUCCUAAACACAUGUCCAACUCAAAAUGGUCUUCAGAAAGUUUGUACAGAGAAGUUCAAGUAGCGAUAUCUGGAGCACCCAAUCCUCACAUUAUUUGUUAUUCUUGGAAUAUUUUUUCUUUCCAAGAUAUACAUCCCCAAUUAAUUUCUUCGUCAUCCUUCUUUACAAUUUUUGGUAAUUUAUUCCUUUUGAGCUAUGCUCAGAAUCAAUUUUAUUCUUAUCCAUUGUUAUGACCCUUUUUGCAAAGCAUGUUGCAUUAGAAUAAUGAUUAAUGGACUAAUAAUACUUUCACAAUGGAAGUUUUGCAUAUUACUCUAGAAGUUUCUAAAUAAUAUAGGAGCCUAAAGCAGUACUAUUGUUUAGAACACACCAAUUUUUAAAGGUUGGAAAUUUGAGAAGGAAUAGUCUAAAUUUAGACUUUCUCUUUGGAUUUUUGUUUUCAAGUGCACUGAAUGAACAAAAUGACAAGAUGCCAUGUCAAUGGCAAAGCUUAAACGAACAAACAAGCAAUGAUCAUCAGGCAAUAGGAAGAGGUUACCUCGGAGAAGAGAGCCUUCAUUUGUGCAUGAGCAUUUGGUAUGACACCUUGGGGAUGAGGUAAAGGACCAAAGAGUUUCACAUUCAAUAUCAUUGAAUUGCGAUAGGAGAAGAUUGAGAAAGGCCAUACAUUUCUACCCUUUGGUUAUAGUGGGAGAUUGAUGGUGCAAAUUUUAUGUCCCAGUGGAUUGAACUUUGACGUUCAUAGUGGGGGGCAAUCAGAUUAAGUGAUCCUUUGGAUAUGCUAGCCGAGCAAGAAGGUGGUAUAGCACGUCAGUAAUAAAGCCUUAAUAUGCUUUUGUGUGAUGAUAACCUAAGCAUUAAGGAAUCAUUUUCAUGACAUUUUGCAUGUCAUUCAUACACAUCUAGUUAGGAGCAUUUGAUUCGUUCUGAUCAUGUCAUCCUAAUCUCUAGGCACAAUUAGGUUCAUAAAAUAGAACAUACAGGUCAUGUUCCCUAGAGAACAAAUCAGUGAACAUCGAAAACAAAGCCUUGCCUUCAUUGGUUACAGUGAAGCUGGUUAAAGAAGCAGAUCUUGCCUUCCAGCAUUAACAGCGAAGCAGAUCGAAAACAAAUCAUUGCCUUCAUUGGUUACAGUGGAGCUGGUUAAAGAAGCAGAUCUUGCCUUCCUGCGUUAACAACGAAGCAGAUCGAAAACAAUCCUUGCUUCAUUGGUUACAGUGGAGCUGGUUAAAGAAGCAGAUCUUGCCUUCCUACGUUAACAACGAAGCAGAUCGAAAACAAGCCUUGCCUUCAUUGGUUGCAGUGGAGCUGGUUAAAGAAGCAGAUCUUAUCUUCCUACAUUGACAGCGAAGUAGAUCGAGGACACAAGCCUUGCCUCCCUUAGUUGUAGGGGAGCAGAUCAAAGACAGCAAAUCUUAUCUUCAAGUGUAAGGAAGCGGAUUUAAGCCACAAGUCCUAUGUCCCUGACCAGCAGUGGAAUAGGUUGGAAAUUUCAGAUCUUAUCUCCCUGAGGUUACAGCGGAGCAGAUCGAAGACAUAAUCCUAUCUCCCUGAAGUUACAGUGGAGCGGAUUAAAAUAAAGGAUCUUAUCUCUCUGAAGUUACAGUAGAGUAGAUCGCAUCAGGUCUUAUUUCCCUGAGGUUACAGCGGAGUAGACCGAAAAAUUUCAGAUCUUAUCUCCCUGAGGUUACAGCGGAGCAGAUCGAAGACAUAAUCCUAUCUCCCUGAAGUUACAGUGGAGCGGAUUAAAAUAAAGGAUCUUAUCUCUCUGAAGUUACAGUAGAGUAGAUCGCAUCAGGUCUUAUCUCCUUGAGGUUACAGCGAAGUAGACCGAAGAAUUGCAGAUCUUAUCUCCCUGAGGUUACAGCGGAGCAGAUCGAAGAUAUAAUCCUAUCUCCCUGAAGUUACAGUGGAGCGGAUUAAAAUAAAGGAUCUUAUCUCUCUGAAGUUACAGUAGAGUAGAUCGCAUCAGGUAUUAUUUCCCUGAGGUUACAGCGGAGUAGACCGAAGAAUUGCAGAUCUUAUCUCCCUGAGGUUACAGCAGAGCAGAUUAAAGACAUAAUCCUAUCUCCCUAAAGUUACAGUGGAGCGGAUUAAAAUAAAGGAUCUUAUCUCUCUGAAGUUACAGUAGAGUAGAUCGCAUCAGGUCUUAUUUCCCUGAGGUUACAGCGGAGUAGACUGGAGAAUUGCAGAUCUUAUCUCCCUGAGGUUACAGCGGAGCAGAUUAAAGACAUAAUCCUAUCUCCCUGAAGUUACAGUGGAGCGGAUUAAAAUAAAGGAUCUUAUCUCUCUGAAGUUACAGUAGAGUAGAUCGCAUCAGGUCUUAUUUUCCUGAGGUUACAGCGGAGUAGACCGAAGAAUUGCAGAUCUUAUCUCCCUGAGGUUACAGCGGAGCAGAUUAAAGACAUAAUCCUAUCUCCCUGAAGUUACAGUGGAGCGGAUUAAAAUAAAGAAUCUUAUCUCUCUGAAGUGGCAGUAGAGUAGAUUACGUCCAAGUCAAAUCUCCCUGAAGUUGCAGUGGAGUAAGUUAAAAUCCCAAACCUCACCCCCUGAAGGUACAACAGAGUGGAUUGAAGCUACAAGUCUUGUCUUUUUGAAGUUGCAGCGGAAUGGAUAGAAGCAACAAUGUACAGUGGACUGGAGUGAAGCUACUUGAAGAGAAGCGUCAAGAGAAGUCAAGACUCGGCGAAACCGGGCAAAAAAUUGGUCUUUCUUAGUCUUUGCUCUGUUAUCGUUACACGACAAUGAGCAAAGAGGGGCAGCUGUACAAACCCAAUUUCUGCCCGGCCCACUAACAAAAAGAACCCAAUACCCACAAACCCAAUAACCCACCUAAACACUAACCCAUACCAGCAGACCCAAUUACAAGGCCCAGUGGCCCAAAAUUUUAAAAUCAUUUCAGAAACCCUAAUCCCCCUAACCCUAGCCGCCUCUUCUGAUCUUUCUGCUACUACUGCCGCCAUCACCUACCCUCUGCCACCGCCACUGUUUCGCCCACUUGCACCACUUGCUCCACCUGCAAAACAAAGGAGAACACGCAAGCAAAGAAGGACAAAACAGUAGAAACAAUAAUAAAAUAAAUUGUGUAAAAAUGGCUAUAUAAAGGCCAUUCAAAUGAAUUGUAAGGGGUUCGGCCCCUCUUUCACUAUUUCAAGAAAUAAAAAGGGCAAAGAAAACGGAUUCAAGAAAUUUUUCUUUUGGUAUAAACUCUAUUUUCUUUUAUUUAUAUUUUUCUCUUUAUUUUUCUUCCAUCCGAAACUGUUUGAUCCUUUAUUCUUAUUUUUAUUUUUCUUUUAUUUUUAAAAACAUAUAUAUAUAAAUAUAAUAUAUAGAUUUUAAAAUAAAAAAUAAUACCUUUUUUGAAUUUUCCGGCCACCGUACACGGUGGCCGGCGCGACGACGGAGCGGCGGUGACGUGGUGGCCAAGUUCGUCGGAUUCUGGGCAGUGCUGGAGAGGGGGAGAGAAUAUUUUUGAGAAGAAGAGUUUUUUUUUUUAAUGAAAGCUGAAAAUGAUUUUUUUUGGGGGAAACCUUGACUUUUAUAGGCCCCCCAAAACGACGUCGUUUUGGGAAAGCCUCUUAGGUACCAAAACGGUGCCGUUUUAAGGCCGGCCCGAAAACCGACCCGACCCGCCUGAAGGAUCCGCGUGUUUUUGACGAAAGGGAUAAUUGCGUUUUCAGGCCUUCCGCUUUUAAAUAAUUUUGCAAUCAAGUUCUUUCCUUUUUUUAAAAUUCGCCCUAUAUUUUAUUUUCAUUCACAAUCUGGUCCACUUUGAAAUGCAGUGUUUUGGAGGGUGGGAUUAUUUCCAUUUUGGUCCCCCUCUUUCCGCGCGUGUCACAAUUUAGUCUUUUCAGUCUUUUUUAUUUGAAAUUCGCUCAGUAUUUUUAUUUUUACUUCGAUUUAGUCCCUUUUUUAGUAUUAUUAUUAUUAUUAUUAAUUAUUGCUAGUUUUAUUUUCCUUAAACCUAUUCGUCACUGCUUUGAUUAGUAUGUUAACUUGUUUCAUUAUUAUUAUAGCUUUCUUUUUUAUAAUAUAUGUACAUAUACCUAUGAAUAUUUUAUAUAUAUAUAUGCAUACAUAAUUAUAUACAUAUAUAUACCUUAUAAUAUUAAUGCGUACAUAGUUUUAUUUAUUAAAUAUUUUUAUACUCUAUAUUUUUAUACACUUGUAUAUAUACAAACAUCUAUGUUUCAAUUCAUAUAAAUAUAUGUACGUAUACAUAGUUAUGUGCUUUAUGUACCUAUUAUAAUUUGUUUACAUGUUUAUAUAUAUCUAUACAUAUAUUUUUAUAUUUCGUGAUAGUUAUAUGUACACAUAUACAUGUAAAUACUUAUAUUUUAUGCCUCAUAAUAUAUAUAUUUUCAUAUUUUCAUAUUUUAUGAUUUUCAUCUAUUUUCCUUUAUUGUUAUUGUAAUUUUCAUGUGUAUUUGUUUAUUUAUUUAUAUGUCUAUUUUUUUAUGUUUUAGUUUUUUUUAUUUGUUAUGAUAUAUGCACAAUUAAUUUAGUUUAUUAUUUGUUUUGUUUUUUUUUAUUCACACAAUCAUGUUCAAUAUUUCAUUAUGCAUAUAAAUAUCAUAUUUCAAAAGGAAAAAUAUUUCUAAAUGAGGCAAUGUUUUGCGUUUGGAAGUUCGAGAAAACAUGCCCUAAGGUGCUGGGUGUCGAUUUUUCUCGUUCAACCAAAUAGCUUAAUAUCCUUUUAAAUUUUUAAAAUAAGGCAAUGUUUUGCGUUUGGAAAUUCGAGAAAACAUGCCCUAAGGUGCUGGGUGUUGAUUUUUCUCGUUCAACCAAAUGGCUUAAUAUCCUUUUAAAAUUUUUAAAAUAAGGCAAUGUUUUAUGUUUGGAAAUUCGAAAAAACAUGCCCUAAGGUGCUGGGUGUCGAUUUUUCUCGUUCAACCAAAUAGCUAAACAUCCUCUUGAAUUUAAAUUCAUGCCAUUCGAGUUUUUAGGAUCGUAUUUUAAAUUUCUUUGAAGUUUUCAGUUUUUCGACACUAAGACAUUAAGUAAUCAACUAGGUACCAAUUUUGGGCGUAUCGAGGGUGCUAAUCCUUCCUCGUGCGUAAUCGACUCCCGAACCCGUUUUUCUGAAUUUCGUGGACCAAACUUGUUGUUUUAAUAAAAUCAAAUCGUUUAUUAAAAACAACCACUUUUUGAGGUGAUCCGAUCACACCUCAUCAAAAAGGAUCGGUGGCGACUCCCGUUUUCGUUCUCAUUUUUCAAAACCCAAGUCGACCCCGUUUUCCAUCCAAAAAAAUGGUGUCAACAAUCCUUAUUACCUAAAUUUUACCAUACCAAACAAAGCCACAUUUAGCUUUUAUAUCAUUUUUUAAAUAAUCUAAUAUAUCUUUAUUUAAUAAGUAAUAAUCCCAUAUGCAUUAGAGAGAGUAUUAAGUUGAGUUAUUAAAUUUAGGGUUUGUUAUAUUCUAACGGGUUAUUUUCAAUUCCAUUGAAAUGAUUUAUAGGUGAUAACUUUUACAAUUUAAUACGAUUAAUUUUAUUAUAUUACAAUGAAAAACAAAAGAAAAAGAAGAAUUUAAUAUGGUUCAAAGUUUUUAAAUAAAUCUGGACCAUAUACUUGUAGACAAACCUUUACCAUUAAUCUAUUCCAACUUCAAUGAGAACGACCAAGACAAUGCAAGUCUCAAUAGUCCUGUUUGAAACGCAAAAGCAUUCAAGUGGUUGAGAGCAGCAAGCCUGAUCCCUUUUGUCCUUUUGUGUUAUGUAAGUCAAUUGUAGAGAACGAUUGUUGGAAAUUUCUAAAACGUAAGUUAAUAGUUAGAACCCUUGAGCAACGCACAUUCCACCCCAACCCAUGCAUAACGUUAGACGAGACUCAAUGUCUCAUUGUAUACAUUUUUAAUUUUAUUCAACAACUACAUAAGUAUAUUUUUAAAUGAUUUUUAAUAUAAUUACAUGUAUUUUCAUCUAUUUUAUAUGAAUUUAAAAUAUUACAAAUUAAAUAUAAUUAAUAUAAGAUAUAAGUUCUAUUUAAUUAAAUUCAAAUUCAAAUUCAAAUUCAAAUUUUAAAUUAUCCAAUAAUAUAAAUAGUAGACAUAAAUUUAAAGAAAAAAAUUGGGGUUUAGUUGAGAAAUUACCUCUCAAAUUCAACUAAAAUAAAUAAAGAGAGUUUAACUGGAAAAUUACCUUUCAAAUUUAACUGAAAUAUGAAACAUACUCAAUAAUAAGGGUAUCAAUUCAAAGGUAUAAAGCUACAUAAAUUCUUAGUUAUGCCUUUGAAAUAUUUUCACAAAGGCAUGUGCAAAACUUUUUGAUUCUAAGCAAAUUCAUUGUCUCAAUAUUACUUAUUUAAAAUCAAAUCCACAUUUAUUUUUAAACAAAAUCCAACAAUGUAUUUGGCUCAUCCAACAAUUUAUUUUUAAAUGGCAUUUAUUUAAAAAGAACCAAAUGAGAAUUAUUAUACAACUUUAUAAAGUCGAUGACACAUCCAACAUUAAAAGCACAAAGAAACUAGAUUGGCCAACAACAAAACAAUAAUGCCAACAUUCUCAAAUACCGCAACAAAUUUGUUCUAAAAACAAAAGAUAGCGCAUCGCACUUAGAGCGUAGAAAUACUUGAAUUCAAUCAUUGUAACAACGAAAAAGGAAACAAGACAUCCAACAUCCUCAUCACAAUGGAUUCGCCUCUCACCCGCCAACAACGUCUGCAAUGCAAUAAAACAAGAAGAGGCUAUUGUGGUAGCAACUCUUAUAAAUAUUCCAAAAUUAACUUUUAGAUGCAUCAGGUCUUAAUCUAAGGUAAAGGGUUUAUCCAAACAUGAAAAAUCUAACCAACUCAAUUCAAUUCAACCUAACCUCAACCUAUCUAUAUAGUUUACUUUUAAUUUAUAUAUAAUUUCUUUUAUGAUUUAAAUUUAAAUAUUUUUUAACAAAAAUUUUAAAUACUUAAUAUUGAACAAAUAGUCAUAUUAAUGAAAAUUUGUAAUUAUGAUCAAUAACUUAACACAUAGGUAAAAGUGUUUUUUUUUUUACUUAAUAAUAUUAUUAGCAAUAGUACGUUAUUAAUUGUAUAUGAAAAUAAUGAAGCUUAAAAAUUAAAAUUUAAAGACAAUGCCAUUGUCAAAUUUACUCAAAAUUUAUUUUUAACUAUAGUUAUCCAUGUACAUAUGUGACACACAUAAUAAGAUGCUAAUAUAUAUAAGGCAAAAUAUUAUAAAGUUAAAUGGUGAGAUAAUAAAGUGAAAUGUUUCUAACCUUAUGCAAUAUUUGAACUUGUUAUAGUAACAGUAUCCAAUGAUGUACUUGGCUCAUCAUUAGAGUUCUCACAGCUAUGAAUCUCCAUUGAUGUUUCAAGCGGAAGUUGAUGGAAUGGCUUAGGAGGCAUAUCAAGGAGUUCAACAUCAGAUUCAAGCAUCUUCAAAACUUUACUCAUUGAAGGACGAUCAAAAGGCAGUAAUUGUAUACACCAAAAGGCUGUUAUUACCAUUUUCUUUACCAUUGCUUUUUCAUCGUCAGAAACAUCUCCCAACUCCAAGUCCUCUCCUUGAUCUAAUCGGUCAUAAAUCCAAGAUGGAAAAUAGAUCUGACUAGUGUGGUCAGCAAAUGCAUUCACAUUCUUUCUCCUUCCAACCAUUUCCAUCAGUAACAUUCCAAAACUAUAAACAUCAGCUUUGUAUGAGAUGCCUCCAAGAUUUUUGUAAACCAAUUCUGGAGCAAUAUAUCCUAUCGUUCCUCGUGCCGCAGUGAGAGAGACAAUGCUAUCAUCUACUGAAUACAAUUUAGCAAGACCAAAAUCGGAAACUUUUGGAUUAAAAUUCUCAUCAAGAAGAAUAUUGUGUGGCUUGAUAUCAAAAUGUAGAAUUUGCAUGUCACAUCCUUGAUGUAAGUAGUGAAUUCCUUGAGCCACCCCAAGUACAAUAUCAAACAUUUUUUUCCAGCCCAAAGUGUUCUUAUUUUCUUCUGUAAAUAUGAUUUUAUCUAAAGAUCCAUUAGACAUGAAGUCAUAUACUAGAGCUUGCUUUGAUCCCUCCACACAAAAUCCGAUAAGUUUUGCCACAUUAGCAUGAUGAAUUGUCCCAAUGGAAGCAACUUCGUUUAUGAAAUCUUGGCCAUUACCUUUUGAUUUGCCCAACAAUUUUAUUGCCACAUGAUGGCCGCUACGAAGCUUUCCUUUAAACACUGAGCCAUAACCCCCUUCACCUAAUUUAUCUUUAAAAUUUUUAGUCAUUUUUUUAAUUUCUUUAAAAGAAUACCUUAAUGGCACUAGAUUAUUUUGGCUUUUAAGGAACUCUUCGAUCAUAUCAUCCAUGGAUAAAUGUCUUCUCCUCCAUUUGUACGUGACAAAAGCAAGCAAACAAAUGAUCCCAGGAAAUGACCUCAAGAUAACUCCACCUUUAAAGAAAUACAAUGUAACAUGUUGAAAUUAAUCACAUAAUAUAUAACUUACAUUCUCAGAAAAAAGGAUAUAGUGUGAUAGUUUUAUGUUAACUAGUAUUUGAGAGAGUGGCAUAUUUCACUAGUCUAUGGACUUAACCGAGAGUAGUCUGAAUUAUAUGCAUUGUUUUUGUCAUUAGCAGGUAUAUCUCAACAAAUUAAAAUUCAGAAUUUGAAACACAAAAGGAGUAAAUCAUGCAAAGUGGAUGCCAAUUAUUCUAACCUCACACAUUCCAAUAGAUUUGACAGGGUCAUGACAUUCACCCAAAUUAACACAUUCGUAACCCCAUCCAAUUAGCAAAUUCUAAAGAAAGAACAUGAUUCUUAACCAUGAAGGAUACUCAACUGUUGUUUCUAUUCAUGCCAAAUAAAAUUGAAGAAGGACAAAUUAAAAAUAUAAUAACCUUCAAAUUUCAUAAAUGAAACAAAAUCUAGAACCACCAAAAGAUGCAAGAGAACCCCCCAAAAAACAGAUUUGAUAAAUUCAAGAGCUAACUUUGUUGAAUGUUUUAGCAAAAUGAAUAUCCACCAAACUUAUAACCUGUGAAAGUUCUAAACAAUACCAUUAUGAAAACAAGCUUAACUAAAACUCUAACAUCUUUCUUAACUUGACAAAAAAUUUCUUUCAUAUAGAAGAAGAUUGUAUUCUGCAUUCAAACUCCGUAAAGAGUGUCAUAGCUUUCUUAGUUUUGUAGUGAAAUUAAAUAUAAACUUGUAUAAUAUGAUAGGCUCCUUAUUCUUUUUUUCCCCCAGAAUAUAGCUAAUAUUUGUUCUCAACUAGUGCAAAUGCAAAUCUGCAAAUCUAAAAUUAAAUAUACCUGUUAUUAGCAAACAGAGACGAUAAGCUCCGAAGAAUCUGGAUUAUAUAUUCAACAAAUCAAAGUAAAAUUAAUAAAGGGGUGUAAAGAAAAAUUCCAAAUUUGUAUAAAAAAAUCAAUGGAAGGUAAUUUAAAAAAUUAUAUUAUGUUUUGUGGUAUAUACUCAAAAAAGAAAUACAACAAUUCUUUACAUAUGUUUGCUUGUAAAAAGUAUGCAACAUGUGUUACAGUAUAAGAGUUUUUAGGUAACUAAUAUGAUUUAAUAUAAUGAAAGGUGAGACAAAAUUUAUUCAAAUUAAUUAAUCCAAAAAGUAUAUAUUAUAGCAUUAAAAGAGUUUUUGCCAAAAAAAAUAAACUCAUCCACAAUGGUGGAAUAUUUACGUACUACCAACUAAAUUGAAAAUUCAUCAAAAAUAAAGACAAAAUAAAAAGAUAGACAUAAUCAAAUAUAAUUGUCCAAAAAGAAGACAAAACAGCAGAGAAAGCAGAGGCAGAUACUAAAUUAGAAAUGCUUUUAGUUCAUUUGAUUGUUAGAUGUUGAUCAAUUUUAGAUGCAAAAUCAUCAUACUUAAUUACCAUCAUAAUAUUUAAUUGUGAUAAAUGUAACAUAAAAUAAAACAAAACAAAAAGUAGAUGUUGUAACUAAAAAUUCCAGUAUGAUUCACACUCAAAAUGCAAACUUAAAUUAUUAAAGAAACUUACAUAUCUUUAAACCAAACUUUGUUUUUAUUGUAGUAGCUACUCUCGCUAUCCCAUCAACUCCAUUGGACCCAAAAACCCUCCAAUAAUUUUUUGUAUAUAUCCAGCGUAGACAUGCCUAUUAUAUUAUCAAUCAUAAUUGGAACCUCCGCUUUGAUAGUGCAAGCUUGAUUGAUAUCAGAUGGGUGGGUGUUUCCAUUUAAAAAAUAGAAAUAGAAAGUUGGAAGGGAAGAGGAGGUAUUAGAUUUAAUCGUACAACAAGAAGCCUCAAUAAAAAGUGAUGAUUUUAUAGGUUUCGUGCAAUUCAUAACAUAAAUAAUGUUAAAAUUAUAAGAAAAAUAAUAAUGAUAAUUAGAAAAAAGGUAAAAAUAUGGUUUAAAAUAAGGAUAAGUAUCAUAAUAAUCAGGAUAUACAGAAGUAAGAGGAAGGGAGUUGCAAUCAUCCGUGUCCAAGCUUGCAUCCACCAUUCGUAUUGUAUAAUUUUCGUAAAAGAUUUGUUGGACAGAUAAUUUCCCUCCUCUCCCAACCAAAGUGGUGCGAUUAUUGUUCUCACACUCAAGUUCCAUGACAGGAGAACCACAGUGGGGAGGUUGGUUUUUUAAUCGGAAUGGAAAACUGAUAUUCAAAUUCCCACAGAAAGUAGAGCCGCAGUCUUGGUUAAUAAGACUCCUAGCAAAACAAACAGCAGGAAAUAGAAUUACAAAUAAAGCAACAGAGGGCAUUAGGUGACCCAACAAUGGCAGUUUUGCUUUUAAUUUUGGCAUGCUAAAAUUUUGGGUAAGGAAGAAGAACAGUAAUGGGGGGUUAAUGAUUAAGUUUCUAACUAAACCAGGGAAAUAUAUAAGAAAGCUUCAGUGGGAGAAGAAGCAUUAAUGGGGACACAAGACUUUGACUACUCUUCAGCUUUAUUUGGGAUGAAUAUUUUAUUUUCAAUAAAUUGUUUACACCUUUUAUUCUUUAAUCUUUUUUCUGGGAAGAGCCAUGGUUAUCACAAGCAAAAGAAAAAGGAAUUUUAAUAUUAUUCAAAAAAAAAAAAAAUUGGACCAUAUGCUUGUAGUCGUAGAUCAACGUUUAUGACCUUAAUAAAUUCCAAUUACAAUGAGGAGGACCAAGACAAUGCAAGUCUUUAGUCUUCUUUGAAACACAAAAACAUUUGUUGCAUCUUUUGUAACUAUUUGUUGCAUCAUUCUAAAAAGUAAGUUAAUAGUUAGAAGUGUCAAGCAAGGCGACUCAAUGCCCAAUUGUAUAGAUUCUUUUUAUUUUAUUCCACGAAUACUUCACUACUUUUCAAAUAAUUACAUGAAUUUAAAAUAAAACAAAUUAAAUAUAAGAUAUAAUUUCUAUUUAUUUAAGUUUAAAUUCAAAACUAAAUUCUAUUUCUAAAUUUUAAUUAUCCAAAAUUAAUUUAAAAACUUAAAUUUAAAAAUACAUUAAGAGACUUCAAAUUCCGUUUUAUUUUAAAUGAAAUCGGUUUAGUAAAGAGGUGACUAUGGAUCAAGUCAAGCCGAAUCGAAGUUCAGUUUCAAAAAAUUCCAAGUCCUAGAGCCUAUUUUUGAUCCAACUCACCCAAAAGCUCGUUUUCUAUUUGAAAAUAUUAAAAAUAUUUUUAAUUGAUAUUUUACAUAUUUUUAUAAUUAAAUUUAAAUUUUAAUAAAAAUUAUUAUUUAAAUUAAACUAUAAAAAUAUUUAUCCAAAUCUGACCCAAAUCGAAUUAGGCCGGGUGGGCGAUCCGAUCAUGACAGGAAAGGAGAAACAAGAAAGACGAAGCCUAAACAGGCAGUAAAUUCAUUUUAAUUCUACAUACAUUCCAUAUUAUUAUUUAGGGAUAAUAUAGUUUUUGACCCUAAUCUUGAUAGUUAAGUGGACUUUAGUACAUAUAUCUUUUUUGUUCUACUUUGACACUCGAACUUCAAAUAUUUUGGUUCCUAAACUUGAAAAAUAUAAAAGUUUUAUGAUGCAACUCUGUAAGAUUGUGUUACAUCAUCACUUAAAAAUUAAAAAAAUAUAUAAAUAUUUUUAAUUAAUAUUUUAUAUAUCUCUAUAAUUAAAUUUAAAUUUAAAAAAUAUUUUUUAUUAUUUAAAUUCAACUCAGAUUAAAUCAAAAUAAAAUGUAAAAAUACUUAUUCAAAUCUGACCCAAAUUGAGUUGGGCCGGGCAGGCUACCCAGUCAUCUCAAGUCUACUUUAGCACAGGUAAGUAAAGUUGAAUCAUUAGAUUGGGAUAUAUGUGUGCUUCGGGUAAAUACUUAUUUGGGCUGAAUUAUUUGGACUUCAAUUAUGAAUUUAAUUUUUUACUAAUAUGUGUGAGAAGCCCAUUCUUUUAUGAAUUUUGGGCCACUUCGGUUUCGUCUUCAGGAAUUAAACAUUCAUAAAAAUCUAAAAAAAUUUAUUAAAUUAUUAUUUAUUAAUUAAACCAGUUGAUUAUUCAAUCGGUUUGACCACUAGUUCUUGAUUCAACUCAUUUGAUCGGUUCAACUACCCAACUAACAAUAAUUAAAUGAAUGAUUCAACAUCCAUAAAAAUCUAAAAAAGAAUAUUAAAUCGAUUACAUAUGUUCAAUAGCCAAGUUUUUUUUUUACUAAUUUCAAACAAUUUUUUUAAUUUAAUUGAUUCAACCAUUUUGUUCAAACUAGGGUGUUCGCAAAAGUCUCGACUCUCCUAAAAUGGAAAAGUUUUUAUUUAAGUCAUUUAAAAUUUUUAAAAUUUUAAAUUAAUAAAGGUAAAUUACACUUUGGCCCCAUAAAAAUAUAAAAAUUUGAUUUAAUCCUUUAAAAAUUAUAAAGAUAUAGGCUAUUAAAAUGGUGAAAUUAUAUUUUUACUUCGUAAAAAUUACAAUUUAAUUUCGACUCCCUUUUUUUUUUUUGAUUUCGCCCCUAAUUCAAACCAUUAUACCGGUUGGUUCUUAGUCCAAUCAAUCCAACCAACCAAUCCACUACUAUUUCAGUAAAAUUGGUCAUAUCAUCAAAUCUUGAUAGAAUCCAAAUUUAAAGGACCAAAAUAGAUCUAAUUGUCAAACUCAAAUACCAAAAUGGAUCUAACUUAAAAGCAAUAUUGAAACAUGUCUUUCUUGUUUUCUCCGUCUCUUAAAACCCCCUGACCUUUGUUUUUUUUUUUUUUUAGUCUUUGAGUUCCUUAGAGAGUUGGUUCAUAUUUUAGGAUAUUGUUUCAUGCUUUUGGCUUGCGAGUUCUUUGUAUUGUAAUGGUAUUUUUUGUAUUAGUGUGAGGAGUAUUGUGGUGUUAUUUUGCUAUCCAUUGAUUCGUUUUGGGUGAAGGUUUUAUUUUGAGCCUUUGUGUUUGUAUGGGAUACCUUAUCUUCGAGUUCUGGGUUUUUCUUUAAUAUAUUUCUAUCGGUUCGAAAAAGAUGGAAGUCUAGAUUUGAUUUGGAGAUAAAAUUGUGUUUUAAUUUUUGUGUACUUUCCUGAUUUUUCUAAAUAAUAUUUUUUUCUGCUUCAAUCCAACUACAAUACUUGCAUUAUAAACAACUAUUUCAUUGAAUUUCUUUUUUAUUUUAAAAAUACUUUUUAAACUGUUUUUUUUCUAGAGAUUCUCUAAAAUUUUCUAUUAAAAACUUUAUAUAUUUGGUAAAAGGAUUAAAGAAGUUCCUGUACUUAGUGAUGGAUUGCAUUUCAACCCUUUUAUCGAAAAAAAUUGACAAAUUAAUUUUUAUACAUUUCAAAACAUACAAAUUUGUCGCUUCGUUAAAAUUUUUCUACAUUUUAACCUAUUCAUCAUUUCCUUUGCAGAAAAAUAGUUGAUAUACCAUUAGAACAUGAGCCUCAAACAUUAUAAAUGAAUAAUAAUACCUCGGUCUAUGAAGAAGUUAUGUUACAUUUGAUGGAAUAUCAAAGGAAAAUUUUUCGUUUAUUUUAAAAAGAUUUUAUUCAAUUUUCUAAUUGUAUAUAUAAUUGAUAUUAAUUAUUUUUUAUUUUAAGUUUAAUUAUUUUAAAACAUAUUUAUUAAAUAACUUUUUUUGGUGUUAUUAAUUAAACAUCAAAUGCAGCAUUAAUAUUGUAAGUCUUCCGUUAUUUAAUAUUUAAAUAAUAUGAAAUUGAACAUUUAAACGUAAAAUAUAAAAUUAUUCUUAAUAAUUUAUAAUAAAGGGAAUAAUAAAACAGAUGAUUAGAUGAAAUCAAGAAUCAGGUUAAAUUCACACCUGACCAUGGAAAUAUUUGUGUCGAUAUGAUUUAUAAACAGGGUUUAGCCAUGAUACUUUUCUGUGAGAGGCAAAAUCAAAAUUUUUCUUUUCACUUAAAAACUUAAUAUUUUAAUUUUUCCUCAAUUUUGUCCAUUCAAACAUGUUAAGACUGUAUGGUUUGAUUUACCUGUUGGUACGUAAGCUUAUUCAUGCAAAAGUGUCCUUUUAUCAAUUAAAAAGAACAGCAAUAAGGUAAAACGUCAGUUUUUAAUAGAGUCUGACUGCGUCGUCGGCAAAUGAGUGUAGAAUCUUUUACGGUAAGCAAAAGCAUGCUAUCCUAUUUUCCUCCAAUAGCAUAUUUAUUUAUCAUUAAUAAUUACUUUCAUUUUAAUUGUAAUAAAAAUUUAUGACAUAAUUCAUCGUUUACAAACACCAUCUUCAUAUAAUAUUUAAAUUUUCUUUUAGAUAAUUUAUGAUUAUAAUUCUUGAACACAUAUGACAUAAUGGAUGAUUAUUUGGUAUAGCUGAUAGUAAAUUUUUAAUUUCAUAAAUAGAUUUGAAAGUUUGAUAUAUAUUUUAAGUUGUAUUUAAAAAAAAUAGGAUAUAUGAAAAUUUUUCAAUCUCGCUUAUUGAGUUAAUUAAUAAUCCAUAAAAAAAUAUUACUUUGUAUGUUUUAAUUCUUAAUUAAUUUUAGAUAUUUGACUUCUAUUAAUUUAAAUGUUUUAAUGUUUUUUUUGAAUUAAAAAAAGUGUGUAUUUAAUUCUUCAUAAAACAAAUUAUUUGUAAAUAAUCAUAAAUCGGUAUAAGAAGAUCAAACCUAAUAUAUCAAAGCAACUAAUAGCGGAUUGAUUGUUUGAUUUCAAAUGUUUAAAUUUGAUAAUCAAUCAAUUUAAAGAUACAAUGAGAUGUAAUUUUGUAAAUUAGAUAUCUCAAUCUUAGUAUUAAAUGAUUGAUGACUCUAAGCUACUUAAAAACAAGAAGACAAUCAAUCUUCACUUUAAUUUAUAUGAUCCAAAGUUCUUAACACCAUUUCAAAGAACCGUUCAGAAAUUAUAGAUACAAGAUCUAAUCAAAACAUCAAGUAACGGCCAAAUCAAAACCCACCAAAGAGAUAUCCAAAGUCUCAAAUCUGGAAUUAAAGGUCAACGUAACCACAUCAUACAAAGAAAUGCUCCCACCACUCCACUUCGGGACAUGUACAAAAUCUGAUUUCUUCGAUCACUACUUGAAAGAGUUGAUAAUUCUCAUAUUUAGAAUUAUUUUAAUUUAGUUUUUAUAGUAUUUUAGGAGUAAAAUCUUUUUUAUUAUAGUUUAUAGUUUUUGAAAUUAAUUAGAUUUUAUUUAAUUUUCCGGAUUUAUUAGCUAUAUUUUUCUCCAUUGUAAAUUUGAGAUAAAAAAAAUGAAAGAGUUGAAAUAUAAAGUAAGAAAGGAUGAAAUCUUCUACUCCACUUGAUCAACUUUACAGUGAACAUAUUUUUAAAUUCAGAAAUUUUGAUAGCAAUUAUUCCUUCUACCAUAAUUUUUUAUUUGGUGGAGCUCCUAAUAAAAGUCAAAAAGAAAAAAAAAGUAUGGGUUUGACCAAUAUUUUAUGGUUCAUUUUUUAUAUAUUUACUCUAAUCUCUGUUUCUAAAAAAUAUCUUAAAACAUUGAAAAAAUAUAUAGUUUAAUUAGCAACAAAUACGCGUUUUUUAUUCUCAAAUUAUUGGUCCAAUCGGUUGAUUUAGUUAGAGAUUCAAAUAUUAUUUAUGAUUUUAAUAUAAAAUAUGAGAAAUGAUGUUCACAUUUCAAAUGAUGUUCAAAUUGAUGGAAACAGUCAAAAAAGAAAAAAUCCUGAGAUGUCAAGUUUACAUUUUAAAACUGGAAGAAAGAAAUCCUCAAAGCAAAUUGGAGGGGCUGCAAGAUUGUCCAGUCAAAUAGAAAAACUAUGCAAUGCAGCUGACAAUAUGAGUCAAGCCACAUCUAGUUUGACUCCUGUUAUGGAUCCAUAUGGUAUUCCACAAGCAGUCAAAAUGCUUGACAGCAUGUCGGAAGAAGUUCCAGAAGCUAGUCCGCUAUACUUUUUCGCACUUAGAUUAUUGCUCAAUAAGGACAAGCGAAUUAUGUUUUUAUCAAUUAAUCCUAAUAUUAGAGCUUUGUGGCUUAAGACGGAAAUGGAGGAUAGUUGAAAAUUUUUUGAUCUUCUAGGGUUUAAAGAUAUCUAUUUAUGUGUAAUCUUCUAGUUAUAAUGGCUUAAGCGAAUUAUGUUUUUAUCAAUAGUUAUUUAUGUUUAGUUUUUGGAUAUUGAAUUUAUGUGCGAAUUAUGCUUUUGGAUAUUGAAUUUAUGUGUAAUCAAUUAUGUUUUAUUAAUAGUUGUUUAUGUUUGGUCUUUAGAUAUUGAAUUUAUGUUCCACUUAUUUUUUAUUAAAUUAAUUUUAUUAAUGGUUGUUUAUAUGUGAUUUUGGAUAUAAAAUUUAUUCACAGGUGAUGAGUAUAGUUGAGGAUUAUAGCAGUGAUGAAAGUGAUGAUCAAAGGGAAAAGAAAGAGAUGUUACAACGCAUGGAAUGUUUUAACCGAAUAUUUGUUGUUGCAUCUUCUUCCAUGCAAUUAUAUUACGAGAAGUAUAUAUUGAGGCAACCAUGCAUGGAUUCAAAACAGUCAGGUGAGACAUGGAUCCGAGAGAUCCUUGACGGUCACGAAUCACGUUGUAUGAUUAAUUUUAAGAUGUCUAAAAUGGUAUUCACAAGUUUGUUGAGAGUUUUGGAGACAAGAUACAACUUGCAAACUUCAAGAAACAUAUCUUCUACUGAAAUGUUGGGAAUUUUUUUAUACAUCUUGGGCACCGGUGCAAAAGUUUCCCAAUGUCGAGAAAGAUUUCAAAGGUCUGGAUCAACAAUAAGUCGAUACUUUGCAGUUGUGCUUGAGAAAGUUUCAAGGAUGGCCAUUGAUCUAAUUGCACCUGAAGAUCCUUUUUUUAGCUCAAUACCCGAACAAAUACAUAAUGAUUCUAGAUAUAUGCCGCAUUUUAAGGUUAAAAUUUAAUUUCAUAUUAUUAUAUUUUAAUAUAUUUGGUCGACUAAAAAUAUGCACGAGAGUAAUAUGAUUAUUUGUUCAGGAUUGUAUAGGUGCAAUUGAUGGUACUCACAUUGCGGCUAUUCUUCCACCAAAUGAACAAAUUCCCUAUAUUGGAAGAAAAGGUAUCCCGACUCAAAAUGUUAUGGCAGUAUGUGAUUUUAAUAUGUGUUUCACAUUUGUCAUGGCUGGAUGGGAAGGAUCGACACAUGACACUAGAAUAUUUCUUGAUGCAAUUCGAGAUCUAAAAUACAAAUUUCCGCACCCUCCAAAUGGUUAGAUAUUUUAUUUAUAUGUGAUUUUUUAAAUAAUAAAGUAAGUUCUUUAAUUGAUUUUUUAUUAAAAAAAUUCUUGAAUUAAUUGUUUGUUAUAUUAUGACUUGUAGAAAAAUAUUAUCUUGUUGAUUCUGGAUAUCCUCAAAUGAAAGGUUAUCUUGGACCAUAUAGAGGUCAACGAUAUCAUUUACCUGACUUCCGAAGAGGUAGACCGAUUUCUGGUAAAGAAGAGAUAUUCAAUCAUUCACAUUCAUCAUUACGUAGUGUGAUUUAACAAACUUUUGGUGUUUUAAAAAAAAUGGGCCAUUUUAAGGGAUAUGCCAAGUUAUAGUUUUGAAAAGCAAACGGUGAUCGUUGUUGCUAUAAUGACGAUACACAAUUUUAUCCGAAAACAUGUUGGUCAAAAUGAUGUAGAUUUUAUGGAAUACGAAGAUAUUAACUCGGCAUAUGAGAAUAGUAUUGAUUCAGAAAAUGCGCAUGGGCCACAAAGUGAUGAUGAUGACGACGACGACGACGAUGAUAGUAAUGAUGAUGGUGAAUCAAACAUUUUUAGUGGUUUUGAAAUGGAAUUAACAAGAGAUGCUAUAGUUUCUAGUUUAAUGAAUUCAAUUUAAAUUGUAAAUGCUAUUGUAAAAUUUUUAGUAUUUAUAUCUGAUAUAUAAAUAUUAUCCCCUUUUUAAAACUUCAAUCCAAAUAUAUCUAAUAUUUUAAUUUGUUAAGUUUAUGUUUUCUAUGUUAUAUUAAUAUCUAAUAUGAGUUAUAUAUUCAAAUAUAUUUUAAAAUAAAAUAAUACAAGCGUGUUAAAAGUAUUAAUUAAAAAUAAAAAAUAAUUUUUAUAAUAAUACAAUCGUGUCAAUAUCUAAUUACAAAUAUUUAAAUAUUUAAAUAUAGUUUAUAUAUUCUAAUUAAAUUUUAUAAAUAAUUAAUAUUAAUUACUUAGAAAUAUUUAAAAUUAAUAUUAUAUAUUAAAAUAUUAACAAUAAGUUAUAAUAAAUUAUUUUUUUAUAUUUUUGCUAAAAUAUCAUAAUAUUAACUAAUUUGAACAUUAUUUAAAAACAUAUUUGUUACUUUAUAAUCUCAUGUCUAAAAUGGACAUUUUAUUCUUCAAAAAUACUUUUUAACACUAAUAGCAAACACUCAAAUUUUUCAAAAGCACUUCUUAAAAAUAAUUCUCAAAAGCAUUUCUCAAAAGUAACGAAAAACUAGCCCUUAACGCCCCGUUCUUCUGCACGUUUUAGAAGUGCUUUUGGCUGAAAAAUCCUUUUCCUUUAAAAGGAAUGAAGAACAGCCUCCUUUUCUUCUGAAAAUUUCACCAUCAGAAAAGGACUUCUCUCCAGAUGAAAAGUUAAAAUUUCUCUUUUUUUUCAGCUUAAAGUGCUUUUGGCUGAAAAUUGACCAAAUUAACCUAUCGUCUUCUCCCACAAACUUUCUUUCCCCUCCUCUGCUGGUUCUUUGGAACUGUCUUCUCCCACAAACGUGCUUUUGGCUGAAAAGAACAGAAAUUUGAUUUCUCAAAUUUUUCCACAAACGUGCUUUGGAACUGUCUUCUCCCACAAACGCUCUCCCACUCCCGCGACGGGGCGCUGUCAAUCGGCUGUGCUUCAGGGUCGAAGGAAGCAUAUGGAAGGUCUCACUGUCUGCAUGCUCGAUCUCCACAUUCCCUUCCCGAGUAUCUCUCUUUCUUCAUAUCUUUUUUUUUGUGCGGCUUCGUGGUUUUAUUAGAAUGCGUUCAUAGGGGAAUUAGUCUUACGAUUAAUAUUUUCUCUUGUAAAAAGGAUAAAUUGAUGUUGCAAUUUAAUGACAGUUUUUAUGCUAUGGAUUGAGAAUGAGAUUCUAGGGUUUUUCAUUGAAUGAAUUUGCUUUUGGUUGUUUUAUUAACAAACUUCAUCGCUUCGCUUAAGAAAAAAAAAAUCCUUCUUUUAAGAUUGAAUUUAUGAAGUUUUAUCGGUUAAUUAAAUGCUUAGCUCUUUUCUAAUGACUGUAACCAAUGUAGCAAUGAUAUUAAAGAAGGUUUAGUUAUAAAAGUGGAGAGAUAUUAUGCUAAACCGAACUACUAACUUCAAUAGUUUACUUCUUAGUGUUCUUAUAGAGGCAAUUUUGUUUGAAAAGGAUCUUUCUAAACAAUGUAAGAUUUGGUAUUUUUGCUUAUUUUGUGAUGGUUGAAGAAGUUUGUGCGUAUCACUGAUUUAAUAACUUUGUCUAACGUCUCAUCCUAUGUUUUAUUUUUAAUACAUAAAUUUUUGAUACAUUGGAGCAGGCAAAAUUGGGGUUAAGGAAGUUUCAGUCGGAGUUGUUGCAGUUUUUGAUGGUCAUAAUGGUGCUGAAGCUAGUGAGAUGGCUUCAAAACUUUUACUGGAGUAUUUUGCUCUAUAUACAUAUUUCCUUUUGGAUGCAACUUUUUCCUUUGUAUUGAAGAAGCAGUCAAGUAGGUUGCCAAAUGUAGGAGAAGGGGAUAUUGUUUUCUGUUGCGGAAAGGAUCGAUUCGAGAACUCCGAUAUGACUACAAGUAAAUUGACCGAAACGAAAAAUAAAGUGAACACAAGGAUUUACGUGGUUCGGCUUUAAUGCCUACGUCCACGGGCAGAGGCGAAAAGAAAUUUCACUAUAACAAGAUGAAGAUUACAAGUGUUUUACACUCAAGACACAACCCGAGAACCUCACAACUCUCAACCCCUAUAGAAAACCCGAAAGCUAAAAUCCUAGCUUUCAAAGAACAAGCUUUGCUCUCUCUUGGUUUGGGAUGAUCAAUAUGGCUAAUGAACCUCUCUAUUUAUAAGAGAGUUCAAGGACAUAAUUGUCCAAAACUUUGGCAAAGAUUUGUGGUUGAAAAUGGACACCAACAACCAUCCACUAAUCCACUACCACCAACAACCCACUACCAACAACAACAAUCCACUACCAAUUUUAAGCCAUUUCUUAACAAAUCUCCACCUUGGCUUGAAAUUUACCAAGCUGAACAUCAUAGAAACUCCAAGCCAUUAUCCGUCCGGAAUCGCUUGAUCUUCUUUCCUGUUUGAUUUUCGAUCAAAGCUUUAAAUUGCUUGAAGUUGAUGAGAACCUCAUACUUGCUCUUCAGAAAAUACACCCAAACCUUUCUCGAGUAAUCAUCGAUAAAGGUAAGCAGAUAUCUGUAACCACCUUUAGAAAUUGUCGGAGAAGGCCCCCAAAGGUCAGAAUGGAAGUAAUCCACUGUGCCUUUUGUCUUGUGAAUCCCAGUGCUGAACUUUACCCGAGUCUGCUUACCGAAGACGCAGUGCUCACAGAAAUUCAACUUUCCUGUACACUGCCCAGACAAUAAUCCUCGUUUGCUUAGCACCGAUAAGCCUCUCUCGCUCAUAUGCCCGAGCCGCAUAUGCCAUAACUUCGUGGUGUCAGAAUCUAGAUCAUCUGAUGAUGACACUCCCGCAACACCUGUAACCGAGGAACCAUCGAGGAAGUAAAGGCCCCGCUCCAAAUUACCACGUAUCACAGUCAAAGCACCCGAGAAUACCUUGAGAACUCCACCUUCAGCAGAGUACCGAAAGCCUUUCUUGUCCAACGUACUCAAAGAGAUCAAAUUUUUCUUCAUUUCUGGAAUGUGCCGAACAUCAGUUAGAGUUCUAACAAUACCGUCAAACAUCUUUAUACGAACUGUGCCAAUCCCCAUGACUUGACAUGCGUGGUCAUUUCCCAUUAGUACUGAACCAGAAUGCUUCUCGUAUGUUGAGAAUGCAUCUUUCGAAGUACUUAUAUGAAAUGUAGCUCCCGUAUCAAGAAUCCAUCUCCCACCAGCGUAAGAGUCGGAUACUGCAAGAACGAUCUCGGCAUCACUUGAAGAAUCUGCAUCAGCUACAUUCGCACGAUCAUUUUGUUGCUCCUGUGAUUCUGAUUUCUCCUUCCUUUUCGGACAAUCUACCUUCAUGUGCCCGUACUUCUUACAGUAGUAGCACUGUAUUCUCUUCUUGGACUGCGAUCUAGGAUGGCUUUUACUUGAACUUCCACCCUUUGCCUUGGAUCUUCCUCGAGCAACCAAGCCUUCGCCUUCAUUGUUUUCGACCACCUUACCAGUGAUUUUCUUCCUCAACUCACUGGAACUUAAGGCAUUUUUCACCUCCUCUAGAGUCAGGUCAUCACGACCGUACAUCAUUGUAUCAACAAAAUUCUCAUACGAGGGAGGCAAAGAACACAAAACAAUUAUUGCUUGGUCCUCAUCAUCGAUUUUGUUAUCGAUAUUAUUCAAAUCCAUGAUAAUGGAAUUGAAUUUAUCCAGGUGCUGGGAAACAGGUGUACCUUCCUCCAUCUUCAGGGCAUAGAGUCUUUGCUUGAGGUAGAGCCGGUUCGUCAAUGACUUCGUCAUGUACUUGCUCUCUAACCGGAGCCACAAACCGGACGCGGUUUUCUCAUCCGCUACUUCUCGUAGCACUUCAUCUCCUAGACAUAGCAGAAUAGCACUAUGUGCUCUUUCUAGCAUGUCAUCCUUUUGCUCUUCCGAAAGCGUGCUUGGUAAUUUAUCUUUACCAGACAAUGCUUUUAGCAAUCCUUGUUGAACCAGCACUGCCCGCAUCUUGAUGCGCCAUAAACUGAAACUAUUUUUCCCGGUAAAUUUCUCGACAUCAUACUUAGUCGAUGAAACACUUGUAGCCAUAAUUUGGAACCUUUGAAUGAAUGAUAAUAUUUUCUUCCUGAUGUGAAAGAUCAGACAAAGCUGCAGUCACAGGGCAAUUCAGAAAAUAUUAUCACUCCUUCAACUACGCUCUGAUACCAAUUUGUUGCGGAAAGGAUCGAUUCGAGAACUCCGAUAUGACUACAAGUAAAUUGACCGAAACGAAAAAUAAAGUGAACACAAGGAUUUACGUGGUUCGGCUUUAAUGCCUACGUCCACGGGCAGAGGCGAAAAGAAAUUUCACUAUAACAAGAUGAAGAUUACAAGUGUUUUACACUCAAGACACAACCCGAGAACCUCACAACUCUCAACCCCUAUAGAAAACCCGAAAGCUAAAAUCCUAGCUUUCAAAGAACAAGCUUUGCUCUCUCUUGGUUUGGGAUGAUCAAUAUGGCUAAUGAACCUCUCUAUUUAUAAGAGAGUUCAAGGACAUAAUUGUCCAAAACUUUGGCAAAGAUUUGUGGUUGAAAAUGGACACCAACAACCAUCCACUAAUCCACUACCACCAACAACCCACUACCAACAACAACAAUCCACUACCAAUUUUAAGCCAUUUCUUAACAUUUUCCAAGUGCUUAAUUGGGACAAAGAGAUUGGAAAGCAUGGCUUGAACCUUGAAAGGUGAUAUCAUGUGUAACUCAGACCAUAUUUAUGUUUGAGUUCCUUGUUUUAGAAAAUGGAUAUAGCUGUUGCUUGCUGUUGACGAUUCUUAACCCAAAGUAUUAAUGCUUGCUCAGAUUAUUAACCCAAUGUUUAUUUCAUCAUCUUAAAGUUGCUUCCUGUUUGCUUCUACCUGCUAUUCAGCUGGUUGUGGGAAUUAGCCAUCCCUGGUGGAUUUCUCUGACAUUUUUCAUUGGAAGCUGUAUUAGGCUAGUGGAUUGGUCUUUGACUAGCAAUUUUCUAGGACUAUUCAGGUGAUUGCUUCUUGACUCUUUGUACAUUGUUCUAUUUCAUUUUCUUUGUCAAUGAAUUUGGUUUUAUCAUUGGUUAAUGUUUUUAGUAGCUUAUGUUCUGUUUCUUUUUUGUCAAGGUUGUGGAAGGCUCUCCAGUUUUAUGCAGGCUUCAGCAUUUUCAUGCUUUAUGUGUAUCAACUCCUUAUAGAGUUCUCAAGUAUGUUACAGUGGAUAGCUGAUUUUGUUGGUCUAUUCAAAAUAUGUUCAACAUCUGAGUGGACUGAAAUUUGCUCUUCUGUUUCUCUUGUACUUUAUUACAUCAUGGUAUGUACUAGUUUUAUUACUAUAGGUCUGAUUCUGUUUAAAGAUUUUAGCUGAACCUUUUAAUGAAAUGCAAUUCACUCUUCCCUCUUCCUAGAAUCUUAUAUUAUGAAAUUGACUUCAUUUGAGUCUUUCCUGUGUCUGACAUUUGUCUAUCUAAUAGUCUUUUCCCCAUAUUACUAAUUUAAGAUGGUUUGAAGUGUUUUCUUUCUAUAAGAAAAAUUUCCCGAACAGAUAUGAAGUAAUUAGUUGCAAACUAGACUUUGGAGAUUGAUGACAUUUUUGCCAUUCUGGAUGCAAUUUUUAUUCAAUUUGCUCAAUGAAAUUGCAAUUGAAAAUUUGAGAGCUUCCUAGUUAGAAACCACAUAUUUAUAUAAUAUAUGUUUUUAAUAGUUUUGAACAAGUUAAAUUAAUUAUAAAGAAAUAAUAUAAUUGAGAACAAGAUUAGAGCAGCUCGUUUGUACAUCUCAAUCUUAAUAUUAAGUGAUUGAUGACUCUAAGCUACUUAAAAACAAGAAGACAAUCAAUCUUCACUUUAAUUUGUAUGACGCAAAGUUUUUAAAACCAUUUCUAAGAACCGUUAAGAAAUAAUAGAUACAAGAUCUAAUCAAAACAUCAUGUAACGACCCAACCAAAACCCACCAAAGAGAUAUCCAAAAUCUCAAAUUUGGAAUUAAAGGUCAACGUAAACACAAAAUUCUCCAAAAGUAUUAUGAGUUCUAACCUUUUAAUGGGUAUAAUUUUUAAGGUUUUACAAUAGCCUAUUUACAUGCAAAAUUUGUAGCCCAAAUAAUAAUAAAAUAAUAUAAACUAAUCAAUGUUUAACUAAAAUAAAUAAAUAGAGUUUAGCUGAAAGAUUACCUCUCAAAUUUAAUCGAAAUAUGAGGCAAGGUAUCACUUCAAUGGUAUAAAGCUACAUAAAAUCUUAGUUAUGUCUUUGAAAUAUUUUCAUAAAGGCAUGUGCAAAAACUUUUUCAUUCUUAACAAAUUCAUUCCACUCAAUAUUAUUUAUUUAAAAUCAAAACCACAUUUAUUUUUAAACAACAUCUAAUAAUGUAUUUGGCUCAUCCAACAAUUUAUUUUUAAACGACAUUUAUUUAAAAAGAACCAAAUGAGAAUCAUUAUACAACUUCAUAAAGUCGAUGACACAUCCAACAUUUAAAGCACAAAGAAACUAGAUAGGCCAACAACAAAACAAUAAUGCCAACAUUCUCAAAUACGGCAACAAAUUUGUUCUAAAAACAAAAGUAAGCGCAUCGCACCUAGAGCGUAGAAAUACUUGAAUUCAAUCAUUGUAACAACGAAAAAGGAAACAAGACAUCCAACAUCCUCAUCACAAUAGAUUCUCCUUUGACCCGCCAACAGCGUUUGCAAUGCAAUAAAACAAAAAGAGGUUAUUGUGAUAGCAACUCUUAUAAAUAUUCCAAAAUUAACUUUUAGAUGCAUCAAGUCUUAAUCUAAGGGAAAGGGUUUAUCCAAACAUGAAAAAUCUAACCAACUCAAUUCAAUUCAACCCAACCUCAACCUAUCUAUAUAGUUUACUUUUAAUUUAUAUCUAAUUUCAAUUAUGGUUUAAAUUUAAAUAUUUUUUAACAAAAAUUUUAAAUACUUAAUAUUGAACAAAUAGCCAUAUUUAUGAAAAAAUUUGUAAUUAUGAACAUAACUUAACACAUAGGUAAAAGUAUUUUUUUUACUUAAUAAUAUUAUUAGCAAUAGUACGUUAUUAAUUGUAUAUGAAAAUAAUGAAGCUUAAAAAUUAAAAUUUAAAGACAAUGUCAUUGUCAAAUUUACUCAAUUUAUUUUUAACCAUAGUUACCUAUGUACAUAUGUGACACACAUAAUAAGAUGCUAAUAUAUAUAAGGCAAAAUAUUAUAAAGUUAAACGGUUAGAUAAUGAAGUGAAAUGUUUCUAACCUUAUGCAAUAUUUGAACUUGUUAUAGUAACAGUAUCCAAUGAUGUACUUGGCUCAUCAUUAGAGUUCUCACACCUAUGAACCUCCAUUGAUGUUUCAAGCGGCAGUUGAUGGAAUGGCUUAGGAGCCAUUUCAAGGAGUUCAACAUCAGAUUCAAGCAUCUUCAAAACUUUACUCAUUGAAGGACGAUCAGAAGGCAGUAAUUGUAUACACCAAAAGGCUGUUAUUACCAUUUUCUUUACCAUUGCUUUUUCAUCGUCAGAAACAUCUCCCAACUCCAAGUCAUCUCCUUGAUCUAAUCGGUCAUAAAUCCAAGAUGGAAAAUAUAUUUGACUAGUGUGGUCAGCAAAUGCAUUCACAUUCUUUCUCCUUCCAACUAUUUCCAUCAGUAACAUUCCAAAACUAUAAACAUCGGCUUUGUAUGAGAUGCCUCCAAGAUUUUUGUAAACCAAUUCAGGAGCAAUAUAUCCUAUCGUUCCUCGUGCCGCAGUGAGAGAGACAAUGCUAUUAUCUACUGAAUACAAUUUAGCAAGACCAAAAUCCGAAACUUUUGGAUUAAAAUUCUCAUCAAGAAGAAUAUUGUGUGGCUUGAUAUCAAAAUGUAGAAUUUGCAUGUCACAUCCUUGAUGUAAGUAGUGAAUUCCUUGAGCCACCCCAAGUACAAUAUCAAACAUUUUUUUCCAGCCCAAAGUGUUCUUAUUUUCUUCUGUAAAUAUGAUUUUAUCUAAAGAUCCAUUAGACAUGAAGUCAUAUACUAGAGCUUGCUUUGAUCCCUCCACACAAAAUCCGAUAAGUUUUGCCACAUUAGCAUGAUGAAUUGUCCCAAUGGAAGCAACUUCGUUUAUGAAAUCUUGGCCAUUACCUUUUGAUUUGCCCAACAAUUUUAUUGCCACAUGAUGGCCGCUACGAAGCUUUCCUUUAAACACUGAGCCAUAACCCCCUUCACCUAAUUUAUCUUUAAAAUUGUUAGUCAUUUUUUUAAUUUCUUUAAAAGAAUACCUUAAUGGCACUAGAUUAUUUUGGCUUUUAAGGAACUCUUCGAUCAUAUCAUCCAUGGAUAAAUGUCUUCUUCUCCAUUUGUACGUGACAAAAGCAAGCAAACAAAUGAUCCCAGGAAAUGACCUCAAGAUAACUCCACCUUUAAAGAAAUACAAUGUAACAUGUUGAAAUUAAUCACAUAAUAUAUAACUUACAUUCUCAGAAAAAAGGAUAUAGUGUGAUAGUUUUAUGUUAACUAGUAUUUGAGAGAGUGGCAUAUUUCACUAGUCUAUGGACUUAACCGAGAGUAGUCUGAAUUAUAUGCAUUGUUUUUGUCAUUAGCAGGUAUAUCUCAACAAAUUAAAAUUCAGAAUUUCAAACACAAAAGGAGUAAAUCGUGCAAAGUGGAUACCAAUUAUUCUAACCUCAAACAUUCCAAUAGAUUUGACAGGGUCAUGACAUUCAGCCAAAUUAACACAUUCGUAACCCCAUCCAAUUAGCAAAUUCUAAAGAAAGAACAUGAUUCUUAACCAUGAAGGAUACUCAACUGUUGUUUCUAUUCAUGCCAAAUAAACUUGAAGAAGGACAAAUUAAAAAUAUAAUAACCUUCAAAUUUCAUAAAUGAAACAAAAUCUAACCACCAAAAGAUGCAAGAGAACCCCCCAAAAAACAGAUUUGAUAAAUUCAAGAGCUAACUUUGUUGAAUGUUUUAGCAAAAUGAAUAUCCACCAAACUUAUAACCUGUGAAAGUUCUAAACAAUACCAUUAUGGAAACAAGCUUAACUAAAACUCUAACAUCUUUCUUAACUUGACAAAAAAUUUCUUUCAUAUAGAAGAAGAUUGUAUUCUGCAUUCAAACUCCGUAAAGAGUGUCAUAGCUUUCUUAGUUUUGUAGUGAAAUUAAAUAUAAACUUGUAUAAUAUGAUAGGCUCCUUAUUCUUUUUUUCCCCCAGAAUAUAGCUAAUAUUUGUUCUCAACUAGUGAAAAUGCAAAUCUGCAAAUCUAAAAUUAAAUAUACCUGUUAUUAGCAAACAGAGACGACAAGCUCCGAGCAAUCUGGAUUAUAUAUUCAACAAAUCAAAGUAAAAUUAAUAAAGGGGUGUAAAGGAAAAUUCCAAAUUUGUGUAAAAAAAUCAAUGGAAGGUAAUUUAAAACAUUAUAUUAUGUUUUGUGGUAUAUACUCAAAAAAAAAAUACAACAAUUCUUUACAUAUGUUUGCUUGUAAAAAGUAUGCAACAUGUAUUACAGUAUAAGAGUUUUUAGGUAACUAAAAUGAUUUAAUAUAAUCAAAGGUGAGACAAAUUUUAUUCAAAUUAAUUAAUCCAAAAAGUAUAUAUUAUUGCAUUAAAAAGAGUUUUUGCGAAAAAAAUAAACUCAUCCACAAUGGUGGAAUAUUUACGUACUACCAACUAAAUUGAAUAGACAUCAAAAAUAAAAAGAAAAUAAAAAGAUAGACAUAAUCAAAUAUAAUUGUCCAAAAAGAAGACAAAACAGCAGAGAAAGCAGAGGCAGAUACUAAAUUAGAAAUGCUUUUAGUUCAUUUGAUUGUUAGAUGUUGAUCAAUUUUAGAUGCAAAAUCAUCAUACUUAUUUACCAUCAUAAAAUUUAAUUGCCAAAAAAGUAACAUAAAAUAAAACAAAACAUAAAGUAGAUGUUGUAACUAAAAAUUCCAGUAUGAUGCACACUCAAAAUGCAAACUUUAAUUAUUAAAGAAACUUACAUUUCUUUCAACGAAACUUUGUUUUGGUAAUCGCAUCUUUUCCAUUCGACCCAAAAACCCUCUAAUAGUUUUUUGUAGAUAUCCAGCGUAGACAUGCCUAUUAUAUUAUCAACCAUAAUUGGAACCGCCGCUUCGAUAGUGCAAGCUUGAUUGAUAUAAGAUAGCUGGGUGUUUCCAUUUAAAAAAUAGAAAUGGGAAGUUGGCAGGGAAGAGGAGGUAUUGGAUUUGAUGGUACAACGAGAAGCCUCAAUAUAAAGUGACGAUUUUAUAGGUUUCGUGCAAUUCAUAACAUAAAUAAUGCUAUAAUCUAACCUUUUAUAACCAGAAAGAAAAUAAUUAUUAUUAUAAAAAAAAAAUUAUUAUUAUUUUUAUUAAUACCAUUAUAAGAAAAAUAAUCUACAGAAGUAAGAGGAAGGGAGUUGCAAUCAUCCGUGUCUAAACUCGCAUCGACCAUUCGUAUUGUAGAAUUUUCGUAAAAGAUUUGUUGGACAGAGAAUUUCCCUCCUCUCCCAACCAAAGUGGUGCGAUUAUUGUUCUCACACUCAAGUUCCAUGACAGGAGAACCACAGUGGGGAGGUUGGUUUUUUAAUCGGAAUGGAAAACUGAUAUUCAAAUUCCCACAGAAAGUAUAGCCGCAGUCUUGGUUAAUAAGACUCCUAGCAAAACAAACAGCAGGAAAUAGAACUACAAAUAAAGCAAAAGAGGGCAUUAGGUGACCCAACAAUGGCAGUUUUGCUUUUAAUUUUGGCAUGCUAAAAUUUUGGGUAGGGAAGAAGAACAACAAUGAGGGUUAACGAUUAAGUUUCUAACUAAACCAGGGAAAUAUAUAAGAAAGCUUCAGUGGGAGAACAAGCAUUAAUGGGGACAGAAGACUUUGACUAGUCUUCAGCUUUAUUUGGGAUGACUAUUUUAUUUUCAAUAAAUUGUUUACACCUUUUAUUCUUUUAUCUUUUUUCUGGGAAACACCUCAAUCAAAGCACAUCUAAUUCCAAGAAUAGAGCCAUGGUUAUCACAAGCAAAAAAAGGAAUUUUAAUAUUAUUCAAAAAAUUUUAAAUAAAUUUGGACCAUAUACUUGUAGAUCAACCGUUAUCACCUAAAUAAAUUCCAAUUACAAUGAGGAGGACCAAGACAAUGCAAGUCUUAAGUCUUCUUUGAAACACAAAAACAUCACUGCAAAAUAGACUUUUAGCGGCAUUUUUUAGGCCUAUAGCGGCGCUUUUAGGCGUCGCUGGAAAUAGAGCGUCGCUAAAACUAUUUCCGGCGCUUUCACAAGCACCACAAAAAUGCCGCUAUAAACAUCGCCGCUAAAUUUUGCGGCGUUUAUAUGAAAAAACGCCGCUAUAGAACAUGAUCUUUAACGACGCUUUUAUCACAAACGCCGCUAAAGAACAUGGCCUUUAGCAGCGUUUUUAUCACAAACACCGCUAAAGGUAAUAAUCUUUAGUGGCACUUUUAUCACAAACGCCGCUAAAAUAAUAUGAUCUUUAGCGGCGCUUUACCCACAAACGCCACUAAAGAUCAUUACCUUUAGCGGCGCUUUUAUAAAAAACGCCACUAGCUUUUAAAAAUAUUAAAUAUUAAAAAUCACACAUUAUUAAUAUUACAAAUUAAUUAGUAUUGGAUAUAUACUUCUAGUCAAAAAGAUGGUAUUUAAUCAUAUAAUAAAUUAAUAUUUUUUAGUCAAAAUAUUGAAAAAUCAUGUUAAUAUUUAAAUAGCAAAAUUACAAGUUCAAAUAGUGCAACUAAUUGAUUGGAAAAAAAAUGCACAAGUUCAAAAUGUGCAGUAAUAAACUUAAAAAUUUAUAGGCUAAAAUGGAAAUUACCUUUUGAAAUUAGACUAAAAUAGGUUUACUACAUUCACUAUUUACUACAUGGGUUUAUUGCUUCUAUAAACUCCAAUUAGGCAUUGAAACAGGGGUGUUUAUAUAUUACAAAAAAGCAUGAAAAAAUAGGAGUCCAUCUCCACACCUCAGAAACCAGGGCAAAUGCAUACCCCAACAUUGCCCUCGUAUUCAGCAUCCAUCUCCAGCUGCUUCGACGAAUACGGAACGAGAAUACAUGUUGCAAGUUCCGUAUUCUAAUGCAGUGGGUAGCUUGAUGUAUGCAAUGGUGUGUACAAGACCCGACAUUUCACAGGCAGUUAGUAUAGUGAGCAGGUAUAUGCAUAAUCCUGGAAAAGGACAUUGGCAAGCUGUGAAAUGGAUUCUACGGUAUAUUCAGAAGACCGUGGAUGUUGGAUUACUGUUCAAGCAGGAUAAUACACUUGGUAAAGGUGUUAUUGGGUACGUUGAUUCUGACUAUGCCGGUGAUUUGGACAAGCGAAGAUCAACCACCGGUUAUGUGUUUACACUUGCUGGAGGACCAAUAAGUUGGAAGUCUACACUACAGUCUACAGUUGCAUUGUCAACCACAGAAGCCGAGUACAUGGCUGUAACAGAGGCUGUAAAGGAGGCUGUUUGGUUAUAAGGUAUGGCUAAAACCUUGGGGUUGGUUCAGGAGCAUAUUAACGUGUAUUGUGAUAGUCAAAGUGCUAUUCAUUUAGCAAAGAAUCAAGUCUAUCAUGCACGUACAAAACAUAUCGACGUACGAUUCCAUUUUGUGCGAGAAAUUAUUGAAGAGGGGAAAAUUUGUCUUCAGAAGAUCAAGACUGCAGAUAAUCCCGCAGAUAUGAUGACCAAGGUGGUAACAGCAACCAAGUUCGAACAUUGUUUGAACUUGAUUAAUAUCCUGCAAGUUUAACAGUUGAAGAAGGCACUAUCAAGUAUUGUGGCUAGGAAAGACUUGGUAUUUAAGUGAUCUUCGUGAUCUACCUCUCUUUCCUGGGAAUUGAACUUAGUGUGAUUUUUCAGUACAAUAAUUUUACUCUUUCACACGCUUCCGCGCAACACACAAUCUUGGUUAAUAAGUUGCCUAGCAAGACAAACACCAGGGAAUAGAAUUACAAAUAAAGCAAAAUGGGGCAUUAGGUGGCCCAACAAUGGCAGUUUUGCUUUUAAUUUGGGCAUGCUAAAAUUUUGGGUAGGGAAGAAGAACAACAAUGAGGGUUAACGAUUAAGUUUCUAACUAAACCAGGGAAAUAUAUAAGAAAGCUUCAAUGGGAGAAGAAGCAUUAAUGGGGACAGAAGACUUUGACUACUCUUCAGCUUUAUUUGGGAUGAAUAUUUCAUUUUCAAUAAAUUGUUUACACCUUUUAUUCUUUUAUCUUUUUUCUGGGAAACACCUUAAUCAAAGCACAUCUAAUUCCAAGAACAGAGCCGCGGUUAUCUCAAGCAAAAGAAAAAGAAGAUUUUAAUAUUAUUCAAAAAUUUUAAAUAAAUUUGGACCAUAUACUUGUAGAUCAACCUUUAUCACCUUAAUAAAUUCCAAUUACAAUGAGGAACAAGACAAUGCAAGUCUUAAGUCUUCUUUGAAACACAAAAACAUUUAAGUGGCUGAGAGCAACAACUGUUAUUGCUUUGGUCCUUUUGUGUUAAGUAAGACAACAGUUUGUUGGAUAUUUCUAAAAAGCAAGUUCAUAGUUAGAACUGUCAAGCAAGGCGACUCAAUGCCCAAUUGUAUAGAUUUUUUUUUCUUCCACGAAUAAUACUUAACCACUUUUCAAAUAAUUUUAUUAAUAUAAUUACAUGUUUUUAUCCAUUCGACUGUGAUACUCGAACUUGACAACUAGUUAUAUUUUGGUUCCUAAACUUAAAAAAUAUGAAAGUUUUAUGAUGCAACUCUCUAAUAUUGUGCUACAUCAUCACUUGAAAAUUAAAAAAAAAAUUAUAUAAAUUUUUAGAGAAUGGCAUGAUACAAUCUCUAAGUGUCACGUUCAUUAUUUUAAUAAUCAAGUUGAUGAUUGAACCAGUCAGACCACUAUUACUCGAUUCAAUUAGUUUGAUCAGUUCGACUGCUAGACCAACAAUAAUUAAAUAAAUCAUUAAACAUUCAUAAAAUUCUAAAAAGGUAGAAAACAAAAUUUAUUAAACUGAUUAAACAUGGUCAACAGCUGGGGUUUUUUUAAAAUUUUUUUAAUUUUUACCAAUUUCAAGUAAUUUUUAUAUUUAAUUGAUUCAACAUCUUUGUUCAAACUAUUAUACCGAUCGAUUCUCGGUCCAAUCAAUCUAACCAUCCAAUCCACUCCUAUACUAGUAACACUAAUCAUAUUAUCAAAUCUUGAUGGAAUUCAAGUUUAAGUUUAAGGGACUAUAGUAGACUUAGCUGCCAAGUUUAGAUAUCAAAGUGGACCAAAAUUUUCGCUUAUUUUAAAGAGAUCUUAUUUUUCUAAAAGUUUUUACUCUUUUUUUUAAUUACUAUAUAAUUUGUACUAAUUAUUUAAAACAUGUGUUAAAUCAUUUUUAACCAUACUCAAAACCAUUUUUUUAAUCAAAUAUAAGUACUUAAUAUUUAAUUAAAUUAAAAAGAUCAAAGAGAUAAAUUUCAAAAUUAUAUAUGAACUUUAAUUUAAUGUACUGCAAUUGUAUAUAUGAAUUUUAAUUUGGUGCAAUUAUACACUUGUAACUCUAAUUGUGGUUCAAAUAUAUACUUUAAACUUUAUAUAUACAAUUACACAUUAAACCAUAGUGUAUGUAUACAUAAUUCAUAAGUUGUACAUAAGAAGUAAGUUUUGGUUAGUGUAAUAUAACUGUGAUUCAAGAUUACGCAUUCAUUUCAGACAAAGCACACCCUUUGAAAUUCAAGUUUUGAUUCUGAUUCUUUCUUCUUCUUUUUUUAAUAAAACCUCUAUGAAAGAAUUUUUUUUUUAAUUCCUUAACGGUAGUGAUUUUGGGUUAUGGAGAAAAAAGGAGUGAAAAGUUGUGAUUUAUGUGGAAGUAGGGAUUUUUCUGUUUUAAUAGUUUUAGAAAUGGAUUUGAUGGAGAUUUCAAUAAUGCUUCAUGUUGGAUUAGUUUUGUUGCUACUUUGGAUGCUUUCUCAAUUCAAUCUUUGCCAUCCACUUCCUUAUUUCCUGUCUCUCAUCUACCUCUAUUUGGCAAUUCAUUCAUCUUCUGCUGAGAAUAAAAAAUGAAACUUUUUUUCUUUAUUUUUGAGCUUGGAUAUUGAACUUUUUUUUUAUUGUUUUUGUUACAGAAAUUCCUUUUAUUUCUUUGUUCAUCAAAGGUUCAUGAAAUGUAUGUGACGAGAUUGAGGAAGAAAUUGGAGUUGGAGGAAAUAAUGCACAAAGAAACUAGACAUGUCAACAACAAAACAAUAAUGCCAACAUUCUCAAAAGCAACAACAAAAAUGUUUUAAAAAAGGAAAUAGACAUCACACUUAGAGUAUAGAAAUACUUGGAUUGUAACCAUGAAAAACGAAAUAAGAUAUCCAACAUCCUCAUCACAAUGGAUUCUCCUCUGAUUCAUUACUAGCCUCUGCAAUGUAAUAACACGAUUAAAAGUUAUUGUAGCAGUAACUCUUAUAAAUAUUAAAAAACUAACUUGUAAAUACAUCGAUCAUGUCUAAAUCUAAUCUAAGUCAAGGUUGAUCUAAACAUGAAAAUUCUAACAAAUUCAUCUCAAUUCAGUCCAACUAAACCUAAACUAAAUUGACACAAAAAUCUAUUUAUAUAAUUUACUUUUAAUUUAUAUAUAACUUUACUUAUGAUUUAAAUUUAUACAUUUAAUAUUGAACAAAUAGUCAAAUUAAAAAAUUUUGGUAAUUAUGAACAAUAACUUAAGACAUAGGUAAUUAAAGAAAAUACUAAUAUAUAUUUAUAUUUAUAUAUAAGGCAAAAUAAUAUAAAGCUAAAAAGUGAGAUAAUGAAGUAAAAUGUUUCUAACCUUAUGCAAUAUUUGAAUUCGCUAUAGUAACACUAUCCAAUGGUGUACUUGGCUCGUUAUUAGAGUUCUCACAAUUAUGAACCUCCAUUGAUGUUUCAAGAGGAAGUUGAUGGAAUGGCUUAGGAGUUCAACAUCAGAUUCAAGUAUCUUCAAGAUUUUACUCAUUGAAGGGCAAUUAUUAUCUUCUUCACCGUUACUUUUUCAUCGUCAGAAAUAUCUCCGAACUCCAAGUCCUCUCCUUGAUCCAAUCGGUCAUAAAUCCAAGAUGGAAAAUAUAUUUGACUAGUGCGGUCAGCAAAUGCAUUCACAUUCUUUCUCCUUCCAACUAUUUCUAUCAAUACAUUCCAAAACUAUAAACAUCGGCUUUGUAUGAGAUGCCUCAAUAUAAAGUGAUAAUUUUAUAAAUUUCGUGCAAUUCAUAACAUAAAUAAUGCUAACCUCUAACCUUCCAUCAUAAUAAUUACCAUAAGGAUAAAUAUAAGAAUAAGAAUCUACAGAAGUAAUUAAGAGGAAGGGAGUUGCAAUCAUCCGUGUCCAACAAUCAACCCCUCCCAUAGUAGGCUGUCGAGGAGCCUCCUGCACAUCAUAAAUAGCACGAGUUGUACGCCCCAAAGCAUUUGCCAAGGACCAUCAAGACGAAGGUCAAUAACAUUUGUGUAAAUUUGGAGUGCUACCUUACAGCCAAAACUAACAGAAUAGUGACUGCUGUUUGGAUUGAAAUGUCAAAUGAGUCAGUUCGGAGUCGGAUACAAGCAAAGUAGCAUUCGAAGCAUCCGUUGCGCAUCAUAGGGGAUAGAAGACCUUGAGUUACAUGAUUUCAUUUUGAGUAUUGAAAAUUGAAAAUAGGAUAACUACCAACCACUAAUAUAUUAUCAGCAAAAUCUCCCAAUUGAAAGAACAAAAGAUGCAUCUAUACUAUGUUUAAAAGUUUAAUAGAGUUUAUGGUUAUCUAUCAAUGAGGUAUCAACUCAAUUGUAAAAUCAUUAAAAUCUUAUUAUUUUUAAAAACAAAAAAUAUUAUUUUGAAGGUAUUUUUAUUUUUAAUUAAACUUUAUAAAAUACAUCAAUUUAAUAGAAUUUGAACCCAAAACAUCAUAAUCCUUAUUACCUAAAUUUUACCAUAUUAAACAAAGCCACAUUUAGCUUUUAUAUCAUUUUUUAAAUAAGCUUGUUAUAUCAUUUUUUUUCACCCAUGUGAGGGUGCCAUAAUCUAAUAUAUCUUUAUUUAAUAAGUAAUAAUCCCAUAUGCAUUAGAGAGUAUUAAGUUGAGUUAUUAAAUUUAGGGUUUGUUAUAUUCUAACGAGUUAUUUUCAAUUCCAUUGAAAUGAUUUAUAGGUGAUAAAUUUUACAAUUUAAUACGAUUAAUUUUAUUAUAUUACAAUGAAAAACAAAAGAAAAAGAAGAAUUUAAUAUGGUUCAAAGUUUUUAAAUAAAUCUGGACCAGACAAACCUUUACCAUUAAUCUAUUCCAACUUCAAUGAGAACGACCACGACGAUGCAAGUCUCAAGUCCUGUUUGAAACGCAAAAGCUUUCAAGUGGUUGAGAGCAGCAAGCCCGAUCCCUUUUGUCCGUUUGUGUUAUGUAAGUCAAUUGUAGAGAACGAUUGUUGGAUAAUUCUAAACGCAAGUUAAUAGUUAGAAUCCUUGAGCAACGCACAUUCCGCCCCAACCCAUGCAUAACGUUAGACGAGACUCAAUGACUAAUUGUAUAUAUUUUUAAUUUUGUUCAACAACUACAUAAGUAUAUUUUUAAAUGAUUGUUAAUAUAAUUACAUGUAUUUUCAUCUAUUUUAUAUGAAUUUAAAAUAUUACAAAUUAAAUAUAAUAUAAGAUACAAGUUCUAUUCAAUUAAAUUUAAAUUUAAAUUCAAAAUUUAAAUUAUCCAACAAUAUAAAUAGUAGACAUAAAUUCAAAGAAAAAAAUUUAGGGUUUAGCUGGAAGAUUACCUCUCAAAUUCGACUAAAAUAAAUAAACAGAAUUUAACUCGGAGAUUACCUCUCAAAUUUAACUGAAAUAUGAAACAUACUCAAUAAUAAAGGUAACAAUUCAAAGGUAUGAAGCUACAUAAAUUCUUAGUUAUGUCUUUGAAAUAUUUUCAUAAAGGCAUGUGCAAAAACUUUUUGAUUCUAAACAAAUUCAUUGUCUCAAUAUUACUUAUUUAAAAUCAAAUCCACGUUUAUUUUUAAACAACUUCCAACAAUGUAUUUGGCUUGUAAUACCCAAUUUUAGCUCGGGCUCACAUAUGGAAACAUAAUCUUCAAGGAUAUGUAAUCUUAGAUAUGAUAUGUGCAAUCUUGGAUAUGAUAUGUGCAAUCUUGGAUAUGAUAUGCAAUCUUAGAAGAUAUGAUUUUGUAAUAUUAGAGAUUUAAUUUGUAGAUACCCUUUAAUCUUAGCCGUUGAUGUAAUUGGUCUGUACCGUUGGAUUUGGGGAGGCUCAACUAUAAAUAGAGGCCUCUCCCUUUAUUGUAAAGGGGGGAGAAAAAACAAUAAAAAAGGGAGAACGAUUGGCAGUUUUUUAAAGGUGACUUACUGUUUUUUUUUCAAUUAUUUAUUUAUGAUUUUAAAAAAGGAAGAAGGUGAUACCACUACGAAUUUUAUUUAUUUAUUUUUAUUUAGCCCUAAUAAAGUGACGCGUUUCAAAGGAUGGGAAUAUUUUUCCAUUCGAGGCCUAUGAGUUAUUCGCGCCUUUUAAUUGGGCCCUACAUUUUUUUCCCUUUAAUUAUGUUUUUGUUGCAAUUUAAUCCCUUUUGUAUUUGUGCUUUUACUAAUUAAUUGAUUAUUAUUAUUAUUUAUUAAUCCUAUUAUUAUUUCUACUAUUAUUGUUAUUAUUAUUUUCAUUAUUUCUUCUUAUCAAUUUACUUAAAUUUCAUGCGCAUAGCUUUAUCUUACUUUGUAUUUUAAUUUAUAUUACUAUUAUAUGUCAUUAUUUAAUUUUAUAAUAUAUUUUUCCUAUUCCUUUUAUAUAUUUGCCUCCAAAUAUGGUAUAUCUUCAACGAUUUUGGUUUUAUUUUUUAUUCAUUUAAAUAUAUUUCUAUAUUUUAAUAGAUUUAUAUAAUAAUAUUUUUUUACAAUACCAUGCUUUGUAUAUAUACAUGAUUGAUAUUAAAUUAUUCUUGUUAUAAAUUAUAGAUUUCAUUUUCGUCUUAUUACCAUAUAUAACUUUCCUCUUAAAAAACUAUUUUAUUAUAUUUUACCUAUUUUAUUGUAUUUCGUUUACUUCAAAUUCUUUUUACAUAUAUUAUUGUAUAUUAUUAUAAAGUCUUCUACUUUUCUAAAUAUACGUAUUUUACAUAUAUCACUUUUUUUCCCUAUUUAUUGCCAAUAUGGUGCAAGAUUGUUGUACUUGUUAUUGCGACAUUAUUACACACAUUCAGUAUCACAUUACAUCAUCUUCUUAUUCAAAUUUAAAAAAAAUAGGAAUUUUAAAAAUUGAGAUAAUGCUCGUAUUUAGGAUUUUCAAGGAAAUUGAGCCCUAACGUACAUUGGGUUUCGAUUUUUUUUGUUAAAUCUAACGAUCGAGAGUUGCUCAUUAAUCAUAAAAAAAAUAAAAUGAAAAGCUUGUUGUCGGGAAUUUAAUAUGUUGUGUCCUAACGUAUUGGAUGUGAUGUAUUUUUUUCUCGAUACAAAGAUUUUUUUUUAAAUAAUAACAAAGGAAGUAUUCCAAGUUUAGGAUUUUGAGAAAUUGUGCCCUAACGUAUUGGCCCGCGAUUUCUUAAAUCUUAAACAAAUGAAUAUUCUUUUAAAUUUUAUCGCUCGAGUAUUUUGGCCUAAUUCAUUUUUGAGGGAUUAGAAUGUCGUGCCCUAACGCAUUGGGUGUGACAUUUUUUUUCCUCCGAAAUGAUAAGAGUCUUAAUAAGUAACGUUUUUAAGUUUUUGCUAAGGAUUAUAUUUUUCAAAAUUUUUGACAUUAAGACACUAAUUAAUUAACUAGGUACCAAUUUUAGGCGUUACGAGGGUGUUAAUCCUUCCUCGUACGUAACCGACUCCCGGAUCCAUUUUUCUAAAACUCGUAGACCAAAUCUAUUUUUUUAGGUGAUCCAAUCACACCUCAAUAAAAUAUUGGUGGCAACUCCCAAUUUUUUGUUUUUUAAAAGUCGACAAAUAAAUUUUUGUUUUUCAAAAAAAUGGUUUCGACAUGGCUCAUCCAACAAAUUAUUUUUAAACAACAUUUAUUUAAAAAGAACCAAAUGAGAAUCAUUAUACAACUUUAUAAAGUCGAUGACACAUCCAACAUUUAAAGCACAAAGAAACUAGAUAGGCCAACAACAACAAAAAUAAUACCAACAUUCUCAAAUAUCGCAACAAAUUUGUUCUAAAAACAAAAGAUAGCGCAUCUCACCUAGAGCGUAGAAAUACUUAGAUUCAAUCAUUGUAACAACGAAAAAGGAAACAAGACAUCUAACAUCCUCAUCACAAUUGAUUCUCCUCUGACCCUCCAACAGCGUCUGCAUUAAUGCAAUAAAACAAGAAGAGGCUAUUGUGAUAGCAACUCUUAUAAAUAUUCCAAAAUUAACUUUUAGAUGCAUCAGGUCUUAAUCUAAGGCAAAGGGUUUAUCCAAACAUGAAAAAUCUAACCAACUCAAUUCAAUUCAACCCAACCUCAACCUAUCUAUGUACUUUACUUUUAAUUUAUAUGUAAUUUCAAUUAUGGUUUAAUUUAAAUAUUUUUUAACAAAAAUUUUAAAUACUUAAUAUUGAACAAAUAGCGAUAUUAAUGAAAAUUUGUAAUUAUGAACAAUAACUUAACACAUAGGUAGGUAAAAGUGUUUUUUUUUUACUUAAUAAUAUUAUUAGCAUUAGUACGUUAUUAAUUGUAUAUGAAAAUAGUGAAGCUUAAAAGUUAAAUUUUAAAGGUAAUGUCAUUGUCAAAUUUACUCAAAAUUUAUUUUUAACUAUAGUUAUCUAUGUACAUAUGUGACACACAUAAUAAGAUGCUAAUAUAUAUGUAAGGCACACUACACCAAAACAGGUUUUUAGCGGCAUUUUUUUAUGCCUUUAGCGGCGCUUUUUAGCGUUGCUAAAAGUAUUUGUGGCGUUUUUGGAAGCGCCGCAAAAAAUGCCGCUGUUCUCAACGCCGCAAACGUUUGUGGCUUUUUUAUAAAUAAACGCCGCUAUAGAUUAAGACCUUUAGCGGCGCUUUUUCAACAAACGCCGUUAUAGAUCAGGAUCUUUAGCGGCGCUUUUUUACAAACGCCGCUAUAGCUCAAGACCUUUAGCGGCGCUUUUUCAAAAAACGCUGCUAUAGAUUACGACCUUUAGCGGCGUUUUUUUCACAAACGCCGCUAUAGCUCAAGACCUUUAGCGACGCUUCUCGCAAAAACGCCACUAAAAACAUAACAUUUAAAAAAAGUAUUUUAAUCAAAUAAUAUUUAUUUUUAUGAUAAAUAUUAUAUUAUGUUUUAUUUUUUAAAUUUGAACUUUAAAUAUACUUUUAAGGAUAAAAAGUAUUAUUUAAUAGAAAAUUUUAACUUUAAAACUAAAUAUAAAAAUUAAUGAAUUUAGUUUUAGAAUUUAAAAUAAUAAAUUAAUAACACAAUUAAAAUCCAAAAGUUAGAACUCAAGUUGUCGUAAAUAUUAAAGUAAUAUUUACACAUUGCAAGGUAAUAAAAAAUACAAUGCAUUUUCUUAAUCAAGUAAAUCUUGGUAAUAAAAAAUACAAUGCAAACUACAUCUGCUACAUUCCUGGUUAUCCAAUCUUCAUGUACCCUGCAGAAUUGGGAAAAUAAUUAUAGUGCAUUAAAACAAAAAUUGAUAUUGACAAGUUAAAUGUGAAAGGAAAACAACAUGAAUGCAAAAAUUAAUACUCGAGGAAAUUGACAACUUAGCUAUCUCAACCAUGGAAAUGAAUUAGAUAUUGAAUAAGAGAGAUUACAGCAAUGAAACCAAUGAAUUCCUAGUUUACAUAUGUAUGUGCCACUGGACUUGUUAAGUGAAGAAUGAGAACCAAAUUUUUUUCAAUGACUACAGGACAUAAGACCAAGAGCAUCAAAAGUUUCCAAACAUGAAACAACUAAUCUAUUAAGCAAGUCAGAAAAUCAACGAGCUUAUUGUUUUAGCUAAUAGUGGAACAAGGAGACAAUUGAGAUCAAUUGAGACUAACCUCGGCUGAGAUGCAGAAGUUUCACGACAAUCAGAAAAGAUCACCUUGAUAUACUUAUAAUCUUCGCACCAUAAAUAAUCAAAGUAAUAAUCAUCGAUAUUAUUCACCUUGUUGCCUAACCUCACAUAAUAAUCAAAAUAAAUUUUAAAACCGCUCAAAAAUUUUAAAUAGAUUACAUCAACAUAUAUUGAGCAUAGCAACCUUCUAAAGAGAAAAUCAAACAAAUCAACUAAACGAACAUAGAAAAAUUGAUGCUUCAAACCAAAACACCAGAAUUUACUUUACCUCCAUCCCAUGGGGUGUCAUCAAGUCUGCAAAUCCAUCAAGUAAAGACAUUAGCACAAUUUAAUAGAACUUUAAUCUAAAAAGAAAGUACAUAAAGAUUCUCUAGUCUUAUUUCAUAAUAUACCCAAAUAUAACAGCAUUCCAAAGCAUAAUGUUGUUAUCUUGAGGUGCACCACUAAUUCCUGCACAAAAUAAAUGAUAAAAAAGGCCACAGUUCUUUAGCAUAAACAGCAAACAAAUUAGAUGAAAACCGGACUUCUACAACUAAACCGAGUUGUAGUAACAGUAUCCAAACGCCGCUAAAAGCCUGUUUUGGUGUAGUGGCAAAAUAUUAUAAAGUUAAACAGUGAGAUAAUGAAGUGAAAUGUCUCUAACCUUAUGCAAUUUUGAACUUGUUAUAGUAACAGUAUCCAAUGAUGCACUUGGCUUAUCAUUAGAGUUCUCAUAGCUAUGAACCUCCAUUGAUGUUUCAAGAGGAAGUUGAUGGAAUGGCUUAGGAGACAUCACAAGGAGUUCAACAUCAGAUUCAAGCAUCUUCAAAACUUUACUCAUUGAAGGACGAUCAGAAGGCAGUAAUUGUAUACACCAAAAGGCUAUUAUUACCAUUUUCUUUACCAUUGCUUUUUCAUCGUCAGAAACAUCUCCCAACUCCAAGUCCUUUCCUUGAUCUAAUCGGUCAUAAAUCCAAGAUGGAAACUAUAUUUGACUAGUGUGGUCAGCAAAUGCAUUCACAUUCUUUCUCCUUCCAACCAUUUCCAUCAGUAACAUUCUAGAACUAUAAAUGUCAGCUUUGUAUGAGAUGCCUCCAAGAUUUUUGUAAACCAAUUCAGGAGCAAUAUAUCCUAUCGUUCCUCGUGCCGCAGUGAGAGAGACAAUGCUGUCAUCUACUGAAUACAAUUUAGCAAGACCAAAAUCAGAAACUUUUGGAUUAAAAUUCUCAUCAAGAAGAAUAUUGUGUGGCUUGAUAUCAAAAUGUAGAAUUUGCAUGUCACAUCCUUGAUGUAAGUAGUGAAUUCCUUGAGCCACCCCAAGUACAAUAUCAAACAUUUUUUCCAGCCCAAAGUGUUCUUAUUUUCUUCUGUAAAUAUGAUUUUAUCUAAAGAUCCAUUAGACAUGAAGUCAUAUACCAGAGCUUGCUUUGAUCCCUCCACACAAAAUCCGAUAAGUUUUGCCACGUUAGCAUGAUGAAUUGUCCCAAUGGAAGCAACUUCAUUUAUGAAAUCUUGGCCAUUACCCUUUGACUUGCCCAACAAUUUUAUUGCCACAUGAUGCCCACUACGAAGCUUUCCUUUAAACAAUGAGCCAUAACCUCCUUCACCUAAUUUAUCUUUAAAAUUUUUAGUCAUUUUUUUAACUUCUUUAAAAGAAUACCUUAUCGGCACUAGAUUAUUUUGGCUUUGAAGGAACUCUUCAAUUGUAUCAUCCAUAGAUAAAUGUCUUCUUCUCCAUUCGUACGUGACAAGAGCAAACAAACAAAUUAUCUCAGGAAAUGACCUCAAAAAGAUAACUCCACCUUUAAAGAAAUACAAUGUAACACGUUGAAAUUAAUCACAUAAUAUAUAACUUACAUUCUCAGAAAAAAGGAUAUAGUGUGAUAGUUUUAUGUUAACUAGUAUUUGAGAGAGUGGCAUAUUUCACUAGUCUAUGGACUUAAUCGAGAGUAGUCUGAAUUAUAUGUUAUGUUUUGGUCAUUAGCAGGUAUAUCUCAACAAAUUAAAAUUCAGAAUUUCAAACACAAAAGGAGUAAAUCAUGCGAAGUGGAUACCAAUUAUUCUAACCUCACACAUUCCAAUAGAUUUGACAGGGUCAUGACAUUCACCCAAAUUAACACAUUCGUAACCCCGUCCAAUUAGCAAAUUCUAAAGAAAGCACAUGUUUCUUAACCAUGAAGGAUACUCAACGGUUGUCUCUAUUCAUGCCAAAUAAACUUGAGGAUGGACAAAUUAAAAAAUUAAUUAAACUGAAUUUUAGUAUUUUUAUUUUAAUAAUUUAUUUAAUCAAUAAGAUUAAUUAGAAUUAGAGGUGUUCAUGGGCCGGGCGGCCCGGCCCGGCCCGGUCCGGUCCAACAGCCCGUCCGAAAUAUGGGAGGGUUUGGGUAAAAAUAUAGGCCCGAAAUAUGGGCUUGGGCAAAAAAACGAGGCCCGAUUAAAAAACGGGCCGGGCCUCGGGCACAACUUUUUUUGGCCCGGGCCUGGCCCGGCCCGAAUAUAAUAAAUAUUUUAUUAUUUUUUUAAUUUUAAAAUACUUUAAAAAUACUUUUAUUAAAUUUUUUAAAUUUUAAAAUUUUUUUAAAAUGCUUUUUUAAUUUUUUUAAUUUUAAAAUAUUUUUAAAAUACUUUUUUUAAUUUUUAUUUUAAUUUUUAAAAUAAAUUUUUGGUAUUUAUUUAAAAAAUAGGAUAGGCCCGGGCUACAAAAUUUUUUCCUGGGCCCGACCCGAACCCGACCCAUGAGCACCUCUAAUUAGAACAAUGAACCAAUGAUUUAAAUUUCAUCAUAAUCUAACUCUAAAAAUUGUGGAUUUGAGCGCUCCCAAAUUUUCCUUCGCUUUCUCUCUCUCUCUGUUCUUCAACAUCGUGUUUAGAUCCGUCCCUCCCAGCCUUGAAAGAUUCCGUCUUUGACCCUUCUUCGUUGAAUCUAUCAAACAAAUUAGGGUUCCGAUCUGUUACCUGUUGUGUUCGUUUAAAAUUUUUUUUUCUUUGCCUCAAAAUUUCAUCUUCAGAAAGAGAGAGAGAGAGAGAGAGUUUUCGAUUUUCCUUGAUUUUGCUUGAGAUUUAUGUUCUAAUCUGAAAUUCAUUACCUUAAUGAUUUGCUAUAUCGGUUCGAUCUCCAUUACGAUUGCUUGCUUUUUGUAUCGGAUUUGGGGUUAAAUCCAAGCUUGCGUGUUUUUACAUUAAAUCAGUAACCAUCGGCUCAAACUCUACCCCUCUUUCUAUCUGGAAAAUUUUUACAUUAAAACAAACGGAGUUUGAAAGUUAAAAAUUGACAUUCCAUUGAGUUUAAGUUUGAAAGUUUGGCUCAACUCACCGAUUACAGCCGCUUACAUGAAGUAGAAGCCCUUAUUACAUCAAUACAUCUGUGUGUGUGUUUUUUUCCGCUUCCUCUUCUUUCUUUUGGCCUUUUUUUUCCUCUAAAAGCCGCACCUACAGCUUACUCCGUUCCCUGACAUUUGCCCUUAAAAUUACACUGAAAAUGCCCACAUGUUCCCCAAACUUCAUAUAUUACUCAAGUUUCGAUUCCUUGUCUCCGCAUCGAACCGCCACUUUACACAGUCAAACUCUGUGUUACGAAUUACCGCCUGCGCCACCUAUUGGACGAUAUGCCCAAACCAAGUUGAAAGCCCGAAUGAAGAAGCUAUAGAGCAUCCGAGAGUCUCCAUCGAUAUUUUCAACCAAUGGGGUUGCUGUGAAAACGAUUUGUUGAAGAUCUUUUCACGCCAACCUUCUUUGCGCAACGCUCAAGCUACUCCCCUUUUAUCCAAACUCAACUUGCUGAGUAGCUUGGGACUCACCGGUUCCGACAUUGUCAAGAUGGUCAAUUGUCGUCCUCGUUUCUUUUGUUCUCGUAUCAAUAAUUGCUUCGACGAGCGGAUUGAGUUCCUCGUUAACCUGUUCGGGUCGCGAGAAAUGCUUCGUAAAGCACUUGUUAGGAACCCUUCCCCCUUGACCUAUGAUUUUCACAAUGCCAUGAAACCAGUCAUUGCAUUGUACGAAGAGAUUGGCAUUAGAGGAAAUGAUUUGAUUGCUAUGCUCAUCUCACGUCCCACAUUGAUCCCAAGGACUUCUUUCAAUGAGGAGAAGAUGGAAUACAUAAAGAAAACAGGGGUUUCAAAAGGUUCCAAAAUGUACAAGUACAUAGUUUCACUCAUCGGAAUAUCGCGGAUCGAGACUAUACGUGAAAAGGUGACUAACUUGGAGAAAUUCGGAUGUUCAGAGGAAGAGAUUUGGAGUUUGUUGGGACGUUAUCCUCUUAUUUUGACACUUAUUUUGAAACUCUCGGUUGAUAAGGUUCAAAGGAACAUGACCUUUGUUUUGGGAACCAUGAAGCUGUCUCCAAGAGUGGUGCUUGAGCACCCCUUUUCUUGUUGUUCAGCAACCUCGAAGCCGUAUCGAAACCGCGGAUAUCGUUGGCUAGGAAACUAAAGGAAAUGGAGCUUGAUCCGCAGAUUAAAGGACCGAUCAUGUUGGCGGCAUUGAGGAUGACGGAAAAUCGAUUCUUGAAUGUGUUUAUUAAAUGCCAUCCGCAAGAUGUAGCAAAUGAACUGUUGGAGUUCUAUAAACAUGCCAAAGGUCUCAAGCCAUUGGCCGAAUCAUCGAAAAAAAUACUGCGUAAAGGAUUUCCAUUUUGAACAUUUUCGUUUGUUUGUUUGGUGCUGUCUUCGUUUUCUUUUUGUUCAUUCAUGCCAAGGGAUAUUUCGAUUAAAUUUUCAGAUUUAUAACUUUUAUUCUCAAAGGGAUAAUGUGAGACUCAAAAUUUUGGGAUAUAAAAAGGGAUGCCUCUUCGUGUUUCAUUGGUGUUCUCUCUCUGCUUAUAUUCCUUUUACUCCCCGUGAUGAAGAGUUGAAAUUUUUUCUAUGUAUGAUGGCUGGAGGGAAUAUAGAUUAUGGAACUCCACCAUUAUUAACUUUGUAGGCUCAAUUGGCACCAUUGUUGUGGUGCAACUAGAAAUAUGUGGGUUAAAACGUGUUUAAAGGCGUAUUUUCUUUUUAUUUAAGAGUUUAAAGGAGAUUAUAAUUUGUGAACAGUAAUUUUUUAAGGUAAAUCUUAUUCUAUAUAUUUUGACCGAUGAUUAUUUUUAUCCUUAAUAUAAAUUUGUGUUAAUUUUGGUUUGGAUGAUGUUUAUUAUUAUUUUUAAUUACUUUUCAAUGCGGAUAAAAUCUUGCACCAAUUAAAAUUCAUAUAUUAUUAUUAAAAAAGAUAAAUAAACAAAUUAAAUCUUUUUAAACUUCUUAUUUAUUUUCAAAGUUUAUUAAAUAGUAUUAUUUUAUUUUAUAUAAUUAAUGUAAAGUAAUAUAUGGGGCAAAAUAAUAUAAAGCUAAAAUGAAGUGAAAUGUUUCAAACCUCAUACAAUAUUUGAACUUGUUAUCGUACCAAUAUCCAAUGAUUUACUUGACUCAUCAUUAGAGUUCUCACAUGAUGUUUCAAGAGGAAGUUGAUGGAAUGGCUUAGGAGGCAACUCAGGGAGUUCAACAUCAGAUUCAAGCAUCUUCAAGACUUUACUCAUUGAAGGAUGAUUAGAAGGCAAUAAUUGUAUACACCAAAAGGCAGUUAUUCAUCUUCUUCACCAUUACUUUUUCAUCGUCAGAAACAUCUCCUAGCUCUAUGUCCUCUCCUUGAUUUAAUCGGUCAUAAAUCCAAGAUGGAAAAUAGAUCUGACUAGUGUGGUCAGCAAAUGCAUUCACAUUCUUUCUCCUUCCUACCAUUUCCAUCAGUAACAUUGCAAAACUAUAACCAAUUCAGGAGCAAUAUAUCUUAUCGUUCCUCGUGCCGCAGUGAGAGAGACAAUGCUAUCAUCUACUGAAUACAAUUUAGCAAGACCAAAAUCGGAAACUUUUGGAUUAAAAUUCUCAUCAAGAAGAAUAUUGUGUGGCUUGAUAUCAAAAUGUAGAAUUUGCAUGUCACAUCCUUGAUGCAAGUAGUGAAUUCCUUGAGCCACCCCAAGCACAAUAUCAAACAUUUUUUUCCAGCCCAAAGUGUUCUUAUUUUCUUCUGUAAAUAUGAGUUUAUCUAAAGAUCCAUUAGACAUGAAGUCAUAUACCAGAGCUUGCUUUGAUCCCUCCACACAAAAUCCAAUAAGUUUUGCCACAUUGGCAUGAUGAAUUCUACCAAUAGAAGCAACUUCAUUUAUGAAAUCUUGGCCAUUACCUUUUGACUUACCCAACAAUUUUAUUGUCACAUGAUGCCCGCUACGAAGCUUUCCUUUAAACACUGA
RNAcentral lists this long non-coding RNA (150336 nucleotides) under Gossypium barbadense (sea-island cotton). RNAcentral describes it as "long non-coding RNA (GBAR_LNC013160)". The record is from RNAcentral. Lineage: Eukaryota; Viridiplantae; Streptophyta; Magnoliopsida; Malvales; Malvaceae.